GGUGGGCGACGGCGCCCGACGGCGCCUACGCCUGGGGCUACUGCUUCAAGGAGGAGCAGGGCGCCGCGUCGGGGCCGGACUACUGCGAGCCCAGCACACAGUGGCCGUGCGCCGCCGGGAAGAAGUACUACGGCCGUGGACCCAUCCAGAUCUCCUACAACUACAACUACGGCGCCGCCGGGCAGGCCAUCGGCGCCGGCAUCCUCGCCAACCCGGACCUGGUGGCGUCGGACCCGACCGUGUCGUUCGAGACGGCGGUGUGGUUCUGGAUGACGCCGCAGUCGCCCAAGCCGUCGUGCCACGCCGUCAUGACCGGCCAGUGGACGCCGUCGGGAGCUGACACCGCCGCGGGGAGGUUGCCGGGGUAUGGUGUUGUCACUAACAUCAUCAAUGGUGGCCUCGAGUGCGGCAAAGGCGCUGAUAGCCGCGUCGCUGACCGGAUCGGCUUCUACAAGCGCUACUGCGACUUGCUUGGUGUCAGCUACGGCGAUAACUUGGACUGCGCCAACCAGAAGCCCUUCAACAGCUAGAUCAACUAUAUAUAUAUAUAUAUAUAUAUAUAUAUAUAUAUAUGCAUUCAGUCUUUUUAAUUAACUAUAUGUAUACAACGACAGUGGCGUAUACGCUAUUUUACCAAUAAUACAAUAAGAUGUGAUGAGUUACAUAUAUAUAUAUAUAUAUAUAUAUAUAUAUAUAUAUAUAUAUAUACCAGUACACCACAGAUCUGCUACAAGCCAGCAGAUCGAGCAAUGAAUAAGGCCUUGUUUAGAUAAAAAAAAAUUUAGAUUUUGACACUGUAGCAUUUUCGUUUUUAUUUGACAAACUUUGUCUAAUUAUAGAAUAAUUAGGCUUAAAAGAUUCGUCUCGCGAUUUACAGACAAACUGUGUAAUUAGUUUUUGUUUUCAUCUAUAUUUAAUGCUCUAUACAUGUGCCACAAGAUUCGAUGUGACGAAAAAUCUUAAAAAGUUUUUGGUUCUUGGUGUGAACUAAACAAGGCCUAAAGCAAAAGGUUACACAUGCAUGUGUGAGUGUGACGUGCAGCCCAAUAGAAGUACAUACUGAAAAAUACUGUUGACUGAUUUAUUGUGAGAAAAAAAUACUACUGACAUUCGGGCCAAAACGAAAAAAGCGGCUACGAGUCAUAUGGUCAAUAUCGCGUGCGUAGUGCUCGGCGUCCGGCAACUGAAAGUCCAGUCUUCUACGACUUCCACGACCCUUCUUCCACGCGGCGCCUCUACCACAAGUGGAACUUUCUUUCUACACUGAACAUGUGGUUAGCAAUAUCAAACUCAACGAAUUAUUCAGAACCAGUGUUAAUGGAGUUAUAUGAAAAUCUCAUGAUAUUAAAUAAAUCGAUAUAGUCAUUAUAUCAGACUAGUUUUUUAUCCUACAGGUGCCUGAAGGUGAAGAUGGGACUACCAACAAUUAAGAGAGAAGGUGUUUGACUAGUGUUGAGAGAAUGAGUACUGAUGGUUGGAUCUAGAAUAGAUGGAUGAUGUUAUCGCUAUGAAAAGAAUGUAAAAUAAUCAGGCGCCUGUGAUUUAGCAACUCCCUAUAUCAAAACAGAAAGAAAAACUGCAAACGAAAUGUUUUCCGAGGGAGAAUCGUUAGGCAAAGGCCGCCAAAUAUUGGGCAAGGGACCUGGCGGUCCACCUCAAGGAUAAAUUUCUUGGUUGUUUGGCCACCAAGGUAAAUUACGCCAUGGCAAAAAUUACAAAAACGUGAAGAAAAUUAGUGAACUUGUAAGUAUAUAUAUUUCUCUCAAGGAUCUCAAACCGUAAGGAAUUGUGUUACAAACGUCAAGAAAAAAAAAUUAGAAUAUCAGAAGAAACCUUGCGGUGUGUUGCUUCCUUACUAGUGCACCCUUGCUUCGUUACUAGUGCGCCACAAAGUCAAUUGUGACUAAAUGGCUGAUGCAUUACUUCAAGAUUCAUUCUAGUGAAUUUAUAAUGAAUAUUUAAGACCCCGAAUUCAAAUGAAAAAAAAUGAAUUUGAAAUUUUUAGAUAUCUUCGAGCACUAGAACUUUUGUUUAGGUCAUUUCUCUAUCCGAAGUCAUUUGAAAAACUCAUAAAUAGCAUUAAUUUUUAAAAAAUAAUGAUUUUCCUUGUCGUUUUACAGUAACAUUCGAGAAUAUUUCUAUGAGUGAGUCUAAAUAAAACUCUGUCCAAUCAUUCACCCUACCUUGUUUUCUCUCCUCCCAUGUACUUCUUUCUCUUCUCCUAAUCCUCUCUACACUCAAAUGAGGCACACUCUACCUGGGGUCUAUGCAUGUGCGACUAGUGGCAAAUGACUUGGUAGCGGCCAUUAGCAAGCAGAUUGGGAGCGGGGCUGCUACUAUAUGACCGCUGUCUAGCUAGGUGACCGGCCGGCCGGUGUAACAUCCUGAAAUUUUGCCAUGUGUUGAAAAAACACAAAAAGUUUGAUCUUUCUAAAUUUUGCUAUAGCUUAAAUAAACAUGACACAUAUGGGUUUUAUUUUGUACCACUAAUAAGAUCCACUUAAUAGAACCAAUCCACAUGUGUGAUGUUUUUUAUUGUUGCUGCUUGUGAGUGUCAAACUUAUGAUGGUACUCUAUCCAUAAAACCCUCCUCGAUUUCAAACCAAACCCAUCUCCAAAUCUAAGAAAUUCUGGAAAUAGAUAAGCGUGUAUUGAAUUAGAAAACUCCUUUAGGCUCAAACCUCUCUCCCUCUUCCUUUUGGGCCGUGGGCACAGCCCACCUCUUCCUCCUUCCUUGUCCACAUGGGCCAGCAUUAGCCGCUUGGUACAACUGGAGUAGCCCACUCUCCGUCCCCUCCCCUACUCCUAGUUAGGCUGAGACCCUAGUCAUCGAUCUCUCACUCUCCCAUCCACCGUCUUCAUCUGCACAACAAGUUAAAAAUAUCGAUUUAAAGAUAAUUAUAUAACGAACAAAAUGAGACCUUACCGAGAAGAACCCACGACUUUGCCGAGUAUUUUUACACUCGACAAAGAGUCCUUUACACUCGGCAAAGGCUUUACCAAAAUAGCACUUGACAAAGUCCGUUUGACAAAAUUUUCUUCGGCAAAGAGACUUUGCCGAGUGUUUAAUUUGUCGAGUGUUUCGAGUGGCACUCGGCAAAUUUCGGUCGUUACAACACCGGCCAUCAACGGCUAUUUUGCCGAGUGCCCGGCCCGGCACUCGGCAAUUUUUUUAAUUUCUUUUUAAAUAUAUUUUUUGCCGAGUGCUCCUGGCCCUGGCACUCAGCAAAGUUUUUUCUUAAACAAAUUCUUUACCGAAUGCCCCUGGUCAAAGCACUCAACAAAGUUUUUUUUCUUUUUUUUUUCUAAAAAAUUGCUUUAACGAGUGUCCUAGCCCCGGCACUCGACAAAAGUUUUUUCUCUUUUUUUUUAAAAAAAAUGCUUUGUCGAGUGUCUCUGGUCCUGGCACUCGGUAAAGUUUUUUUUAAAAAAAAAUUGCUUUUGCUGAGUGUCUUGAUCUCGGCACUUGGCAAAGUUUUUUUUAAAAAAAAAAAUUGUGUUGCCGAGUGUCUCUAACCCUGACAAUCGGCAAAGGCUUUUUUUUUUCUUUCUUUUUAAGAAAUAUCUUUGUGUGAGUGCCCCUGUCCAAGGCACAUCGAUGUCACGGGACAGUAGUUAGCACUUGCAGUAUACUUUAUUUCUCUUGUGAGUUCCCUGCACUUGCAGAUUCUCUUGUCAGAAAUCAAUGCUUACGAGGUAGACUCACUGAUUUCUGCUUAACUAAGAGCAUCUCAAACCGUUUUGCACAGAUCGUUUGACAAAUAAGAGAGUUUACUAAGUCCUAAAUAAAUAUAGCAAAAGUGAAAAGAGGCAAUCUUCAAUGGUUUGACAUUAAUUACUUGGCAAAAAUGAAAACCUGGCGGCGUGAGGAGGGAGUAAUUGUGUGACCACGCGCGGGGACGACAGAGUUCGCGCGAGGGACGCGAUGCCAAGCGCGGAGGGGCUUGGCAUAUAUACGAGUCCUUCCCCUCUAUUUGCCAAGUUAACAAAAUUGCAAAUCCCAAUUGCCAAACCGUUGGGUAGGUAUUUUUUAGACUUUUUUGCAAAUACAUGAAUGCAAAGCCUAUUUGCCAAACGGUCGGGGAUACUCUAAUUAAAAUCUUUCUAGCCUUGUCCUGAGCGCCCUACAACUAAGCCUGGGCAUUCGGGUUAUCCGAUUUUUUCAGUUCGGGUAAUUCAAAAUUCGGAUAAUGAAAAUUGUUACCCGAUAUUAGUUCAAAAAACACUAUCUGCAAUUUCGAGUACACGCUAAUUCGGGUUCGGGUAUUCCCGAUUUACCCGAAUUUUCAAAAAACAACACACUAUACAAAAUUUCAAUAGCAAUUUAUAUAUAAUUUCAGCAGCGAUUUGUAUAGAAUUUCAAUAGCAUUUUGUAGAGAAUAAUAUAUUACUAUCACUUGUUCAAACAAAGAGAAUUAUGUUCUAAUAAAAUGAUAAGUUCUAAUAUUUAACUAUCAACACAUGAUAAAUACAAAGAUAUAGACAAAUAUUUGGGUAAUUCGGGUACCGGGAGAUAUUACCCGAAUUACCCAAACUAAUUUCGGGUAAUCAACAUCGCUAUCCGAAUUUAGGAUCGGGUACCUCGGGUUCGGGUAAUUCGGAUUCGGAUCCGUGUAAUGGGUAUCGGAUAAUUUGCCCGGGCCUACCUACAACUGAGUCAACUUAAUUAGAUUAGCUCAUUAUAUUGUACCGAUGAGGAGCACCCUUCAUUCAUCUGCCUUGAAACUUGUCUCCUCUCUCUCCCCCACCUUAGAGGCCAUAUGUGCAACCACCCGUCCCAAAGUCCAUUUGAUUAGGAGCUUGACUAUUGAAAGAAUGAGAAGAUGCAUGUCCAAUAGGGAUGGAGUGAAUUAAGAUAAUCUAAAAGUUUCACAAAAAUAAAAUCUAUGUUUAGCUAAAUUCACCCAUACAUGUUGUUCUAUGUCUGUAGCACAAAACUUUUGCACCCUAAGUUCGAACCCUACACUAGCAUGACAAUUAUAGGAAUAUAAAUUACAAGGAAUUAUAUGCAUAAUGUAAAGAGGGAGCAAGGGACACAACGAUGUUUCAUGAGAGGUAUCGGAGAGUUGUCACUCCUCACUAGUCCUUGUUAGAGCACCUCACAAGAUAUAGCUCCCCCUUGAUCUAUGCAAGGACCAAGCAGUGCUCUCUAGUGGUUGAUCAUUCUCCAAGAUGGAACGGUACGAUGGACCAUUGAAACUAUGUACGCCAACUUGGGCCUCUCACGAUCUUCACUAAGAGGUCACCGAGCACCAAUCAUUACCAACCCAUCUUGGUGAUGUCAAUUGAAGGGACCGUGAAUCCUAAGAGAGGAAGGGUGAAUUAGAUAACGUAAAAACUAUUCGGACAACCAAAACCUACUUAUAAAAUAUAUGCAAGACUUUAUCUAGAUAUGUGGACUAUGCAUGGUUUUGCUAGGUGUUAUUGUCAAUAACACAAAGGAGUCAUGCAACCUAGGUUGGUCCAAACUUAUUCAACUAAACUAGAAAUGUAGACUAGAAAUGGUGAAGCAUACAACCUAGGAAAAGCUAGGUAAAUGUAGAAAGUGUAAAUAGGUUAGAGAUGUAAAUUCCCACGAUGAUGAUUUUACCUAAGGUGUCGAAAAGCUCACACUUUUUUCUAGUCCUUGGAUCCUCGUAUCUCCUAGCAAGGAUGCCAUCGCAAAGGCCAAGCUCGUGAUGAGUUAACUCCGUGUGAAUCAUCCACGAGCCUUCCCCACAUCUGAGUGGGUCUUCUGUGGCCUUCUCCCAGACCACUUUCAUUGUCUUUAUUAUCGAGCUUCCAUUCAAAACACUGCAGGCCUCUCGUUCCCUCUGAUACCCUUGUGCUGGGACUACAGGUUACUUGCGAGGCUCAAUUUAGCAAAGGUAGUGUGUUGUGGUAUUGGUUCACUUUUCCAAAAUUAACUAAGACAAUAUAGGGUUUUAUUUGCCUUGUUUUCCCUAAACGAGGUGGUUGAUCUGUGGUUUGCCUAUAUCAAUACAGUUCAGGUGGGAAGAUGCUUUGCCCCCCCCCCCCCCCCCUUUGAACAUUCAAAAAAAGAAAAGGAAAGGAAAAAAAUAAAAUGAUGAUGGACUACAUGUUCUAAAAGGCGAGUACUCUUUGCAAGAAUACCUUGCUACUGUACAAAGCAAAUCCCCACGACCUCUCAAGCUGGAGCAACCAUGGCACCACUCAGGGUAACUUAAUCUUAAUGGCAUGGAUGACAGCGCAAACUAGCUGUUAAUGUACUUUAAUUUGUUGUAUAUGCAUGCCACGUAUGUGUUCUAGCUCAUCAUCAGUAUAUAGUAUAUGAUGCCAUCCAAGAUAUACUCAUGCUAACUUAGCUAGCUCUGUGUAUGCGUGUAUCUCGCUAGCUAGCCAUCUCUCUAAACGUACGCAACUACGUAUAUAUAUAUAUAUAUAUAUAUAUAUAUAUAUAUAUAUAUAUAUAUAUAGGAGUAUGCUGCUGUAAAUUAAAACUAUAUAUGCUAUAUUAUAUAACUAGGUCUCUGUGUAGCAACAAUGACUAUAUAUAGCUAUUUGAUGGAGGAUUUCUUGAGAUAUAUAUAUGGAUUGGUUAAAAGUUGAGGACGCUGGCGUAGUAGGGUGACCAGCUCUCCAUCCAUGGGCUCCGCAGCUGGGUCAGAAAUGGGUCCUGCAUCCACUCCUGCUGCUUCGCCACCUCCAGCUGCGGCAGGCUCAGCGUCGCCGGCUUCAUUAGCGCCGCCGCCGGCAGCAGCGGCUCCGCCACCUCCUCUUUCUUCAUGCUCAUCACAGGUGGUGGUAAGAUGCCCACGGGCAUCAUCGUCAUGGUCUCCACUCCCUGCUGCUUCUGGGAAUGGUGGUCCACCGCCGCCGCCGCCGUCUCGUGGUCCGACGACGACAUGGAGUCGGCGGGGGAGCCGGUGCUGUGGGACGCGGACGGCGUGGCGGUGGCGCGCGCCAGCUCCUCCAUGGCCACCCGCUGCUCCAGCUCCUUGAGCGACACAGCCUUCCGGUAGAUCUUGCACAGCACGAUGUCCUCCUGUUACAUAUAUAAAAAUGAUGAUUAGGACUUGCACUAUACUACUAGCAGCUAGCUAGCUUAUGGACUGAAAUAUCUAUAAAAACGUUGUUUUCAUGCUGCACCUGACAAAGUAAAUAUCUCUAGCUAGCUAGCUAGGUGUGUCCUACUUUUCAAAGCACGCGCGUGACUACUGACUACUGGCUACCUCGGAGUCAAAGUCAACCAUUUCACACACUCCACAUAUAUACUAUGCACACUAAUUGACCUCAUACAUCAGGAAUAAUUACUUAUAUUCUAGAAGAAUGAAUUAACGAAAAUGCAAACUAAACUAAUUAAAUGUCCUGUUUCGAUUUUUAUUAGGGGCAUGCUAAUAGUUAUUAACACAACUAAACUUCCGUUGAUAGUCUUGAAGAUCCAAAUAAAUAGGGCUGCUAAUACAGACCUCAAACUACUAGCAGGUGAAGAUGCUAUAGUUAUUAGUUCAUCAGUCAAUCGGUAGAGAGGUGCUAUAUAUAUUAACAGUUCUAUAUAUCUCCAACCACCUAUAUAUUAUCAGUUGGAUUAGUUUGUAGAUUCAGUACGUGGCGGGCCAGGGUCUGGCAGGGCCAUGACCCCCCCAACAUGUGUCAACAAAAAUUUUUACCAUUAUAAAUUUAUUAUUUUUAUUUAUAUUAAGAGAGAAAUAUAACAAUUUUAUCAUAUAUACUUAUUAAUAUCCUCUAGAUAAUAAAAUCAUACUACCUCCCUUCUAAAUUAUAAGUCAUUUGAGAGUCAAAAUAUCCCAAAUUUAACCAAAUUUAUAUGAUAAGAUAAUAGUAUUUAUGAUGCCAACUAAGUACAAUUAGGUUAUUCAUUAAUUAUAUUUUCGCAGUAUAUCUGUUUUAUGACAUAAAUCUUUAUAAUUCUUUAAAUUUGAGAUACUUUGAUUCUCCAGGAUUCUUAGAAUAAUUUAUAAUUUAGGAUGGAAGAAGUACAAAACAUAACUAGAUAAUACUAUGAAACACCCGAGACACAAAUUUUUAGGUUUACAAAAUUAUCUCAAACGUCCUACUUUUUUAAGGGUUUAUCGUCAACUACCGAAAGAAUAACAUAUUUGAUCCUAAAAUACAUAUAUAAAAUACGAGCACUUUUGUCAAGUUGAUGAAUUAAGCUAGACGGUCACCACCGGUUGUACUCGGAGCUUUGAUAAAUUGGAUUUUUUGGUUGGCCCUCUCUAUACAUAAUUUCUGAGUAGAUUUAGCUAUUAGCAUCAGCAGAUGCUAAUAAAGAUGUUGGAUUAUACUAGAUACUAGGUACGACGUACAAGCUAGGAUGAUGAUGCAUAUAUAUAUAUAUGCAUGUAUAAUUGUAUAUACCUUGGGCGAUUUGUUGGUGGAGGAGGCCGCCGAUGAGUCACCACCGGCGGCAUUGCAGCAGGUGGCGUCGGGGAGGCGAUACUCGUUCAUGACCCAAUCGGUCUUGGUGCCACGCGGCGCGCGGCCCUCGUAGUAGACGAGCGUCUUCUUGAGCCCGAUGAGGCGCUUGGGGUCGGCGGCGCACCGGACGGCGCGGUCGGACCCCGUGGCCUUCCAGAACCCGCGCUCCGUCGUGCGGCUGGGCCGGCCCCCGCCGCCGGAGCCGGACUGGUGCUGCUUGGCCGCCCGGCUGCCGCCGCCGCCGUCGCGGGGCACGAAGAAGUACCACUCGCGCUCGCCGAUGCGCGUCAGGCCCGGGAGCUCCCAGGGGUCGUGCCGGUACAGGUGCACCGUGGGGAUGAUGUCGAACUUGAGCUUCCGCCCGUACGCCACCUGCUUCAGGUAGAACUCCAGCAGCUCCUCCUCCGUCGGGUGGAAACGGAACCCCGGCAGCUCCAGCUCCGCCGCGCCCGCGCCGCCGGAUGACGACAUGGAUUGUCGUUGGUUGCUCUCUCUAGCUGCUGCUGGCUGCUGCUGCUUGAUGGAACGAUGAUGGAGAUGAGCUGCUGGCUGCUGCUGAGAGCCGGAUCGGAGAUGGGAAGGAAGAGGGUGGGUUCCCUCUGCAUAUAUAGGCCGGCGGGGAGCGAGGAGUGGAGGAGGAGGAGGAGGAGACAUGACACGAUGGCGUCAUGGCGAGCGAGACUGCGACUGCGACUGCAACUUCAAGAGUGAGAUGAUGAGAGGAAAGUGUGUGUGUGUGUGUUGGGUGAUGCGCUGCGCUCUCGUCUCUUUCCCAGUCUUCUCCUGCGUCAUACUAGCUGACUUUUAUUAUUAUUAUUACUGCCCUAACGCCAAAGGUAGUGUCGUCUCUGUGUGUGGAAAUUAAGACUUGCUUUGCUUGGAAUUCUUCUUAGGCUAUCUCCAACAAAGCCCACCCAAAUCGAGACCUAUUUCUCCCCUUUGGGUCACGAACACUGAAUGAGCAAAGCACCCAAAACUACUCUCCUCCAACAGCGAACCCAAAUUCCUGCUGAGCACCGCCCUCCUUGUCUCUCUCCUCGCGCGAGCGCUGCCCCUCCUCUCUGCGUACCCAGCGUCGCCCCUCCCUGCCGAGCGCCGGUCGCCUCCUCCCUGCCGAGCGCCGCCCCUCCUCUGCCUCCCUACCCCGACGCUGCUCUUCCCCGACGAGCAUGACGCCUCUCCCUCCCAGAUCCAGUGAUCGCAGGCGAGGAGCAGCCUGAAUCCGGCGGCCGCAGGCGAGGAGGAACUCAGGUCCGUCACCCCAUCGAGCGUUGCCUGCCUCCGUCCCCGUCGAGCGCCGUCCGCCUUCGUCGUCGUCGAGCGCUGCCGCUCGCCUCCUACCCCACCUUGCGGUCAUCGGGCCCACCACUACAAGGGCAUUUCAUUUGCAUCGUCGUCCCAAGAGGACGCUUUUUUGCCUCUCGAUUCAUUCAGAACCCAAAAUAGGUCAUCUGUUUGGGUCAUCUGUUGGGAGGCGUUUUUGGGAAGGCAAAGCACUGUUGAGAGCCUAUUUUGGGUAUAGGUUGCAUUGUUGGAGACAGUCUUAGUGCUCAUUAUUUUACAGAUAUAUGCAGUACUUUGCUUGGGAGAUCAUUAACUAGCUUUGUGGUACUGUCGUCAGUAUCUAACGUAAUGAUAAUUAAUAUAUUAUAAUCUGGGAAAAUGUAACAUCUCGGCGCAUAGCUUAAUAGGAUACCCAUACAAAGUUGCAACUUUUUUUCUGAAAGUCUAUCUCCAAAGAACUCUGAGUUCUUCUCGGUUACGCACGAGUAAGAAUAUAAUGUUGAUCUAUGACGACAACUUAUGUUCUAGAAAAGCUGCCCAGAUAUAAGCGGGUAAGAGGCGGGAUGUUACAGGAAGACUGAUUAAUCUAUACUUAUAUCCUUUAACCAAUUGAUGAGGAUUUCAGAGUUGUGUUGCACGAUGAAUCAUCUAAUACCCCUCCACGAAAAUGAAAAUAUAAUGUUCCAUGCUGGAGUAUUUUUACUAGUAUUUAUUUAGCAAAUGGAAAAUAGCUUCUUUUCUAGUUUCUUUGUUGUGAACAUCCUUUCUAGAAUUUUUUGUGUACAUUAAACAGUUAAACAUUGAUCAUCCAUAUUUUAGUCUGUUUGAAAGAAGAUUGUGUAGUGUGUCAAAAGAAAAUUUUAAUUCUUCCAUUCUGAAAAAAAAGUCGUAUAAUAUUAAUUCCUUCAAAAUAAGUAUAACUGAUUGGUGCUACCAACUGGUGAACUGGAGCGGUGCACAUAUACACACAAAAAAAAAAGAUGAACCUCCGAUCUCUGCAGAUAAAGAAGUGAGUGGUUGCAAGCCUGCAAAGUGGUCUGAGACGACUUCGUCCAUUGGUGCACACUAAACUAAAUUAUUCAGAGUACGCGUCUGCACUGCGCUGCAAUUAAUUAGUAGAUAAGUAGCUUUUCUUAAUUCAUGUGCAUGCAGUGCUGAUCAGAUUGGGCACCCGUAGCUUUCUCAAAGGAUACGGAGAGAAUAAUCUCUUACUGCCUGUAUACCAUCAUCCUUGACCUUGACCAUACCAUAUGUUAGUUCCUAUGUCUAAUGCCUUAUUUAGCACUGAUAAACUUACAUCACUUGAUGCACCUGCACACUUUUCUUGAAAAAAAAACAUGAUUCUUUUAAAAAAACACAAUCCAUACACACAUAUAUGCGCACACAUUUGCUCCUAUGAACGCACACAUGCACACUUUACCCCUGCUAUGAGCAUAAGACUAGGUUAAAUUACCACAAGCGUCUCAUUGUUAAUAGGUGUGUGUCGCCUACCAUUAAAAGAACAACGAAAUAAACAUGAUUGUUGAUUAAUUUAAUGAACGCAUUGCAUAUUGUCUUAUAAGUAUUUGAAGGUGUGCCCUAGGAACCAUGUUUAAUUUUUUUCCCUCUCCUUGAAACCUGACCGGGUCAUCAUGUUUGAAAUACCAAACAAAUGUCUGGAUCAUGGAACAAGUAUAGUAAUGCUAUUGCUUCAAAAAGUUGUCUGUGCUGUAGAAGAUACCCCUUCACUCUUCAUAGCCACAGCUUUACACGUAGAGUUCCUUUCGAUAUCGAUGGCCUUAUUUACUUUGACACAAGACGUACGUGUUGAAUUGAAUUGGUAAAACCUAUAAAACAGUUUAUUUGUAAACAUAUAGUUCCAGGAAGCCUAGGGAAAAUACAAACAAAAAAAACCAUAAGUUUUCCACAAGACAGACGGACGGAUGGAGUGUUUUGACGUGCUGACAGUUUGAAUUCCUUGCAUGCACAGGUAAUCAGUCAGGCAUGGCCAUGACUUUCACAAGAAAUCCCAAGCUCAGGACGACACUACUGCAUUACAUUUGCAUGGUGAUGCUGCUCUCUUGGCAAACCUCCAAGCCUUUGUUUUGUCGUCCCUCUGAAAAGAAAACCGCGUGUUGAAUCGUUCCAAGUCCUGAAAUGAUUCUCCCUUUUGACGAAACACCAAAAGAAUUAGUUACUUUCUUACAGGAAAUCAUUGCACUUAAGAGAAUUUAUCAGGCGGCGACGGCGGCGGCUGCUGCUGCGCAAAAGAGACUAAUGGUUGGCUAAAGUGGUUGCAGUUUUCAGGCACCUUACCAUUAGCAUGCAACUGUGGACCUGCACCUGCUUGGGCUACGCACGUACUACACCACUAGUAGACAUGUCCAAAUCAGGGCAAUAACUCUUUCGUCUUUAAUUUGCACCUUUAGUUUAAUCUGUGCCUUCCUAUGAAGCAACCUUAGUUAGCUUGCAGUCAGGGAAAUAAGCAAUAUUAACUGAUUAUAUUGCUAGUGUUUGAUUGACAGAAUUCAGCAAUCACUCCAAAUUUGACUGCAGGAAAACAAAAUCUCCAGUAAGUUUGCAGUCAUAUCUGAACAGCAAGUUUGCAGUCAUAUCUGAACAGCUUUAUUUACCUAUCUCAGGUAUUCUUUUUUUUUUAUUUGCGUGGUAUGCUUUAAAAGGACUUAUUAUACCAUCAGCAACACAGAAACAGUACCAUAGAGUAUUACCUACUAGUGCUUCUGAGUGUGACAAGCGUGGACUUGUCUGGUGCUAGGAGACUGGAGACAAGCUGUACCAUAUGAAUCAAGAAAGCAAGACCUGGAAAACGGAGUUGGGGCCAUCCAUCCAUCCAUCCAUCCAUCCCUGUCGCUUGGACCCGUUCUUGGAUGCACAAGUCGUUGCUGGUCGAUGGAUGUUGCCUCUUGCCGGGGAGUCAAGUCCAUGGUUGCAUUGCACUGCGUUCCAUUCCUUUCCACCAGUGACAUUCAGCCACACACAAAGGUCACAAGAUCUGAUCGAUCUGAGGCUUCUUUGAAGCGGUCCAAGUCUUUUAAUUCUGGAGAGAUAGAUAGGUGAUGCUUAGGCCUUGUUUAGUUCACCCUAAAAUUCAAAAAAAAAAAAAAUCAAGAUUCCACAUCACAUCGAAUCUUGUGGCAUAUGCAUGGAACAUUAAAUAUAAAUAAAAUAAAUAACUAAUUGCAUAGUUUACAUGUAAUUUGCUAGACAAUCUUUUGAGCUUAGUUAAUCCAUAAUUAGACAAUAAUUACCACAUACAAACGAAAUUGCUACAGUAGCUCGAAAACUUUUCGCAAGCGAACUAAACAAGGCCUAAGGCUUGGAGCCUGUCACUCUUCUUGUUCUGUGCUGGAGAGAGAGAACAUAAAUGAAGAAGCUGAUGUUGGUGGGUAAGUCACCUCAGUGCUCCUAGUGGUGGUGGUGCCAAUGACGUUUCAUGAGUUGGAAGACCUGGAAGAAGAGGUCGUUAGUGAUCCAUCUUUUUGUUGAAAGAUCAAAAAUAUAGUAUUAUGACACAUGAAAAGAUGCCUGCGUGAGGCUGGCCUGACCCUCGGUGGAGCUGACCUGACCUGACCUGCUGAACAGCUGAAAUCAAAUGUGAACUAGACAGGAAUAAGGAAUGAAGAAGCGUCCUAACUUAUCUUCAGUUUUAGUACUGCAGACUGACAGUAUCUGUUCUAUAUCUGCUGCAUUGGCAUCUAAUAUUAAACAUCUUCAUCAACCUAGGAAGUACAAAGUACAAGAAACCCCAAGUUUUUAUUCUGGACAGGGCACAUUUAGCCAUGUACCCAGUCAAAAUCCAGGUGAACCCAGGCCAUGGCUCCUCUGUACAUACACACAAUCCAUCCCUGAUUAUUCUUGUCUACUAUCUAGAAAACUAUACAAGCAGUGCUUGCUCGGAGAUGACACCAGUCAUCUAAGAGCUACAGGAAAGGACCGUUACAAGGGCACCAGCGGCUAGUCCAGUAGAGCAGGACUAUUAAGAGGGCGCUGGCAGCCAGUCCAGUCCUGAUCAAGGACUUCUGGCUUCAUUUGGUGUUUUUAUUGGAUGACUGGCGUGCAAACUUCCAUCCCUUCUUGCUUGCAUCCUCCUUGCCACCAGAUGUUGCCUCCUUGUCUUCUUUAGUAGCUGUAGAAGUUUUGACGGGGGUAGCAUCAACAUCGAUGAUGUCUGGAGAAGUCUUUCUAGAACCAGUUGUCUCUGCUUUCGCUUGAAGACGUUCAGCCUCUUCAUCUACACGAUAAUAAGCCUGGUAGCAGAAUGAUUUGUCAGGGGGGCUGAUAUUGCACUGCUGACGGAUAGAUUCUAGUUCAUCAGUUCAGUUAAGUAGCUGAUUAAGUGAACAUUACCACACAAGUGCGGGGUGGGGAAAGGACUUUGAAUGAGUUUGGCCGGUUGUUGAAGUUUGUUUCAGGCACCCCUGGUAUCCCUUCAGGCGACGUGAAGUGAUCCACGUCGUGGCCAACCUGUGUCACAACAUAGAUUAAUCUUGCAAACAUGACAGCCUGAUACAAUAUCCAUGGUCCCAACUACAGGAGUAGGAAAAAAAAUGUCAGCACCUAUCACUACUUACUCUUCCAUGUCCACCAAAGACGAAAGCAUCAGAGUCCAGUGCUACUCUGUAUUUCCCAGGCAAAUCACAUCCAACUUUGUAACUGCAUAUUAAUUGCAAAGUAAAGAUGAGAGUAAGCACACAGCACACUAGACCACAGGCAAAAGGAACAUUGAAAAGACAGAUUACAACUGGUAACUUACCCGUCAUAAGUUUUCUUGGGAUGAAAAUUGAAAACAAAAACCAAAUCUCCACGUUCAAAGACAAUAACCUGAAACAAAGUAGAAAUAAAUUGGAAAUAAUGUUUUCACAAACCAAACUAUUUGAAUCAAAUGGCUAGGGUUUCAGAAACCGUGCAUUCCUAAAUUGAAGCUCACCUUAAUCGGCAAAAUACAGCACACAAGCUAGAGUUACUACUCUUCCUAAAAGAAACAAAUGCCGUAACACUCUCAUACUAAGUAUUCUCAAGUCCUUACCUUUUUCUCAUCAUUCAUGUCGCUUACAAUCUGCUUGGAUGACAAAAGGAAGGAAAAUCUCUCAUCGAGCGCAUUCAUUGCUUGAUCAAACGCAUUCAUGUACUGUUCAGCAUUUGAGCAAGGAGAAAACAAUAAUGUGUUAGCUGAGAUAAACUGUAAACCUGAACUAUAGAAAAACAGAAAAAACAGGCUUUCACUUGGAUACAUAGUUCACCAUAUGCUGUAAAAAAUUAUAUAUUAACACAACAACCAAUCACUGAGAAGUGCAUUCCUAGGUCUGCAAAGUUAAGAAAAUGUCAUACCAAUCAAUGCACUGAAAUUACUUUCAUUCAACAAUGGCAAAACAUAAAACCAGGUCAACAAAAUAGUAGGUUUGCACAGGCCAAUCCAACCUGUCUAUUGAGUAAGAAGUACAAGGUUGGUGCAGUUUACUAAAGUAGGCUAGUGGCAGCAAAACAAAGUGUGGAAAAGCAUAUUUGAAUCCAGCUCAACACAAAAGUGUGACAGCAGUACGGAACUCUCAUCUAACUAGUAUCAGAGAUGGUGAUAAAAAGGAAAAAAAAAACUAUAUUAUUCAUAGACAUAACCUUGUACCGCAAGUGAUCAGUGUCCACAAGGCUCCACUGACGUCUGCAUUUAUCAUAGCUCCAGUUGUUCCCUUCUCUUGGAAAGUCAAUCCAUUCUGGGUGACCAAACUAGAAGAGAAAUGCACGUCAAUUAAAGACACUACAAAUAAGAAGGAAUAUAUGCAGCUGCCAUUCUGUCAACUAACUUCACCAAAGAUCACACUCUCAUGUGUAAAAGUAUAAAUAGCAUAUGAAAAAAAAAAUCAUUUUUUCCAUUCCAGAAUGGUGUGGGUGAAAGACUUGAUAAUAUCUCUGUAAGAUGUUUGACAUUUCUUUGUUCAAAAAAGAUGUUUGACAUUCAAGCAGUAUGCUUUCAACAGUGAAGGGUCACUUGUGUCCCAUGUUGUACGAAUAUAUUGGACAAGCCACAAAAGGAUUAGCAGCAAUAAACAGACCACAUUUUCAUGUGCAAAGACGAGCGCCUAUUCAGAAUUAACAUUAACUAUUCAAAUAGCCAUUAGGAACUUGAGUUACUGAGAAAAUAGAGGAUCAACCCUAAAUGCUGAAACAUCAAAUAGACAAAAUAGAACAGGUUUAUGAAGGCUUCUUAAUGGGAAAGAUUUUUUAAUAGACCAAGAUUUCACCUCAUUCCCCAUAAAAUUCAAGUAGCCAUCACCUCCAAGGGCCAUUGUGAUGAAGUGAAUCAUCUGGAGUGUAUAGAGCACAAUAAGCAAGCUAUAUUAAGAGGAGGGAACACGUUCAAGAAUUAUAUGAAACCAAGUUCAACCAGAACUUGAGGAGAAAUGGAACCUUUUGGAGUGCAAUCCCUCGAUCAAUUGUAGGUGAAGCAGGCUGCAAGUCUGACAUGCCAGUGUACAUUUCCUUGUCCAUCAGGAGAAAUGCUAUAGUUUUGUCGCCAACGAUAGACUGAAAAUUUGCAUGAGAUUAAUUUCCAGUAGAAGAUAAACAGGUCAUAUGUGACUGCAAAUUAUUAGACAUGCUUAGGAGAGCCUAAAUAUUUAUGAAUGAUUCAUGCAAUUACGUAAUCAGGAUAGAAAUGUGAAUGAAAUAAAGUACUGUCUGAUUAAGAGAUCCUUGCCCCACGUUUUAGUAGUCGACCUCUACUCCAUAAGGAAUAAAAUACUUUGCUGAAUCCAACUAUACUUCCUUAUAAUAUAAUGCAGGGUACCUGAUCAUGGCUCUCAGCAUAUGCGAUGCAUUUUUCAGUAUAUCUCCUGUUAGUCAAAGUAUGCGCUAUUUCACCCAUCGACCACUCAGAGUCAUCUUUAUUCUUCAGGUAGUCAAUCCAUCUAUCAGGGAUAGCCAUUGCCAGGCGAUAGUCAAACCCAACUCCACCUUCAUCAACUGACCGGCAAAGGACUGGCAUGCCUGAAACAUCUUCAGCAACAACAGUUGCUUCUGGCAAGAGUUUGUGCAUUAAAUGGUUUGCAAGCAUCAUGUAAACAACUGCAUCCACAUCUGUGUCCAAACUGAAAUACUCCUGGUAAUUACCAGUAAACCCCACAUUGAUACCAUGGUGAUGAUACAGCAUUGAUGUAACUCCAUCAAACCGGAAGCCAUCAAACAUGAAUUCAUCUAGCCAAUAUCUCAGGUUAGAAAGAAGAAACCUCAAUACCUCCCAGUUAGCAUAGUUGAACAGCCGACUGUCCCAAAGUUUAUGAUAACCUCUAUCUCCCAUAUGAAAAUAGGACUCUUGGGUGCUUUGUCCAACAUCAUAACCAUUUAAACCAUCUGUGACAUUAUUACUUGCAUGGCUGUGAACAACAUCCAUCAGAACUCGCAAACCCAAACUGUGUGCCUUAUCAACAAGAUAUUUUAGGUCCUCUGGUGUGCCUGAUCUGCUGCUAACCGCAAAGAAAUUUGUCACAUGGUACCCAAAAGAAGCAUAGUAAGAAUGUUCCAUAACUGCCAUCAACUGAACGGUGUUGUAGUUAUUUGCUCGUAUGCGUGGCAACACAUUGUCUGCAAAUUCCCUAUAUGUGCUUACUGCUGGCUUUUCACCACUCAUACCCACAUGGGCUUCAUAGAUACGUGGAGCAGCAGGCUUUGAAGGCCGAGGAUGCUUAAAAGUGUACCUGCAAAACAGAGGUAAAAGGUACUAUAAUUUUGUCAUAUAUUUUUGUCAAGCUAAGAUCUAUUGCUUAAGUUUACAAUGUGGUUGCGGACAGACAGUAGCAACAGACCUUUCAGAAGCAGGAGGAUCCCAAUGAACACCAUCAUAGGGAGCUCCAAAUUUAGAGGCAUCAGCAGUCGCAUAACGAAUCCAUGCAGGAAUACGAUCAACCCAUACUCCACCAUGUAGAAAGCGAAAUUUAACCUUGGAAUUAUGAGGGAUAGCAGGUUUCCCUUUGACAUGGUCAAUUUUGAUCGACCAAACACCAAAUUUAUCCUUCUCCAUCUUGUGGUUUGCACCAUUCCACUCAUUGAAGUCACCAAUAAGCUCUGCCUCCCUACAUCCAUAAGUAAAAUAACUGAAAUGCAUCAAUCUAUUAAAUUAGUGGAAACUAUGUUUUGUCAUGCAAAAGAAAACAGCAUCAAGUAAUCACAACAACAACAACAACAACAACAAGAGAGCGAAAAAAGGUUUUUAGCCUCCUCAGCCAAGAGCCCAAGACAUGACAGUCUCGUACAGGAGUGAAAUCUCCAAACAGUUAUGUAUUCCAAAACAUUGAUUACUUCACUAUGCUGUAGCACCUUUUUUUAUCUAGUUGCUAUCAGAAAAUGAUAACCAUACUUCGUGAGUAUCUCAUAUUUGCAUGACAACAUUUGAACUUACUGUGCAGCAGGUGCCCAUUCGCGAUAUACAGUUCCAUCCUCACUUGUAUUGAUCCCAAAUUUCAAAUAGCCUGAAAAAAAUAUAAAAUCCAGAUAAGGCAGUAUUUUGCGGCAUAGGCAGGUGCCAUAAAUAUUAGCAUUUGAAUGUAUAAGCCUAACCUUUAGAAAAUUCUUCAAGACUUCCCUCAUUUUCCUCAAUGGAGCCUUUCUGGUCCAGGAAUUUUUUCAUCCGGUAGCUGAAAUGGUCCUUGAAUUUCACCAACUUGGGGUCCAGGUCGUAUAUGGGAAGAUGGUCGACGUUGCCUUUGGCGGUUGCCAUAGUUUUAUCUUCUUGCACAAUAGCUGCAGUGGCGAAUUUGCUCUUGACCUUGCAAAGUGUGUUAAAGCCCUCAGAAUUAUCUUUUUGUUCGAGAACACAACUUGGCGUGUAUUUCAUUAAGAAGAAGUCAGACUGCCGAAAAACGGCUUACACGACGCGAUGGGAGAACCUAAAGCGCAGCACACGAACCACAAAGAUUAAAACAACAAACACAAAAGAAAGAAACAUGGAAGGGAGAGGGCCCUCCGCCACAACCUAGCCAACUGGACCUGCAAAGAAAAAUACAACGCAAAAGACUGCCAGUAGGGCAGAUGAAGCCGUGGUGGCAAAGCAUCCACCAAGAAGAGAUACACGGCGGCAAAGCAUCUGCCAAGGCCAGAUUCAGAAUGAUCACGAGCAUAUAGAAGCUAACACGUGACAAUGUAGUAAGACUACUUAUCUGCUGCAGCAACCAUAGAGUAUACCACUUUAUUAUAAGAGUAAAUGAUUAGAAUAGCCGAAGAAAACCAACCACCGAAAUUUAAUAAACAACUUUAAUUGGAAUCUGAGAUUCACCUGACUUGAUAAAAUAGAUUCGACGAUUACUGGUAAGAAAGCACUAGAGCCUAGCCUCACCCAGAUCCACAAAUCCCAGUUUUUCUCUCCAAAACUACCACCAAAUUCCAUUUUGUUCGUAAAAACAUGCUUCAAUACGGGGAAAAGAUCUACCUUCCGGGGCCCUGACCGGCGAGCCUCGCACUGGACAGACAGCACACUCAGGCGCACAUUGCUGCCACCCUGCGAAACCAUCAGCCAUCAGUACAAACCAAAAAAAAACAGAGUAAAUCCAUCAGUCCCCUUGGAUCGCCGCAGCUCACCGCGAUCCCUGGCGGCGCCGCCCGAUCAGCAGGCGAACGAGAGCGCCGCGGCGGCGGGAGCGGAGUCGGCGAGGAAGACGGCGACACGAGGCACAGCAUUGCGGCGGCGUCGGUGUCGGCGAGUGAGUCCCAUCUCGUCAGCAAUCCAAAUCCCUGGCGCUUUAUAGCCGGGUUCCGGACUGGAGCUGGCUUGGCGUCUUCCUCCCUAUCCUCUCCCUCGCAAUGAAGGCGUGAUUUUUCUGGCUUGGUCGUUUCUCUCUCUUCCCACCUUUCUUCCCCGUCGCAAUCUGCCGCUGCGACAAGCAGGAGGAGGCCAUGGCAGGCAGUGAGUGGCACAUGACCCUGCUGCGCCGGAUCUGUGGGCCCGGAAUGGCCGGGCGUGCCACGUGGACGGACACGAACAGCCGAGAGCUGCUAGUUCUGGCCUUCUGGGCCGAUUGGCCUUUCGGCCUGCACUGGUCCCCUCCCCCGGUUUGCCUUUUUCUUUUUUUUUUGCCUUAUUUAUGUUAAAUAAAAGAAAAGGCCGGAAAAAUAGAGUUUUUAAGUUGUUCUUAAGGUAAAAAUACAAACAGAUUAAUUAAAUUACGUUUUAAUUUGAUGCCAGAUGUAAUUUUUUUAUGUGUAUAUAAUCUAUAGCUUGUGCUGAUAGAUCAUCAUCAAUUCAUCAUUAUUGCAACUACUCCGUUCUUCUUUUGUGAUGUACUUUUUGCGUAGCUUUUCUAACAAAUUGAAGUGGUGAUGGAAAUGCGGUGUCAUCUGCAUCAGAUGAGCUCUGGCUGUUGUUAAUCAGACAAGCCUGCCUGUGGUUUUUAUUGGGGUUCCUUGCAGUGCAGAGUUCAUCUUGCACUUCGCAUGUUGCGUCAGACAACCAUGUUCACUUUUUAUAUAACUGAAAAAAGGAAAACCAAAUGAUCAUCUUCAGUGAUCAGGAUACACAAGGAAUUGGAAAGGUAGAUGGCAGAGUGCUUGCUCAUGCAAUCUGAUCAUCUCAAGGAACUCAAAAGUCCAUCCGUAGUAGCAAAAGGAAAGAAAAAAGGGUUCUGCUUUUCUGGUACUUGUGUGACCAUACCAUAAGUAUGAAGCUAAACUUCACACGAGCAUAGUGUGACAACGGUCUGCUCUCUCAGCCCUGAGACCCUGACCCUCCUGAAAAUCACGCCACCUCAGAAUGAACAGUGAAAAUGAUGAUAUAUAACGUCAAAGCAUGGAACAAAGCAAAUAGAGUGGCACAGCAUCUCAGACCUCUAACUUUGGAAACAUAAUCAAUCUAUUCUUUUGUAUGACUAGUUCUAGUCUGUACUUAAGUACUUUACAAGGAUGAAGUGGGAACUCAGAACAGGCAUAUUGCUUCCUUCCAACACUUGCUCUAAGUAGGCCUGGCAUCUUAAAUACAGGAGCAAGGCCUCAGCAGCUGAAAUUGUCAGCUGAAAGAAUCAACAGAGUAACAGACAACAAACUGAUUGCUCAUCUCGAUUUGGCCGUGCUACAACAUCAUUCCAGAGACCUCAUCUUACACUGGCUCGGUUUUCGCAUAUCACCACAGGACAACAACUGUGACAUUUAUAUAGUAUCUCCACAGAUUGCUCUUAGUUGUCACUCCCUAGUAAUCCAUCUGUUCCCUCGGAUCUCAAACCCACCAAGGCCAUGGUCGCUGCUCUCUCCACCGCUCUCAGCACUUGCAUAACCUGAUUUCCUGCGUUGCCUUCGUGCUUUCUUUGGACCACUGUUGUCACUCAGGCUCCCAUUCAGGAGCGGAUCAUCAAUCCCACUGAUGACCCUGGUCAAGGAUGUGGGUGAACUGAUGCAGCUAUCGUCAUUUGUUUUCUUCUUUCCCUUCUCGCGCUUUUUGAUGUUCUCGGAUAUCAUGUGCAGCUUUUCAUUGAUGGGUUCCACAGCAUGGUUCACAGUAAACUUCAAGUCAUUCACAAUCUGCGAGAAUGGUCAGAUGAGAUUUCACUUUAGCUAACAUAGGGGGAAAAUAGUAAUUCAAGUAAAAAAAUGAAGGUAAAUGAGCAUUUGUCCCCCUUACGUAUUCACCACCUCCAAGUACGACAUCACGAACGCUUUCCUUUAUGGCAGUGGAAGACCUGACACGAUCAUCUGGCUGGGGAAGCCUAAACUUGGUUGGGCGCUCACUAUCCUUGACUUCAUCUGGAUCUAACGGGCAGUCGACAGAAGCAUAGUCUCCAAGAACUGAAACAUCUCCAACAAAACGAUCACCAAUUAGCUCGUAUGGCUUCGCAGGGAAGACAUACAGGUGGACAACGGCAGCAACACCCAUCUGCAUAGCACAAGACUGUUAGGUUUACUUCAAAUGAACAUGAAGAAUGCAAACAUGCAUAAAUAUCGACCUAUAGAACAUGCCCUCUUCAAACUACUAACAGCAAAGCUUCCCGUAUGAACAAAUGCUAAAUCAUGUAUUGAAAAGGUACAAUAGGAGUUAACCACCUCUAUGCAGAUAAUAAAGUCUUGGAUACUUGACUUGAACUGCAAUUCUUGAGCAAUAGGACCUCUCAACAAACCCCAAUUGAAGAGCAGUGCGAUUGCUAUACCUUGCCACCAUGUUAAGAACACAAUAGACUUGAAUGUCAGAAAUUUUGCAAGAGGCUUUAUAUGAGCUAACUCAUCCUUUAUCACAGCAUAGAACUGAACGAGACAGUAUAAGGCCCAUGACUGACUGAAAUUGAGAACCACAGCCGUGUAAGAGUACCUGGUAGUCAAGUAAAUAGUUCAGUAAUGGCAAGACAUGAUUAUUUAAUUCCUACGCCAUCAAAUGCAUGAGCAAGUUGACCAAUGCUAGCACAUGUGCAACAGAAUAUAAUAGGCAAACAGACGAGAGAGGGAAAAAGAACAGCAAACAGCUUAUGUUUCAAAAAGUGUGCAACUUAACAAACAAUUUCUGAGCUGUGUACAGUAUGCUAAUACAGGAUGAGGCAUCUAUAAAGAAAAAAGCAUGGUACAGGAUAAAAAGGAGGGUCAUAACCACCAUAAAUUAGAUGCAAACGUUAGUUGUGACUGAGUGUUAUAAAAUACAUUCAUGCAGCUUGUGAGAGUCAACUACCACAACACGGAACACCAGAAAUAGAGCACAUAAUCUGAAAUAUAUGAUUCAAGAAAACAGCAAGUUGACUAUAGGUUCAGGACAGCUAAAUCUAAUGAUACACUAAGUGAUAUAUAACAUAUAACAAAUACAUUCCUGCCCACAGUUCAAGGGAAAAUGGGCAUAAAUGCAUUUGCAUUUUUAAUAACUUCCAAAAAAAAAGAUAGUAGGAUGGGAACAAUGUAGCACAGAUGAGACAGGUUCGUGCAAGGAUUGUUGAGUAAAUGAAGUCAACUUAUAUAUCUCUUACCCACAGUUCAACUUAAACUCUCCUUCACAGUACACUCCAAAGGCUUCCAGAAUCACCGCAAGAAUAGCACAUAUUGAUUUUAUUAUCAUCUGUCCAAGGACAAGGAAAGUGAGUGAGUUUGAAUUUUCACAACACCCUGCAAAGCCAUUGUGAUGAAAGAUAAAGAGGCACAUACAUAUUGAACUAGCCCAAAUUUGAUGAUCAAGUAGAACCAUUCGCCUAGCGGCCACGGUUUAAGCAAGUAGUUCAUUGGAAAAGGAUGGUUUACAUAUCGUUGUUCAGAUGCUUGGCCUAAAAGUGGUGCAGUAGAACCUGAACCACCUUCCCUCUUCAAAAAUUCAAUUGUCCUAUCUUCACCACCUGGCAUAAGUACGAGUGCAAGGUAAGGACAAGAUAUGGAUAAUAACACAUUGGAAUGUGAAGUAAUAACUGAGAGAGGAGUACCUAAGCAAGCAACUAGAUAGCGCCCAAAACAGUACAUAGCAAAUGCCUCAUAGCCAUCUCGCAUAAUUUCGAUAUCCACACUUAUUGACGGAUAUACCAAUGAUAAGUACUGCAAUAGUUCUCAUAAAAUGUUAAACGGUAUAGCGAUGCAACAUUUGAACAGCUAGAUCUCAUCCUAUACUUGGACUGUAAAUACAGGUAUUAAUCUGGGGAUGGAUGACAAAGCAGCAGCAUAGCACCUUACCGACUCGACUGCAUAGCACGGCACCAUGAGAAUGACGCCGACAAGAAACUUCUGUUCCUGAAAGAACACAGAUGCGGCAGGAAUGAGUGAAAAGACCAAGUGAGACACAGUUCAAACAAUUUACCACAUUGAUUUAAAUAGCACGCAACACUGAUAACAAUCCACAACCUCUGGGUUUUUGUAGGCUGACAGAUGGUUGAACAGCAAGUACAGGGACAGCGAGACAGAGAUGAUAACAAAAAUAAUGGCAAUGAUUGUAGCCCAGAGAGGUGGUCUGUAGCUUCCGAGAAGCGUGAGCAAUUGCUUGGCCAACUCCAUCGCCAUCCCUUCUCACAGCGCCCCUUAACCGCUCUUCUCAGAUUAUGCUCCCUUUCGAACGAAAUCUGUUCCAGGGUAUGGUUCAUAGAGGAUCAUAAUUCACAACCCCAAGUCAAACAGGAGCUCUCCUCUUGUUGAGCAGCCUGGUAGUACCAAGAAUCCUGUUAUUCCACCUUACACUCUGGUCUUUUCCUGCAAGCACCAUAUACAUAAAUAAAUAAAUAAAUAAAAUAUAAAAAAAGAGAUAGAGAUGACUGAACUUGGAGAGGCCUAGCCAAUACACCAGUCCUCUCCUCCCCAUACGCCGUAUGGAUUUGCGACCGCCUAGUCUUCCUCAGCUCCUGGCGGCGUGCGCCUCGUCUCCUCCGCUGAGCACACACGCCUCCUCUUCCGCUAAUCCAGGUUAGAGGGUGGAUGCUGGCGACUACGCGACGGUCGGCACUCGGCGCGGAGGCCGAGCCGCGGUGGCCGGUGGGCACCUAGGCGGCGGGUGCCUGUGUGCAAUGGUGGCCUUUCACACGGUCUCACCUCUGUUGGGCGGGGCUCAACAAAGUGAAGAAAAGGCCCAUCCCGUGCUCGUUUCUUCUCUUGCCGCCGGUGCUAGGGAAGAAGGGGUCCGGGGUCUAGGGCGAGCUCGCCAGUAGCUGGGGCGGCCGCCCCACCCCGCCCCUAGGGUGGCCGGCGGGGACUGGGUGGGUGGGGAGCGAGAUUGAAGAAGAGAGGGAGAGGAAGGUUGAAGACCAACAGAGCAGGGGGCUGGCGGGCGGGGGUUUAUUGAAUGAUCCCUUCCGUUGUAUGAGUCCAUGGCGACGGCGGCGGGCGGCAGCGGCGUGUUCGUCAAAUUGCCAACGAACUACUCGUCACCGCCGAGCAACUAGACGAAAGAAUCAAAUCGAAAAGAAGAUACAAACCUGGAGAAUCGGAUCUGAGCUGGAGCGAACCACAAUGCAGAAGGGAUCAACGAAAUCCGACCACUUGGAAAGCAAAGUCUCCCGCAAUCAAUCAGAAAGUCCCAUCAAUCAAUCCGAACCAACUGGCGCACAAGAAAGAACAAAAAAAAAAAACAAGCUUUGCCUGCGUAGGAUUAAUCGUGAUUGGGUGGGGAGCAUGGAUGCUGAUUAAUGCACAAGAGGAUUAGGUGGCGGAAUCGUAGUUGCCAGGGAGACAGGGACGGCGGGGAGAGAAAUUCUUUCUCCUGCAUCACAUGUUCCCAGACGUUUCUGGUUUUGUUUGCAGUCGCUGUCUGUCGGGUCAAGCAGGAUCUCUCUCGCGCUCUCUGGUCGCUCUCUCUGUUUUUUUUUUUUCCCUCUCCUGUGGUCUUGCGUUCCUUCUCUGCCAACUCCAGAUCGUUGCUCCCGAUUCAAAUUUUGGAUCUUGACAUGACGAAUCUUUUUGUUUUAGGCUUUGUUUGGAUGCACCUAAAAAUCCAAAACUUUACAAGAACAUCGAAUCUUGCGGCACAUGUAUGGAACAUUAAAUAUAGAUAAAAAAAUAUAACUAAUGGCACAGUUUACCUGUAAAUUACGAGACGAAUUUUAAGCCUAAUUAUUCUAUGAUUGGACAAUGUUUGUCAAAUAAAAACGAAAAUGCUACAAUGUCAAAAUCCAAAAAGAUUUUGGAUCUAAACAAAGCCUUAGGCCUUUUAGUUCCAAAAUUUUUUUUGUUUUAGGUAUAGUAGCAUUUUCGUUUUUAUUUGAUAAUUAUUGGCCUUGUUUGGAUAUUCUAACCAAGUUAGAAGUUAGAGUUAUUUUGUAGCUCAUGACUAAUCCUCAACUAACUUUAGUUGAAGAGAUGUUUGGAUGUAAGAGUUAGAUUACCAAUAAAUAUAAUUUUCUAAUCAUUUGGCUCCUUUGCAACUGGAUUUGGUGUGGGCGACUGUUGUGUGGCCACCUCCCACUCAGAUAACAAAAAUAAAUCAUCUUUACAAAUCAAGCAUCCAUCAUAUGAUAAAAUUUAUUUUAUCCAUACAAAUGAGAUGUCUCACUCAAACAUACAAGUCAUAAUGAAGCCAAAAAAAGGUUUAUGACAGGCUAGGAGGCGCGGAUGCCGUGCGGAGGCGGCAGGCUGGGAGGCGAGUGGGGAAUAGGAUCCCGUGCGGGCACAGAUGGGAGGCCAAUGCCUUUUCCCUGUGGGUCCCACCUCAAAUAUCUUCAAAUAGCCUAAAUAAGCACCUCUUUGGGGGAUAGUUUUUUUGGGUGGGUUAGAUGCAAAUAACCCUAAUAUAACCCUCAUGUUUGGAUACUUUAGGGCUAUUUAAGCCCCAAAUAGCUAAAUCUAACUCUAACCCAUGGAUCCAAACAGGAUCAUUGUUUAAUCAUGAACUAACUAGGUUGAAAAAAUUCAUCUCGCGAUUUAUAGGUAAAUUGUACAAUUAAUUUCUUUUUUUGACGAAGAUGGUAUGAUAUUACUUAGAUCAAAUUAAAGAUUUACAAUUAAAUCACACUUGAGCCUUUUCUAAUCAACGAUGUUGCUUGAACAUUUACAACUUGAGGGCUUUCUUGCUGUGAGCAUAUCUCCUAGAGCUAGUGAUGGUGAUUGAAGUAGCCAGUAAAAUGAUUGGAACGAAGCAAAAGAGAAAAAUAAACCUAAAAUAAUAAAUACAAAAGAUGAUUGGGUAUACGGUUUGUAUUUUAUAAAAAAACAUACAAUGCACAACAUGCAGUGGGACAUAAGUAAUGGAGAGGAAGUUAAAGAGGUCACUUCAAAACCCAAAAGUCGAUAUUAGGAUGGUGAACUGAUCAUAGAUCAGUUGGUUAGGCUUUUUGUGAUCGAACUUGCCCGCGGGUUAAAGUCAUCGACUUGGCACGGGUGUUCGUAUUUUUAUGGAUUUAUUCUAGGAUUUAUUGGAUUUUGCUUUUAGUGGUAGACGACGUUCUCAUUAACAGCGAGACGCUUGUGGUGACUUCAUGAAUCUCGUGCUCGUCGACAACGAUGCGCCUAUGGUGACUUUGUGAAUCUCAUGAUCUGUCAGCUUAGUCUUUUCGAAGGUAUGUGGAUCUCAUGAUUUGCCAGCUCAGUCAUUCGGAGGUGUUCAUAUGAUUAGUGUUUGCAUAUGUGUGUUCAUAGGGGUGAGUGUAUGUGCGUUGUGAGUGUCUGCGUUGUACCACGUAAUUCUAAAAAAUUGUCGAUAUUAGAAAUAACUCAUAGUGGGUUAAAUAUGCUAGAACCAAUAAAUAUGGAAGCCUUGAUAUGGUUAAUUAGGCAUUUCAGGCAUGAGGCAAGUUGGUAACAACCAGGUUUGAUAGGACUAGACGAGACGACAAUUGGAACUUGUGGAUGAUUUGCUACCAGAAACCUUAUUAGGACAAUCACACAGUAGUAAACUUGAUUAUUUUGUAUGCCUUGGAAGAGCUAGCUAUUCAGAACCCAAAAGUCGAAGUGCUAUUCAGAACCCAAAGUAAGCUUCUUUGCUUACUUUGCCAUCUUUUACUCCUUCAGAUGCACUUAGACUUUUAAUGUUCAAAGCAUAGAGAAAUGCAAUAAAAGAAACGUACAAGAUAUGAUAAAGAUGCCAGCGGAAGCAAAAAUCUGAUCCUAGGCUAAAAGGAUCAAACUGAUGGCAUCUGAGGCAAGAAAUCUUAUUACUCAAAAAACACUUUACACACAGCAUCCAUGACCAACAAGAAAAUGACAAAAACUGACAAUAAUACCAUUCACAUACCUGAAACACAUGCUACAUAAUUUAAGAUCGGGAGCAAAUGGGCAUGAGACAUGGCUUCAGGUUUCACGCAUCAACUGUCUGGGUCGAUAACCGUCUUGAGUGAAUAGCGAGAUAUAAAAAGCUUUUUUUCGCACAUAUACAGAUAUAAAAGACCUGUAACAAUGGAAAAAUACCAACAAUGACAGUGCAUUGAGAUGGAGCUUUUUGUCUAAGCAUCCUUCAGAUUGCAGAGGUGCAGAAAAAACAAAUUCAGCAGAUCCACACAAUCAAUGUUUAUUUCCAGAUUGCAGAAGUGUCACAUGACAUGACUAAAGAAUAAUGCCCAAGAUACAACGAAUUAAAUUCCAAUGGAUAUAAUUGGAAAAAAACCUAAACAACACAAACACUGUUUCAUUGAGGUUAAGUUAUACAACACACCAACCCAGCCCACCAAAUAGUUGCUGCAACAGCUGUUGCAUAUAUGCAGACCCCACUCUGUAGUUUAGUCUAUAUACACUCUUUCACUCUUUCCAUGGAAGUAGUUAGAGUGUGUAUAACCAGCCAAUUAUAUUAGUUCAAGCUUAGGUUCUUGCAUCCAGCAAGAAAGUUGCGGGUUCCGAUUUCGCAGCACAGCCAUAUCUAAAAGUGCUGUACUUUCUAUGGACCCCGGUAAGUUUUCCAUGAGCUGCUCUUUGGUGCAGUUCAACCAUCAUCCUAGAGCAAAUCCUGAAACGUAGAAGGGGCCAUGUAACUGUAAGCACAAGCUGAAAAGGUAUGCCUUUUGUAAUAUAUAAAGAGUAGGGAGGUAUAACUACAUUAGUUGUUCUUCUGAAUAUUUUGUGUGUAGCUCACAGCAUUUGUUCCAGGACUUGAACCCAUUUAUGGUGCAUUGAGCUGUGUAGAUGGCAGCAGCUGCUAGCAUAGACGGGCAGAACUGGAGCAUCUCGUAUUCGACAAGACUCAGCUCGAUCAUGAAGAAAGACAGGAGUUCAAGCUGUCCAGUAGUAUAAUUUUUUGUCAGGGUUUAUGUACUUGUACAGCAAAGCUAUAGCUUACAUGAUUUAUUCAUCACAAAAAUAGGAGUAUGUAUUAGUAUCUUACCUUCUUCUCAGAUUGUGCUGCCUUUAGAAACCUUCUCAUGAAACAGUAUGGAGUCGGCACCGACAUAUUGAAAUUAAGUGUGUUCACUAUCCUCCUCUCCUGCAGAAAUUUCAAUGUCAGCUAUCUGGGGUUUUUUUUUUGCACUAAAAAUCAACAUGCAGCACAUUUUUUACCAUGUCAAGAAUAUCAGCCCUUGUAUAGGCACGAUCACAGAUUAAGAUCAGAUCCUCGACCACCGGUACACUCACUUCUUCAUACUUGCAUGCGAGCAACAUAGCAGUUACACCAACUAACUGAAGCUUCUUCCGCACCACAGUUUCACGUGCCAAGAAUCUAUCUAUGAUGUUCACAGUUAGGAAAAGGGUCUCCUCCAACAGCUCUAAUUUGUAGUGUACCUGAAUUUAAAAAAGAAAUAAAACAUGGAAUUUUAAGGUCUUACAGAGCAUAUGAAUAAUACUAAAUUGAAAGCUUUAGACGUUUGCUUAAAAUCCCCACCUCUAUCAGCCAGUCAAUUAGAAUGCCACGCAUCUUCUCAUUUAUAUCGGUUUGGCUUGACAUGUAAUUUGUAGGGACACAGCUUGCACCCUAUGUACACAGAAUGUUGCAAUGAGAUUACAAAUGCCAACAACAGGGUAAUUGCAAAUAACUUCAGGUUCAAGAUCAGAGUUCUACCUCAGUUUUCCUGUAAAAUCUGUAAAUUUCAUCUACAUAGUCAACCACAGCCAGGGAGUUUCCUGCAUCACAACUGUCAAUAUCGGGUGCUGCCUCCUCAAUAUCUUCCAUCUCGAUCUCUUUCAGCUCAGAGCUCAUCUGAAAUGACUUGUAUUAGUGACAACUACCAAAUAGACAGUCUAUUAUGCUUACUAUUUUACUAAGGGUUAAGUAAUGUCAAUUUACCAUUUCAUCCAUCUCCGACAGCAUAGGAAAGGGAAUGUCAUCAGUCAUUUUUGUGUUUUCCAUAUCUGCAGGUGUGUGGAAUGCUGUAUCUGCGUUUCUUUUCAGUCUUUCACUUCCAAUUGGGGCCUGCAUGGCAAUAAAAUAUUCUGAGCUGAUAUAUGAAUACUACUAAUUGUUGAAACAAGGUCGGAUUUCACUGUAGUAAUGUGGAGAUGUGAACUGAAAGAAAGUUGCAUGACAUUUAUAUGAACAAAAAGGUCUACUAGAAUGAGAUAAAGUUUGUAGAAUAUUCAAAUUCUAUAUAUGUAUAUUCAAAUGUACACAACUUACAAGAGCAGUCAGCACAAAUUAGAAGAUUCAAUUCAAUGCAUAGAUCAGAACUUUAUAUACUAUACAUAUAUGCAAAAGCUGAAUUUAUUAUUAUUAUAUGUAAAGGACUUCAAUAUACAAGUUUGAAUUCUAUGGGUGCCCUUUCACACUUCACAGGUCAUAUAUUUGAAUUGCAGCAACAUCCAUCCAAGAAUUGUCAAUUUCACAGCAAAAACAUAGUGCAUCACAUUCAAAUAUAUCAAAACUGGAUAUGAUACAUGCAAAUAAAAUCUGAAUUCUCUUUCACACUGAUGAAAUGUCUGAAUUGGUGUAUUUACCAUAAGAAGCAGCACCAUAUAUCAGGAAAUUAUCUAACUGACAGCAGUUCUAAGUUGUAUAAUGCCAUAAGAAAAGUUUACAGAAACAAACAGCAGAGCAGACGUUAUCAAACUAGCAACAAUUUGAAUAUCUUUAAUGACUAUUACCAGAUGGGCAGCCGUAGGUUGGUUUGCCAAUGUUGCAGCCAAUUUCCUGACAAAAGAGCAAGACAUGCUACUUCAUUAACCUGAUAUAUAUACAUGAUGGUAAGUAGUAACUAGUAGAAGUGAGGUGCUAUAGCUUGCAAACCUGGUGACCGGACGGUGUCCAACAAAGCCAGCUUGAUCUUUAGUAUUUACAGCAGCAGCUGGUUUUCUGAAGCAAUGAAAUUUAAACCAAUUAGAGAUCCAGUUCAUGCAAUUGGAAGCUACAGGUCAAGCAGAAUUUGUGCACAGCUCGGAGGGACCGGGGCUUACUCUGAGAGACCCCUCUUGCUGACAGCCAAGUGUUGGUGCGGGCCUCCUAUUAUGUUCUUGAUGUCACUGAGGGCUCUCCGGUUGGUGUUGGCCAUCUCCGGCGCAAACUUGACGCCCUCCAUGGCAACACCUUGGUGGCCGUUUUCAGAUCUCAGAUUCUCCAUUGCUGACGAGCUACUGGCAGCAAGAAAGUCAAACCGAAUUGUACAUGAGAAAACGAUAAACGCCAAAAGCCACGCGGAUCUGCAUGAAGUAAAGGCGUUUAGUUUGAAAUCGCGUGACAUUCCGCAUCUUAGUACGCCAGAACGAUUCGAAGACGACAAAUGCGGCAGGUAGGACCAUAGGAAGAUCGAGAAAUAGAUUAAAACGCUGCGAAUUUCGGGGCAACUUUGGAAAAAAAAAAACGAUCCUGCUGCUGAGCCACCGAUGGCAUGUUCAAUAGCUGGAGUCUGGAGGGAAGCAAGAGAUCCCCCCCAGCUCAGGUUCAGUCAGAGAAGAGGAAAAGAAGCAACUUUGAGAACUUCGGGGCAAGAACUCGGGUUCCAAGAACGGCAGGCCAAAUUCUCGGCGUUCGUCGAUGGAAUUCGAAGAGCAAAGGAGAUCUUCGGGAGCAGAUCCGCCCCAGAAGGCAACAAAGCUAGCUAGCUACGUGUCUGAAUGCAAUAUCGGUUUCAGCUAAUCUUCUCCCUGAAUUGCUCCAUCCAACCGGAGAUCCAAAGGGAAUCGCAGCUCAAGAACCCAAAUCCAACGCAAAACAAGAGCAGGAAACAAUUCAAACCCUAGCGCGAACUAAAGCUGAGACUACCGCACCCAACAACCCCGUUCAAGAACGCAACGCGUCAGUCCAAGAACACCAAGCUUUCUUCCCCCCACGGCCGCCGGAUGCGAAAGAGAAGCACGCACGCACGGACCUCGGGAAGAACCAACGGGACGGGAGACGAAGCGCAGCACGGCAGGAGCUCUCCCCCCUGACGGACGCCCUCGCCGCCUCUCCGCUUGCUGCUGCUAGUGGCAGGCAGAGGCAGGAGCCAAGAGGAGGAGGAGGAGGAGCGGAGGAGAGAGACGGGCCACGGGAGCGAUAAAAUAGGGGGAGGAGACCCAAAAGGGGAAGGGCGGUCCGAGCCGUUUAAACGCAACGGUCGUGCGAUGGAGGCCGUCGGAUGGGAUCUAGACGGCAGGGGAGCUGUGGGGCGCCCCUCAACGGCUAGGGAUUCCACAUGUGCUCCUGCUUUCAAAAAUAAGCACACUUUGUUUGCAAGCCUUGAUGACCCAGCAAAGACUUUUAAGACUCUUGAUAGAUGACCAUUACAUGAGGCGGCGUCAGCUUUAAGUUUCCAUCUAGUCUAGUACUAGUAGACAGUAGUAUGUGCAUCUUUUUAAUUGGGUACUAGUAUAGGAUCAAAAGACACAUGUGUUAGUAGUUCCAUGGGUUGUUUUCACAUUCAUUCUAAAUUUAGUAGAUUUAUAAUCACCGUGAUAUGUAUUGCUGAUUUUGGUUUCAUGAGUUGAUUUCACGUUCUUCGUACUGAAUUUAACAACUUUAUAAUUAUAAGUAUCGCGAAAUGUAUUGCUGAUUUUGGUUUGACGGGCUGAUUUCACGUUCUUCGUACUAAAUUUAUAACCUUAAUUGUCGGCCGAGUCUAUUGAACAUGUAGUAAUUAGGUUGAUUUUCAUGUCUUUGCACUAGAAUUAUAGCUUUAUAAUUGUCGCAGUGCAUAUUGCUAAUUUUAGUUCUAUGGGUUGAUUUCACGUUCUUUGUAUUAAAAUUUUAUGUCCAGAGUUUUGAUUAUAACAUACUUCUAAUUAAAUUGAUUUACCGUUGUGUCACAAGUCACGAUAGGCAUAAUUAACCAAAACUGAGAAACCUAACCGAAGGAAUCGGAACCAAAACCAAAAGGACUGGAACAAAAAAAAAUCGGUUCUUAUUCGGUGCCACAUUUUAAGGAACCAAAAUAACCGAGAAAAAUUUGGUUUCUACUCUCAGAUAAUCAAAUUAAUUGGAAGAACUGAAAUUCAUGACUUUUACUUCACUUCCUAGUAUUUUUUAAAAAUUUUGAUUUUUUGUGUGACGUCUUAUUAUAAAUUGCUAUGUAUUUGUGUUACUAUAUUGCUAUUGCUCCCUUAUCAAAUAUAUUAUCUAAAUUAGAGGCAUUAUUGUCUAUAUUUGCUUUAAAAUCUAUAUAUUAUUUUUGUUAUAUUAACAUUUGCUAAAAAAAUCGGUUAGUUCAGUUAUAACCAGAAUCAAAUCGAAAUGCUCGGUUCCUAAAUUUUUUUUAGAACCGAUCGGUUUCCAUAUUCUAGAAACCGAAUUUUAUAAAUAACCGAACCGAAACCAAACUGACAACCCUAAAUGUCACCCAGCAGUCACGAGGAGCUCUGUUCUAUGCUCAGGCUGCAACAUGGUUUACAAAUAUUAUAUUCAAGUUGUAGCUCCGCUGAAUACUCGUACACUACUGCAGCAUUUGAACUAGCGGCCUUGUUUAGUUCACCCUGAAAACCAAAAAGUUUUCAAGAUUCCCCGUCACAUCGAAUCUUCUGUCACUUGCAUGAAACAUUAAAUAUAGACGAAAAUAAAAACUAAUUACACAGUUUAGCUGUAAAUCACAAGACCAAUCUUUUGAUCCUAGUUAGUCCAUGAUUGGAUAAUAUUUGUCACAAACAAACGAAAGUGCUACAGUACCGAAAAGUUUUCACUUUUCGGAACUAAACAAGGCCUAGUCGUUCAGGACGGUCAUCGCUGCUCCUCUGUGUAAACUGCUAGUGCCUAGCUGUUCUCGCCUGUGGGCCCCACUCCAUGCAGUCACAUCUCUACCGUUACGCUGAGUUGCUGACACUUGACACUGACAGUAUAGCAUCGUUCGCUACUCCCAAGAGGAGAUAAUUUGUGGCGAAAUGAAAAUUGUAAAUUCCUAGUGUGAAACAGAUAGACUAGAUAUUUGGAUUUCAAAUUUUGAAAAUCAGUUGAAAUUUGUGGCAAAAUGAAUUAAUGGAUACGACAUGCCAAGCGUAUCUUCUGAUCCAGGUAGCUAAUAAUUAAAUGGUUGGAUGCAGUUGUUUUACAAGUUUCCUGUCCUUGGUUUAAGAUUUUCCAUAUAACCUGUUUUGGAAUAUCCGCAGUAUGUAUUGCUGAUUUUGGUUCGGUUUCACAUCUUCAUACUAAAUUUAAUGGCUUUAUAAGUAUCACGACAUGUAUCGCUGAUUUUGGUUUGAUUGGUUGAUUUCACAUUCUUUGUACUAAAUUUAAUAGCCUUAUAAUUAUUGCGGCCGACUCUACUAAACGUGGAGUAGUCAGUUUAAUUGAAAUACUAAAAUUCUGUGUCCCGAGUCUUGGUUAUAACUUACUUUUAAUUAAACUGAUUUUCUGUGGUGUCAUGCCCAAUUAUGUGUUUAUGCUCAAAUUAGUUAUGCUGGAAAAUUGUUCAGAAAUAAACACUAGGGCCUUGUUUAGUUCCGAAAAGUGAAAAAAUUUCGGUACUGUAGCACUUUCGUUUGUUUGUGGCAAAUAUUAUCCAAUUAUGGACUAACUAGGAUCAAAAGAUUCGUCUCGUGAUUUACAGCUAAACUGUGUAAUUAGUUUUUGUUUUCGUCUAUAUUUAAUGUUUCAUGCAUGUGCCACAAGAUUCGAUGUGACGGAGAAUCUUGAAAACUUUUUGGUUUUUAGAGUUAACUAAACAAGGCCUAGGAUGAACUAAUAUUCAGUUGUAGCUCUGGUACUGCUACUACGGAGUUUGAGAGGAACUAGUCGUCCAUGGACUGUCAUCCCUGCUCCUGCGUAGUAGCUGCUACUACUCCGCAGUGUUCUCUCGCCUGUUGGCCCCACCCCCUUGCAGUCACAUCUCUACCGUUGUGCUGACACUGACAGUGUUAUUCCCAAGAGGAGAAUGAGAAACCAGUGUUCAACAAUUUGUAAAGGCCUAUAGCUAGUAGUGUGAAACAGGUAGGCUAGAUGUUUUUUUUUAUGAAAUAGGCUAGAUGUUUUAGAUUUCAAAAUUCGAAAAUCAUUUGAAUUUUGUGGCCGAAUGGAAUUAAUGGAUACAUGCCAAGGAGAACUAAGCGUAUCUUCUGAUCAGGUAGCUAAUAAUUAAAAUAUUAAAUGGUUGGAUGCAGUUGUUUUACAAUUUUCCUGUCCCUGGUUUAAGAUUUUCCAUAUAACCUGUUUUUGAGUUUUAUCUGUAGGCCCACUUUAACAACUAGGUAUUCAGCAAGAAGCAAGAAAAAAAUGGAUUUCAAUCUUCAAUAUGACGAAUAUUUGUGAUCUUCGUGUUUCCAAAAGUCUUUUUUUUAAAAAAAAAAGAAAACAAUUCACCCAAAUGAAUUGUAAGCAAAAGCUUUAAAUUUCCCUUACUAGUCAUACAAUGGACAAAUGAAUCGUUGUUAGGGAGCCUAUGCAAAAUCAUUGUUGGGCGUGCAUGAGUUACCAAGACACGUGACACAUUCACUCUAACUGACUGACUAGCGAAGAGCAAGAAUUGGGUAGCGCGAGGGAUGGUGGGCAGUGCAGCUGGUAGCAAGCUCACCAUAGGACGAGAGACGGUGGGACUGGUGGAGAAUUGGGGUUAGGAUUCCCUAUCCGGCCUGAGAGGGUGAGGGAGGUUGUAAUUGGCCUAGCGGUGGCGGCACUCGCAAGCGAGACGACAUGAGCAAAGCUUUUAUUGUCUUACUUCUUACAAGAUUCCAAAUAGAGGAGAGUAGAGUGGAGCAGUGGGGGUGGACGGCAAGUGGUGCAGCGGUGGCAGUAGGGGAGUAAAGACACAUGAAACAAGAAAACAUGGGAAAGUAAAAAUCAAACACUCACCUAGAAAAAAGCCCCAUUCUAGAAUAUCUAGCUCUCUACUACUUCAAAAUAAGAUCUCUUAAUUUAAAAUCAUAAACAUAAUUUUGAAAAAGUGAACACUCACACCUAGAAAGAGCCUCCAUCUUCUUGAAAGUAUCUCCAGUUCAAAAUAAGAUCUCUUCUUAAUUUAAAAUAACAAAUUUAAAUUUGAAAAAAGUAAAUUGUAAUGACAAUAAAACUAUAAAAGUUUCUGCAAAACAGUGGACGUCGUACUGCAAUGACAAUAGAAGUUACUGGCAACAUCUCGUUUCAUUUGGACGGUAGCCUUUGCUCCAUUUUUUAUUCUCAUCUUGUCUCACUGGACCUGCCUUGCGCGUAUAUAUUCAAAUUCGCAAAUGUACAAAACCAUGCACGGAUAAAGUAGAACAGUUUGUUUCUUUUGCUGUCACAGGUCAACUUUUGGAUACGUUUACGGGCGCGAAGAAGCAAGGGAGGAAAUUGAAAUAUUUGGAGCACACGGAAGUAGUAAUGAGGUGCCACUGCCAUGGAAUGGAUCGAGCGAAGAAACGAAGAAGAGCCCUCUCUCAUUCUAAAUGUAAGCCAUUAUUUUAGUCUUGGCAACACCUAUCUAACGGUAAGCCAUACUCUUCUAGAAACUUUUUUUAAAAAAAACUUCAAAAGGGUGCCAUUCUUGUUCACCUCUAAUCAAAUUAAUUGAAAUGUUUUAUUAAAUCUCUAAAACUAAAAGGCAUGAAAAUAAAAACAUCCACGUGGCUCUUUGCUUCGCCCAACACUAUUGUGUCCUCAGAUGUUCGACUUGCGAGCAUCAGUGAUCCCCUCCGGAAAUAGCGCCUUCUCUUGCCGCUUGCUUCCCCAAUCACAACACUUUGUAACAAAAGAGGAAGGUCUCCAUCUCUGUGAGAUCUCCUCUCCUAUGCCAUCCACUACUACUCCCCACACAAUCCCAUCAAGCGUUGCCCUCAUCUGGCGCUCUCACCACCAACCCGAUCCCUAUCUGGUGGCGGCAAUGGACAUGCCACCAUGAUCUUGCCGAUGACGUGGGCCUCUCCGGUCAUUGUCUCUUGGCAUCAUCGGUGGCAAUGACAACUACUCUUUCUCUGAUCCAAUGACUAUCACCUCGAUCUAGUGGCCUGGCACCUUGAUUCGAUGCCCCAAUGCCUCAAUCAAAUGGACAACUAGAUGCCCCACAACAUGGGCCAUGCCUUUAGGGGCGCAGAGUGCACCGCGAAUGACAACGUCUCCGUAUUCUUGGAUGAGUUUGGCUUCAAUGGGUGUGCGCAUGCGACGCUCCACUGUGCAGCGAGCUCGCCUGCAACAACAGUGAUGACAGCGACAACAAAAAAAAUAUUUCUCCUAGGGAAGCGGGCACGGGUUGUGCCUAGGUUCUUGAAUGAUGGCCGCCACCCACCAAAAAGGGUGAGUUAUAUGCCCCUGUUGACGCCACAUGCCAUGUGUUCGCCGCAUGACAAUGUGCAGAAUGGGGAAGUUGGGUGUGGCGCUGCAUCCACCAGUGGUUAUGUGGUGGCCAAUGGCGUGACAUCCACUAGUGAUAAUUGUGAAGCAAUUGGAGAGUCACUCAAGCCAAGAAGUGAGAUUUGAGAGUUAGCCUUGAGUGCUACCGGUGUUUUUUCUUGGGUUUCUUAUGUUAAAGCUUGAAAUAUUUUUACUUUUGGUGCUCGUCAUCACCUAGAUGGUCUAGUAGAGGAAAUUCCUUCCUCAAUAAAGUUGUUGAAAAAAUGUCCCAAAAGCUCAUACAUGGUAUUGAAGUCCACCAUGCAUGUUGAACUGCAAAUGGCUAUUCACUAGUAGAGUGAAGUUUAACCAAGUCUUUGUGACUUAGGUGCUCCAAACAUGCAUUAAGGGGGCAACAACCACCUCGGACAAAAAAAGCAAUUGUCUCUUUAUUACCUUGCUAUUCCUUUCUUGAAUUAUUUUCAUUGUUUGCAAGUAUUGUUGAGUGACAACUAGGAUACAUGGUAGUAUGUGUUCAGCAUAUAUUUCCUCUCUGUGCUCUAAGGACCAUAAUUAUUAGUGUGAACAUUGUUAAGGACAUUGAUAUAGCUUGUUGCCCCUAACGACUUACUAGUUGGCUAGAAGAACUUAUUAGGAGCUAAGAAACUCUUUAGAUGUUUAGAAUUUCUAUAGUCUAAAGUUUGUUGCUUAAUUUUUUAGAGUAUAGUUCAUCUUCUUUUGGGCCAUUCGAUCUAUAGAGGCUCUAUUGUUAGAGUCUUAGGUGAUCGACUUUGUGGAGUAGCCGCUCUGUGACGUAAGUUUUGUAGUUGCCAAAAUUAUUAUAAAUUACUCUUUACCAAUCUCACGCACAAUGCAUGUGCUGCAAACGUGUUAUCAUAUAUUUUGUCACAUUACGUUCGCAGAUGCAUUAAUUUUUUAAAUUGUUGUACCUAUUUAAUAGUUUAUAAGUUAUUGUAUUACUAAGUUGUUGUAGAUCAUCACAUAUAUAAUUUAGUCUUCUAUACGUAUGAGGGUAUUAUUUAUGGUUGCAAUUUCUUGGGGUUUCCCUCGUUUGCUAAUUUUGGGAGUUCGGGAAUGACAGCCCUUGAGGGCCCCCUCCCCUGGAAUUCAGGUCAACCCGUGAAAAGGCUUCUUCCUCCUUGCUCUCUCCACCACUUUGUGUUCCUCCCGUUCGUUUGACAUUCCGUCGCCAUUCUCUUCCUUGGAGGAAUCAACGCACACCAUCUAGCGCAUCGACCAAUCGAUGCUACCAUGGUCCAUCUUUUCGCGGCAGGCGCCCGGGGGCGACUCGGAGCCGGAGCCAGAGUCCGAACCGUCGGGGAGGCAGCUGUCGGACGAGGCCCUAGUGGAGGACCUCCUCACCGCCGUCGCAUCCGCACGGUCGUUCCAGGAGUUCCGUCGCUCGCAGCGCAAGGAGUCCUUUGGCCUCCAGCGCUGGCUCCAGCUCGUGCUCCCGCUAAUCCAAGAGAUCCGCGAGAUCGGGCCAUCCCUUACCGAUGACGCCUACCGUCGCCUUGCCCUCCUCGGUCGCGCAUUCCACGCCGCUCGCCGCCUCCUCCGCUGCUGCCAUGACGGUAGCAAGAUCUUCCUGGUAAUAAGACUGCAACAGCAGCACCAUUCCCUUUUUCUUGGCAGCCUCUGAAGUAAAACUGCUGCCAUUUCUGUACUCCUAUUUAUGUCCCGUUUGAAAGAUUAGAUUAUUUUUAGAUGGUAAAGAAGGCUAUAUUUUUAUUCCUAAUUUGUUUGUGUGGGUCCUAUUGAUCCAAAUUCCAUUUUAGGCCCGCAUUGCACUGCCUAAAAGUAUUAUAUUUACUAUUACCUCAUGUCUGUCAGUUUGUGCCAUGUGCUGACCAAAAGAUUGCAUUUUGAUUGAUGAUCUUGCCCCCAAAUUUCAGGCUUUGGAGAGUGAGGCUAUGCUUGGGCGGUUCAGGGCCGUGUAUGAGAAGAUGAAUCUUGCAUUGGAUGGGAUGCCUUACUCUGAGAUUGGCAUCUCCGAUGAAGUCAAGGAACAGGUAAUAUAGGCGUUAUGUCAUUAUGUGCCAACAUUUUGAUAAAAAUAAAACAUUCGAUGCAAGCCGCAAUUACUUUGGUGAUUUCAGGUUGAGCUCAUCAAUGCACAACUGAAGAGGUGUAAGAAGAGAAGUGAUACUCAAGACAUGGAACUCUCCAUGGAUUUUAUGAUGAUACUCGAGAACAAGGAGGAUGGAAAUGCAGACAGAGCUAUAUUGGAAAGGCUAGCCAAGAAGCUCGAGCUACAAAGCCUGGCAGAUUUGAGAGCAGAGACUAUGGCCAUUAAAAAGCUCAUCAACGAGAGGAAUGGCCAGCAACCGGAAAGCACCAAGCACAUAAUAGAACUCCUCAACAAGUUCAAGGAGAUUGCAGGCAUCGACGAAAAGAACAUCCUUGGGGAUGUCUCCAUACCAAAAUAUCUAGAAAAAUGCCCAUCUUUGAUGAUCCCAAAUGAAUUCCUCUGUCCGAUAUCACUCGAGAUCAUGACUGACCCUGUCAUCAUUGCGAGCGGGAGGGUAUGUUUUGUGCUAUGCCAUUCAUGUUCCCUAAUUGCAAAGCGAGAUUUAUUGUCUCACAGUCCAUAUUUCACCUGAUUUGCAGACUUAUGAGAGAAGAAGUAUCCAGAAGUGGUUAGACGCUGGCCAACGGACAUGCCCAAAGACACAACAACCAUUAGCUCAUCUAUCAUUGGCACCAAACUUUGCAGUGAAAAACUUGAUCUUGCAAUGGUGUGAAAACAAUACUGUUGAGAUUCAGAUGGGAGAAUCUGAGGCUAUAGCUGAACAGGAGGAUCGCAAAGAAGACAUUCCAAAGCUAGUGAAAGAUCUAUCGUCUGUUCAUCUUGAUGUGCAGCGGAAGGCUGCCAAAAAGAUUCGAACACUUUCCAAAGAAAACCCAGAGAAUAGAGCACUGGUUAUUGAGAAUGGUGGGCUCCCUGCUCUUAUUAGCUUAGUGUCCUAUCCUGAUAAGAAGAUUCAGGAGAACACUGUGACUGCAUUAUUGAACUUAUCAAUUGAUGAGACGAGCAAAGUUCUGAUAGCAAAAGGAGGAGCGUUACCUUUGAUCAUUGAAGUCCUUAGGAAUGGCAGCGUUGAAGGUCAGGAGAACUCAGCAGCGACAUUGUUUAGUUUAUCUAUGAUAGAUGAGAAUAAGGCGGCUAUAGGGGUUUUGGGUGGUAUAGCUCCAUUGGUGGCCCUCUUAAGGGAUGGGACAAUAAGAGGCAAGAAAGAUGCUGCUACAGCACUCUUUAAUCUGAUGCUGAACCAUCCGAAUAAAUUUAGGGCUAUUGAAGCUGGAAUCGUGGCUGCUUUGUUGAAAAUACUCAACAACAAGAAACUAGACAUGAUAGACGAAGCACUAUCCAUUUUUCUCCUCCUAGCAUCACAUCCUGGUUGUCGAAGUGAAGUGGGGACGACGUCUUUUGUUGAGAUACUUGUUCAAAUCACAAAGGAAGGGACUCCAAAGAACAAGGAGUGUGCACUUUCUGUUCUCCUCGAGCUAGGUCUGCAUAACAACUCUCUUAUGGUGCACGCACUUGGAUUGGGUCUGCAAGAACAUCUAUCUGAUAUUGCAAAGACAGGUACAAGUAGAGCGCAAAGGAAAGCCAACUCUUUGAUUCAACUUUCUCGCAAGUGCUUAUAAGAGAAUAAAUGAAAACAAAACAUCCUGAUAAUUUUGCACAAAGAUACAUGUAAACCAAUUUACUGGAAAAAGAAGAGGGGAGAGGGGUUACAAAAGAGCAUUGGUGCAGUGAUGUCUAUAAGUAAGAUCAUGAUGAGAGGAAGAUGGUUUUGAGGAAGCAACAAUUCCUUUUUUGAAUAUACACAGGAGAGCUAGCAGACAUCAUUUGAAUUAAGAUAGAUGAAAAUGGUAUGAAUACAACGCCUAAGGUAAACCCUUGGAUCAAGUGAAAAAAGAUGAAAAGAGAGCAAGGGAGGGAUUACAAAAUCAAUUGGUGUGCCACAAAGCAAAAAUAACCAACCGUCUCUAAAGCAACUAAAACUAAAUUGCCACAAGGAACUCAGACUUUUUGCUCCCGCCAUGAAGCAACAGUAGUAUUGUAACAUUGAAUUAGUAGAUAGGUCUGUUCAUCCCUAGCAGAAUUGAAAGAACACAUGAGGUGAUUCAUUUCUUGUACGCAGAAUUUUGUUGUAAUUCAUUUAUGGUAAAUAUAUAGAAGCUUUAAUUGAUAGGAAGGGUACAUAAUAUAUUGGGUGCAUUUGAAGGUACCAUGUCUUAGCGAUCACAAAUUUUUUAAGUUCUGACCUAGACAAUGUUGUUCAGUUUCUUGACUCAACUCGAAGUGACACGCUUUGAUUUUUUUCCAUUCAAUCUUGAAAAUAACAUAAUAGCAAAAACGAACAUCAAAAUUGCAGCAUAGAAAACAAUAUAAACUUACCCACAUUCAGCCAUUCUACAUUUAUGUGUGUCAGACAUCACUUUGCUGAACCAAAAAUGCAUCAGGAUGGAUGUUCCAACUCCAACAGCUAAUAUUAAUUCGUUCUCCUUAACACUAAGGAUCCAUCUUUAAAAGCAUGCAGGAUUACAGCAGGUGGAGUCCAUGAGCUUUUCUUGGAUUCAGUUUAACUAGAUCUAUCAAUGUAUACUAUUCUGAAUGGUCAUCUCAACCUGAUAGUGGCCAAUGGGCAGGGGUUUAUUACUUGCCUCCAUCCCAAUAUAGGACCAUGCAGCAAGAGCAGUAGUGCUAGUAGUGCCCUGACCCGCGUCUUGCUCAUCUUUUGGAUGGCUAAUCUGGCCCUUUUGCGUGCAUGCAUAUAUAUAUUGGGCUAUGCGUUUCAGAGAACUAAAUCUCCACUUACCCCAAAAGAAUAAUGAGCAAAAGCAACCUGAGUUUUGGCUAACAACUGAUGCAACCUGUUCUUUGCCUCUUAUCCCUAGUAAUAUAUGGAACAACAUCUAGCCAUACACUCAAUAAGAUCAAUAUGCAAAACAUCGAGAAAGUAUUAAAAAAUAGUCAAGGAACAUAUUCUUGGUUUAGACUAAUGGCUGUUUGAUCUCCUUUCACUUUUUCACCUAGCCUUGCCUAGCUAGGAAAUGAAAAGCCAUGGUUGGUAGGAUAGGUUGUCUUAGAGCUUGUGCUAGCAAGAAAAUUCCCUGCUGUGCCACAGGAGAGCCAAUCUGGCUUGCUCCAACCAGAGCAAGCAAGGCAAGCUCUAUUUGCAAGGUAAGAGCAGGUACAAUAGGCCAAAUCAGCUUGGCUUAUAGUCAAGACAACUCAGCAAAAUCCAAUGUGGGAGGAGGGAGAACUCUAGAGAGAGAGGGUGCUGGGCGUAGGUCGCUUACACAGCUACCAAUGUUUGCAUGCAGGACUUGGGUGUGACCACCAAUGAGCAGCAUUGGAAUCAGACCUCUUUUGUCUUGACUAUACAAUAAAAAUGAUGUUGUAUAUGCUUUCUUUCUCCUAAUGUUGUAUAGCUUGUCUACAGAUCUUGUCUCCAAAUAUCAUGGCUUGGCUAUAAGGAUGGCUUAUUGGCCUUGCUCUAAGGAAAACCUUGCCUUAGAACCUAUGAGGCUUAUGUUUUUUGUGGAAACAUAUGAGGCUUAUGUUGAGUAGUAGUAAUAAGAAGGAGGCGGUAAGGCAAACCUUGCCUGAGAGCCAAUCACGCGUAUGUUGAGGAGUAUAGUAAGAAAAAGUUUCAAACUUGUAGAUCGAUGUUACAUGUAGUCAUGAUCCAUUUUCAAAUGGCUCAUGAUAAUGUCAAUCUCAGUACCAAGUAUGUAUGUAGUAAUCAUUGAUAGGAUCUAGAACCUUUUUUUACAUGAUGAAUGAACACCGUUAUACCAAGAAAAGAAAGGCAAGAAAACAAUAAAUAUGCAAUAUUCUGCUAGGGUCUAUAACAAUCUCUUUAUUUAUCUAGUAGCUAUAGUAUCGAAAAUAAUAAAAAAAAAUAGCCAGCUUUAUAUAAAAUAUUGGAUAUUGGACAAACAUAUUUGAUAUAUACUCCUUCCAUCCUAAAUUGUAAGUCAUUCCAAGAAUCUUGGAGAGUCAAAGCAUUUUCACGUUUGACCAAAAUUAUAGAGUGAAAUACUAAGAUUUGUAACGUAAAGUGAGUAUACUAUGAAAAUAUAAUUAAGGAAGAAUCUAAUGAUAUUUAGUUGGUAUCAUAAUAAUUAUUAUUUUAUCAUAUAAAUUUGGUCAAACUUUGAAAAGUUUGUCUCUCCAAGAUUCUUGGAAUGACUUACAAUUUGGGAUGGAGGUAAAUGAAAGUUCUUCGUAACUAGGAAAUGUACACAACAAUAAAUAACAAUGACUUACACUUUAUAAUCAGCUGCCACAAUCAUAAACGACAAAAUGCCACUUUAUAAUCAGCUGCAAGUGUGAUAGCCGAUAAAAAUGACACUUUAUAAGCAUGCUGUCAAUGGUAAUUGAGAAAAUGCCACUUUAUAAUUAGCUGCCGUUGACAGCCAAACGCUUCAUAAUUAGCUGCCACUGACAGCCAACAAAAAACCGCUUUAUAAUCAACUGCCACUGAUAGCUGAUAAAAAAAAUUACUUUAUAAUCAACGGCCACCGAUAGCCAACAAAAUACUGCUUUAUAAUCAACUCCUAGUGAGAUUGCAUUGAGACCUAAGGAAUUCAAUAAGACGGUGUGUUUUUUAGGAACCAAUAAAACCGUCGUCCUUUGUAGUCAGUUGACGAUGAUAUUGCACAAGAAGCAAUCAUAAAAUGUGUGCCACGGUGCACAUUGACAAUAGCCUUUGAGGUGCUUGUGCACUUUAGUUUGGAGAGUUGGACAAGUUUUAAUGAGGCUAUAUCAAGUUUUUUUUCCUCAUAACAGUAACUUGAUGUGCAUCAAGAUUUGUGCAACUCCUACAUAUAUAGCAAUGACAAAGAUAUUACUAAAGCACAAAAAUGUAUACUUUUACUUGUGAUGAUAGAUAGGUAGUAUAAUACGUGUCGGUUAGAAUUUUUAGAAUAUGUAAUCGUGGAAAUACGUAAUAUAGUGAACUAGACUAAUAAUGUAGAGUACUCAAUCCUUUUUAACUUGUAAGUCUCGUUUUAUCUUUUCUAGAUGCAUCAUAGACAACUUUUACUACCCAUGAGAUCGAGGAAGGCUUCUCACUACUUCUUCUACACCAAACCAAGCCAACUCAAGAGGCAGAAAUAAAAAAAAAUAUCUAUAUCUAUAUCUAUAUCUAUCUAUCUUGAAGCUUGAGCUUGCGUGUACGUAGUUGACUGUAUAUGUCCCUAGCAGAUCACUUAGCUUGUCCGAUCGAAUGAAUCAAAAGGUUAGUUCCAAACCGAGAGAAAAUAAACAAUUAUUAAAGCCAAAAGAGCAUUACUACUACUGGAAUCCAAGCCUAGCUAAAGGCAUUUAUCCUAGUUCUUCACUCUUUGGAACCGGCUUCCAGUGCGUACCUAGUAGUAGAAAGGUCAGUCAAAUGCACAUGUAGUGUGUACGUAGCAUGCAUGCGACUAUAUAUAUAUAGAGAACUACCUUAUUGUUUAUAAUAAGCAGCAGCCAUAAUGAAUUGUAGGAGGGAAAAACAUUGGCAGCAGUCGCUUAUUUAAGGGGUUAACAUUGUAUCAUCUUAUAAGUUAUUCCAGAUCAAACGUAUUACACACACAUAGACAUUUUAUAUUAUUUUUUAGAAAGGACGACAAAAGCCUUGCCGUUAUUUUUCUUAGAGGAUGAAACAUUUUCGAUCUAUCGUGCAUUGUCGCUUAUUUAGUUCUAGUGAUGAGGAAAUAAUAUAUUAUAUAUAUACUUUCCAUGACCAGUGACCACAAACUAUAGCAACCAAAAAAAAAGUGUGACAUCACAAAUGCAGAAGCUUGUUAACGUUACUCUAUCCCUAAGCUUUCUGAGGAAGACCGAAAACUCCUAAUAACAUGCCCUGCUGCUUAAUUUCUCAUGAAAGGGCUGCUGGGGAAGAACAGGCGGUUCCGUAUGGGGUUCAGUUGCACCGCUUUUGCCUUUAUUAUUUGGACGACGGUGCACACUACCAUUAAAAGCUAGCUCUCACUAGUACAGCGAAGGGCUUUAGCCCCGGGCCGUAAGCGCCUUUAGUCCCGGCUACGGAACCGGGGCUAAGGUUUCGGGACUAAAUGUCCCACCUUUAGUCCCGGUUCCGUGGACCGGGACUAAAGGUCCACCUUUAGUCCCGGUUGGUAACAGAAACCGGGACUAAAAGGUGCGCCAGGGUGUGCCACCUGGCCUCCACUUUUAGUCCCGGUUGUUGUUACCAACCGGGACUAAAGACUUUUUUUCUUUUUUCUUUUUUCUUUUUCUUUUCAUUUGGUUUUCCAUUUAGGGUUUACAAUUAUGUUAUUGUUAUUUUCGAAUGCGUAUUGUUUGCUGGUAGUUUAUGGAACGCGCACCUAUAUAAUUUAUAUAAUUUAAAGGAUUACAUAUAAAUAUACUAUAAAACACUAUAUAUAUAUAUAAAUAAUUAUAUCUAUAGGUCCAUAAUAAAAUAUUUACACAUAUGCUUUACGGACAAAGUAUUUACAACACAAUUUUUCUCCACCACUCAAGCAUCGUACAAAUGAUCAUCGUUAUUUGGUUUUAUCUGCUCCUGAGGGUUGAAAUAGCACUCGCCGCCGGAAUCCAGGACUUGGUCAUUAAGAAAUCCUGCGAUUGUCUCCUGAAUUCCUUUUAGGCGCACCGCAUCCAACACCUGCUCCUUCAGCCACAUCUCUUUUAAUAGACAUUAAAGAAAAAAGUUAGAGGUAUGAAUAGGAUUUAUUAAAUAGCAACAAAUAAAUGAAAUAUACUUAUUAUAUAUACAUGUUACAUACUUUUAGGUGCUCAAGAUUAGUUCUUUUGGCAUACACCGUCAUAAACUCGCACACAUAGUAGCCACACAAAUUGUUGCCCGGUGUCUGCCGUAGAACCCACUGAAGUAAGAUGGGCUUUGAAAGUGAUGCAUUCAACUCUGGACGGUGUUUCUGCACGAACCCAGCCCAAACCCUAGCAAUAAAACGAUCAUUAUUAAUUAUCCAUUACCAACUUAAAAGAGCAGAAUUUAAUAUAUAGAGAUCGGAGUUACCCUUGGAUAAUAUCUAUCAUUUCUUGGUAAUCAUCCUGUGGUUUUCUCAAUGAGUCAUAGAUUACCAAUUGACAUUGCCAGAGAUCAAUGACAAUUAGUAUCCAAUGAAAGCUGCAUUUGUGUGCAUAUGUAGGCAAAAUUAGUAUAUAUCUUCAUAUUGAUCUGAUUAAUUAGUUAAAUAGAAUGUACACACGAUAACGACACUUACUUAAAGUUGUAGGGAAAGAGUAUAUAUCUUUUAUCUUUUUGGUUGAUCAAGAACCUCCGUAGAUUUCUCUCCGUUUGAGUUCUCCAUAAAACAUACGGGGUCUUGUGGUCUUUGAAUACAACAUUUGGAUCCACAAAUCCAAUCUCCUUGUCAUUUCUAACUCUGAGGUCCCUCAUCAUGUUUCUGCAUAUGUAUAGCGGGUUUCUGUAAUUAGUUAUAUAUAUACAUGAUAAGUUACAGAGACAUUAUUGAAAGGAAGAAUCACUUACAGACAGAAGCAACUCAUUAGAGAUUUGUCAAGAGCGUCCAUGUGGCAUAGUUGGUGUAGCUCAUUAAAUUGAACAUAAAUAAUAUCAUCACCACGGAAGUAAUGAUAGUUUCUAAUUCGGACACAAAUAUAGUCAUCUGCUUUUCUGGCACACGCUUCCAUGUACCAUUUGUUUAGCAUGUACAUUUGCGUUCCAAGCUUGCUGAGGGCCGCAGGGUUGUAUAAACUCUUGCCAUAUGUAUAUUCCUUCUGCCAAUGAUCAAUUUGUGGAGCACUUUCAAUUGGUGCCCCCGCUAUCAUUUGGGCUAAGCUAAGACCAGUUUCCGCAAAAAAAAUUUGAAGCUCUUCAAAUUUUAAAUCUGCCGGUAUCUGCUGGUCUAGCACGUCAAUGUUUGAACCAUAUUCAUUUCCAAUGACUAGCGGGGGCACUGAUUGCUUUGAUUGUUCCCCGAGCUGUGCUACACCCUUGCGUGCUCUUUUCUCUUUCUUCUUCUCUUCUUCUAUGGAUUUUCUUAAAGUGCGAUCAUAGUCUGAUAAAGAUGAUGAUUCUUUCUGAGCUUCACGCCUCUUUUUUUGUUCAGCCUCAACCCUUUGUCGUAGAUCUUCUGGCCGUAGUAAGAGGUACGACUUCUCAGGGUUUCGCUUGGCUUCUCUUUCAGUCUUAAGUUUCUUGAAGAAACUAUCCACAUCUGAUUUAACUGCAGCAUUUAUUUCUGCAUCAGUCAUCUGAUCAUAGGAACAACUUCUUAGGAAUGAUAGCUUGUUUCUUUUCGGAGGCUUUCUUUUUUGGCGGCGGGGCGGCCGACACAUUUGAUUUUGUGGCCGGCCUCUUCUUUCGUGCUGGAGCCACGUGUGGAGGCGAUGGGGCGGCCGGUGGCGGUGUUGGAGCCCGAGGAGGCGGCGUUGGAGCCCUAGGUGGCGUUGGAGCUCUAGGUGGCGGUGUUGGAGCCUGAGGUGGCGGUGUUGGAGCCCGAGGUGGCGGUGUUGGAGCCCUAGGUGGUGGCGUUGGAGACCGAGGCGAUGCAGCCGUGUCUUGCACUCCCUCGUCAUCACCCGCAGCACUAUGACAUGUCGGUGACCACCUGUGAAAAUAAAAGGUAUAUGAGUAAACCGCUAACUAAGAGAAUGCAAAAUAAAUUUAGUGAACAAAUGUAUAGUCAAUUUUCAUCCGCACCUAGGAUUAGAUUCAUGACGAGGAGGUGGUGGUAGACUACUAGGUGAUGCCCCAGGAAUAAUGAUGUAGCGCUUGCGCCAACAAAUAAAAGUCUUCUCUGCUUCUCCUAGAGUCUUCUCUCCAUCACCUCCUUCUAUCUCAAGCUGCACAUUACUGAAGCCUUUGACAACUCUAUCCACCGAGACACUAGCAUAUCCAGGUGGAAUUAUCGCCCCAUGGAUUCUUGGUGUCCUUGUAGGGUCGACAGGAGUUACAACAGCGACAGCAACCAUGACUGUGGCAGUCCCCUGUGGAAUGUGCAGCUCACAUGUUGUCAGAGGCUCAGUGAUGUCAUCCACCGGAAAGUGCAGCCCCACGUCGUCUUGAAUAGUUGGCAUCUCUGUGGAAGCGCAACUACUUUUCAACUGACCGGGGGGGCUAAUGUUGACUAUAGGCUGUGAUGUAGUUUGCCCUUGUAUAGAACUUAAUGCAAUCUGCACUUGUCUUUUGAUCUCCUCGUUCAUUCUCUCUUCAAGCGCUUUCUCUCGCGCUAUCGCUUCACGAGCCGCUUCGCGUGACUCAAUCACCAUUGCCUCCAACCUAUGCAACCGCUCUGCUUCCUCUUUCUUCUUUCGUUGGCGGCUUCUAUAAGUCGGUCUAUCUUUAGGGAAGCCAUGCUCCCAUGUUAUCUCCCCAUAGCCUCUGGUUCGCCCAUCGUGUUCAGCAGUCUCCAGGGCGUAUGUCAGCUCAUCCUUUUCUCUAUUUGGCUGCCAGGUGCCGCUUUCAACUAAUCCUCUAGCAUAGGCCAUUCUCUGUCCUACUCUCUCGAGCUUUUCGCCAUACACUAUCUUUCCGGUCUCUAGGUCUAUGGUUCCCCCAUGACCAAAGAACCAAUACUUGGCGCGCUCGGGCCAGUGCAUUGAUUCUGGUUCGAUCCCUCUCCCAAGAAUCUCCUGUUCCAGCUUUUGCCACUUAGGAAUAGCAGUCCUGUAGCCACCUGAACCCAAGUGAUGGUGGUAUUGCUUUUGUUUAGCAUUUUCUUGAUUCUUGAUCAUCCGUGCCUGACCCUCUUCUGAGUUCUUAAACUCUACGAACUCAUCCCAAAAAGGCCUCAACUUGACGUAGGCCUUGUUGGUGAAAUCUGGUGUCCGGCCUUGUGCAACAAAAGUCUUGUAUAAUGUCUUCUUCCAAGCCUGAAAUUGUUUGGCCAUCUUCUGCAUAGCCCAGAUUUUAACCUUCUUCUUCAAAGCUUCAUCCUGUGUAUCGAGCGUGAAAUGUUGAAGGAUAUCUUGCCAAAUCAAUUCCUUGUCACGAUCUGAGACAAAACUAAUAUUAGGGUUAUCUUUCCGUUGCCUCCAUUCACGAGCACUAACCGGGAGCCUGUCCCUUACAAGGUAGCCACAGUGCGCAACAAAUUUUUUAGAAUUAGCUCCAAGUACUUGUCCUGUACCCUCAUCGAAUUCCGACAGAAUGUACCGACCCUCCAACGGCUUCUUCGGGCCGCGCACUUUUCUACUCUUCUCAGAAGUUGUCGCCGAUUUAGAGGGCUACACAAACAAGUAUAAAUAUAUUAGUAUAAAUGUCAUUUAUUUUAAUUUCAUAUAUAUACAUAUAUACUAGAUAGUAGAUAGACCUGAUCAGGAUUGUCUCCCACAAGUUCUUCAUAAUCGACAAAGUACUGACUCCCAUCAUCUUCGCCUUGGGGAUCUGGAUUGGCACCGCUGUUGAUUAGGUCCAUCAUUGCAUCAUCCAUGUUGUCAUUCGGAUUGGCCAUUUCUAUAAAUUUAAUCAAGUGUUAAAAGUUUUUGACGCGAUCAACAAAAAUUAUUUAGAUAGACUAAACUUAGACAAUAUUCGAUACAACAACACAUGAUAAAUUAUAUCAUAUAAAUUAUAUAAUACAAAUGAUAAAUUAUAAAAUAGAAAUUAUACAUCUCAUCUCAAUAUCUAUCCCUACUAACUAAUUACAACAUAGGAUAAAUUAUAUCAUAUAAAUUAUAUAAUACAAAUGAUAAAUUAUAAAAUAGAAAUUAUACAUCUCAUCUGAAUAUCUAUCCCCACAAACUAAUUACAACAUAGGAUAAAUUAUAUCAUAUAAAUUAUAUAAUACAAAUGAUAAAUUAUAAAAUAGAAAUUAUACAUCUCAUCUCAAUAUCUAUCCCUACUAACUAAUUACAACAUAGGAUAAAUUAUAUCAUAUAAAUUAUAUAAUACAAAAGAUAAAUUAUAAAAUAAAAAUUAUACAUCUCAUCUGAAUAUCUAUCCAUACUAACUAAUUACAACAUAGGAUAAAUUAUAUCAUAUAAAUUAUAUAAUACAAAAGAUAAAUUAUAAAUUAAAUUAAAGUAACUUGUGCUUUCUAUAUUCAAGUUCAACUAUACACAACAAGGUUUUUAAUUAUGUCUCAAGUAAAUUUAUAGUAUAAAAAUAUAUAAAUAAUUAAUCUAAUAAUAUUUAUAUCUUUUAUAGAAAUGUCAUAAAAAUUUUGAUAUGUUUACAGCAUGUAAUUAAUUUGCGCGAUAAAUAUGAUAAACGAAACACUUCCAUACAUAUAUGUAUACAUGCCUUAGCUAAAAAUUAGAUAAAAUUAGCUAAGAGUAUUAAAUAUAGAGAAAAAAAUAACUAAUUACACAGUUGAUAGGGAAACCACGAGAUAAACCUUUUAAGCUUAAUUAGUUUAUGUUAGCCAUAAUUACUAUAAUAACACAGAUAUGCUAAUAACAGAUUAGUUAGAUAUAAUAAAUUUGUCUCACAAUUUUUAGAUAAAUUAUAUAAUUAAUUUUAUAAUUAAUAUCCAAACUGCUAAAGACUUGUUUAGUUUCGAAAAUAAAUUAUUUUCGAUAUUCCAUAAAUUAUUCGAUACAACAACUAAAGACUUGUUUAGUUUCGAAAAUAUUCGAAACAACAACUAAGGGCUAACCUAAACUAAUUAAGCAUUUGUUGAUCCAUAGCAUAUAUAGUCUAUAUAUAGUUGAUUGUGUGCAAUCUUGACCUUUUCUUGGAAAAAUAAUUGACCCACUUGUAUAGUUAUUUUUAUAUUAACUUUCAUUAAAAUUAUCUGUAUUUUUGCAAUUCUGCUUAGAUGACAGUAAUGCCGCCUUAUAUCUUUUAUAGAAAUGUAUUUGAUUUCUAAAAAAGCGAAUUGCAUUGCAUUCGAAUCUUGCGGCAUAUGCAUAAAGUAUUAAAUAUAGGUUAAAAAAUAACUAAUCACACAGUUUGUAUAUAUGUAAUUCGCGAGACGAUGAAGGUCAACUACACUGUUAACACUGUUCACAUUUUGCAUAUGAGAAAAAACAAACAAUCACACUGUUCACAUUUUGCAUAUAAGAAAAAACAAACAAUUUGCAUAUAGGAAAAAACAAACAAUCACACUGUCCACAUUUUACAUAAUUUUUUGCAAGUAAACAUGGCCAUUUUUUUGCAAGUAAACAAUCAAACUACUCGGUGCCGGAGAGAAGAUGGCGCGGCGCUCCGUACGGUCCUCGGCGGCAGGGGACGAAUGGUCGGGCACGAGGGUCGUCGGUGCCGGGGACGAUGGCCGGGGACGAGCUUUCGUCGGUGCCGGAGAAGAAGCGAAGAGCUCGGCGAGGUGCUCCGUACGGUCCUCUCGGCUCGGGGCGGGGUCGAUGGUUAGCGGCGGCGGCGGCGUCGCUCCCGGGGACGAGCUAUCGGCGGUGGUGGCCGGGGACGAGGGCGCGAGGCGACGGCGGGGAGGAGCGGCGCGCGGCGGAGGAAAUUAGGGUCUGAGGAGGAGCGGCGAGCGGCGGAGGAAAUUAGGGCAACGUCGAUCUGAGGAAGACGACGGUUCGGUUAAAUACCCAGAGGGACCUUUAGUCCCGGUUCUAGCCAGGAACCGGGACUAAAUGUAUUUUUCAGUUUCUUAUUUAUUUAUGCAUACAAUAAUUAGAUUAAUGUUGUUAACUGCAUAGUAAAUAGAAUAAUAGGUAUUAAUUUGUUAAAAAAUAAUAGUUCCAUUUCUUUUUGUCUAAUUGGUUACAUAAUAAAUUUGGAAACAUAAAAUCUUUUCAUCACUUAUAUUAACAAACUUAAAUAUGAAAAAUAAUUAGUAUUUUGUUAAUGCAAAAAUGUAUUAUUUAAUUUUAAUAUCUUAAAGGAGAUGUUUUUGAUAGAAAAAUUUGUUUGUGCAAUAUUUAAACGUAAAUUUUGUUUAUUUAUCAUCAUUUAUCUCCAAAAUCAUGAUAUACGUGAUAUUCACCAUUACAUCGAAUUAUUUUUUAAAAUUUUUUCUCUAUUUCUUAUUUAUUUAUGCUUACAACAAUAUUCACCAUUACAUCAGAUUAUCUCUAACAACUUUGUAUUCAAAUUUUUUUCAUUUCAAGUCAUCAAAUGGGUCAUUUGACCAAGUUUGACCAAAGUCAAAGCAUUGGUUUUUAGAAACACACACUUUGACCGAACCCUAUAUGGUCCCAAAUGGAAAAGUAAUGAAUACAAAGUUUGUUGCACUCAUCAAGUUCUACAUUUUGUCUAAUGGUCAACUUUUCUUUUGGAAAAGUUUGAACCACUCAAUUUUGAAUUUUGAUAGAAUUCAUAGCCACGCAUGGGUUUUCGGAACCCUAGAUGGUCUCGAACGGAAAAGUCAUGAAUACCAAUAUUGUUCCACUCAUCAAAAUCUACAUUUAAUAUAUAGACCAUUUUUGCAUUUGACAAAGUGUUGCGAAGGUGUAGUUCAAAAUCCACAAUUGACACAUGUAGUUUCAUAUAGUUUGUGUGAGAUUCAAGAAUUGGUGGGUAUUGUGAACUUAAACUUUCUCAAAUAGAAAAGUUGUCUAUAUAAAAAGUUUAGAUCUUGAUGAUAUCUAACAAAUUGGUAUUCAAAAUUUUUUCAUUUUAAGUAGUUUAGUUUGUCAUUUGACCAAGUUUGACCAAUACCCGUCUUGGAUUUUGAACAAAUGUGCUUAGGAUUGGCUCAAAUUUAUCCAAAUGGAAAAAUGGACAAUAUAUCAAAUGUAGAUCUUGAUUAUCUCUAACAACUUUGUAUUCAAAUUUUUUUCAUUUCAAGUCAUCAAAUGGGUUAUUUGACCAAGUUUGACCAAAGUCAAAGCAUUGGUUUUUAGAAACACACACUUUGACCGAACCCUAUAUGGUCCCAAAUGGAAAAGUAAUGAAUACAAAGUUUGUUGCACUCAUCAAGUUCUACAUUUUGUCUAAUGGUCAACAUUUCUUUUGGAAAAGUUUGAACCACUCAAUUUUGAAUUUUGAAUUUCGGAACCCUAGAUGGUCUCGAACGGAAAAGUCAUGAAUAUUUUUGACUAUUUUUGCAUUUGAAAAAUAAUUGACACAUCUCUUAUAAUAGCAAACUUAAAGGUCAUUUCAUUAUUUGAAAUGAUAUAAAAUAAGAAAAACUAAUAUAAACAUCUUAAGUUACAAUUGUCACAUACACAUACUAUAUUGCAAUCUAUUUAUUAGGCGGGCACAAUAGUGAUCUUCUUUUUGACGUAUGUUCCUUGGUCAUGAUCUUGACGUAACCAUGGAGUGUCCUCAGCAUCUAUCAGUAUGCUCGGAUCUUUGGUCACAUUGAAAGGCGUGAUUCGGUCAUCCCUUUCAUAAUCUUCUGAAAUAUCUGACUUGUCCUCAAUUCCCACAAUGUUUCUUUUCCCUAAGAGAACUAUAUGGCGUUUUGGCUCGUUUGUUGAUUUGUUGUCAUUUUUCCCUCUCUUCUGUUUUGUAGACAUGUCUUUCACAUAGAACACCUGAUUCACAUCAGCAGCAAGGACGAAUGGUUCAUCUUUGUAACCAACAUUGUUGAGGUCCACUGUUGUCAUUCCAUAGUCUUUGUCAACUGUCACCCCGCCUCCGGUAACCUUCACCCAUUGGCACCGGAACAAAGGGAUUUUAAAAUUAGGUGCGUAGUCUAGUUCCCAAAUCUCCUCUAUACGACCAUAAUAUGUUUGUCUGUUUCCAUUCGGGUCUAUGGCGUCUACGCGAACUCCACUAUUUUGGUUCGUGCUUCUUUUAUCUUGGCCUAGGGUGUAAAAUGUAUUUCCAUUUAUCUCGUACCCUUUGUACGUGAGGAUGUGCCAUGAUGGUUGCCUAGCCAACAAAUACAGUUGCUCAUCAAUCUGGUCAUUACCCUGACAUUCUUUUCGUAACCAAUCACUGGAAGUGUCUAUGUGCUGAUGCAUAAGCCAACCUUCAUUCUUCUCUGGGAAUUGCGAUCGUAGGAAGUCCUUGUGUUUCGUGACAUACGGCUCCACCACGGAUGAGUUUUGAAGAACUGUGUAGUGUGCUUUAUUGAAAGAAUCGUCCCCCAUACCGAUGUAUGUUUUCUUUCCUAGUGUUCCCUUUCCACUCAGUCUGCCCUCGUGGCGCGAUUCAGGAACACCAAUUGGGUCAAGUUCAGGAAUGAAUUCAACAUAGAACUCAAUGACCUCCUCUGUCCCAUAGCCCUCGGCGAUGCUUCCUUCUGGCCGAGUACGUUGGUGAACAUAUUUCUUCAGAACUCCCAUAAACCUCUCAAAGGGAAACAUAUUAUGUAGGAACACAAGACCCAGAAUAUUGAUCUCCUUGACCAGAUGAACUAGGAGGUGUGUCAUGAUAUCAAAGAAGGAUGGUGGGAACACUAACUCAAAGCUGACAAGACAUUGAACCACAUCAUUCUGUAGAGCAGCUAGUUCUAGUGGAUUGAUUGCCUUCUGAGAAAUUGCAUUGAGGAAUGCACAUAGCUUUACGGUGGCCAGACGUACAUGUGGAGGUAGAAUUCCUCUUAAUGCAACUCGAAGCAAUUGCGUCAUAAGCACAUGGCAGUCAUGCGACUUUAAGUUUAGAAAUUUCUUCUCAGGCACAUUAAUUAUACCUUUUAUAUUAGAGGAGAAUCCAGAUGGGACCUUGAUGCUGCUUAAGCAUUCAAACAUGAUUUCUUUCUCUUCAUUGCUAAGAGUGUAGCUAGCAGGUCUUAAAUAUUGGCGUCCAUCAUCUGUCUUCUCUGGAUGCAGGUUGUCUCGUUCUUCCAUGCGUUGCAAGUCUUGUCGUGCUUCAAGUGAAUCCUUAGGCUUACCAUAUACACCCAUGAAUCCUAGAAGGUUCACACAAAGAUUCUUUGUUAGGUGCAUGACGUCGAUCGCAUUCCGGACCUCUAGGACUUGCCAAUAGGGUAGCUCCCAAAAUAUUGACUUCUUCUUCCACAUGGGUGCAUGACCCGCUGCAUCUUUUGGAACUGGUUGGCUGCCUUGUCCCUUACCAAAAACUACUUUCACAUCCUUAACCAUCUCAAAUACAUCUUCUCCAGUUCUAUUGCGAGACUUGCAUCAGUGGUCUGUCUUACCUUUAAAAUGCUUUCCUUUCUUUCUAACUGGGUGAUUCAUAGAAAGAAAUCGACGAUACCCAAGGUACACGACCUUUCUGCAUUUUUUCAAAUAUAUACUAUCAAGGUCAUCAAAACAAUGUGUGCAUGCAUUAUAUCCCUUGUUUGUCUGCCCUGAAAGAUUACUUAGAGCAGGCCAAUCAUUGAUUGUCACAAACAACAGUGCUCGUAGGUCGAAGUGUUCCUGUUUGUACUCAUCCCACACACGAACACCUGUUUCACUCCAUAAAAGAAGGAGUUCUUCAAUUAAUGGCCUUAGAUAGACAUCAAUGUCAUUGCCCGGUUGCUUCGGGCCUUGGAUGAGCACCGGCAUCAUAAUAAACUUUCGCUUCAUGCAUAACCAUGGAGGAAGGUUGUAGAUACAUAGUGUAACAGGCCAAGUGCUAUGACUACUGCUUUGCUCACCAAAAGGAUUCAUACCGUCCGUACUUAAAGCGAACCUUAAGUUUCUUGCGUCUUUUGCAAACUCUGGAAAUUCCCUGUCUAUUGCUCUCCACUGGGACCCAUCAGCAGGGUGUCUCAACAUGUUGUCUACUUUACGGUCUUCUUUGUGCCACAGCAAUAAUUUUGCAUGGUCCUUAUUUCUAAAAAGACGUUUCAGACGUGGUAUUAUAGGAGCAUACCACAUAACCUUUGCAGGGAUUUUUUUUCUGGGACGUUCUUCCCCCUCAACAUCGCCAGGGUCAUCUCGCCUGAUCUUAUACCGUGAUGCUUUACAUACGGGGCAUUCAUCUAAAUUCUCGUAGUCCUUGCCACGGUAUAGGAUGCAGUCGUUAGGACAUGCAUGUAUCUUCUUGAUUUCUAAUCCCAACGGACAGACGAUCUGUUUUGCUUCGUACGUAGUAGUGGGCAGUUCAUUAGGCUUUGGCAGCAUUUUUUUUUUGGAUCUUCAGUAAUUGCCCAAAUGCCUUAUCGGAUACACCAUUCUGUGCCUUCCAUUUUAACAGUUCUAGUGUUGUACCCAGUUUUUUUUGCCCAUCCUGGGCAGAUGGGUAUAAUAAUUUCUUGUGAUCUUCUAACAUGUGGUCAAACUUUGUCUUCUCUUUUUCACUUUCGCAAUCUUUUUGUGCCUCACGAAUGACAUCACCAAGAGCAUCAUCUUCAACAGGUGCGCCUUCUGCAUCUGCCUCAUCUUCAGCUUCUCCCAUUGCUGUAUCACUGAAGUCACCGUAUUGAGCAAUAAUGUCGUCAGGCUCCAACUGUUCUUCUUCACCUUCUUCCAUCAUUAUACCGUUUUCUCCAUGCUUGGUCCAACAAAUAUAGUUUGGCAUAAAACCCGACUUCAACAAAUGUGAGUGAAUAUUUCUAGAGCUAGAAUAUUCCUUCAAAUUCUGACACAAGGCACAUGGGCAACAUAUGAAUCCAUCCCGCUUGUUUUCCUCGGCCACUCUUAAGAAAUAAUGCACACCAUCAAUGAAUUCUUUGGAGCGGCGAUCGGCAUUGUACAUCCAAUGACGUGUCAUUGUCUGCAUUGCAAUGUAAAAUAUUAUAAGUUUCUAAUUUUUUAUAAAGAAAUUAAAGUAACAAAUAACCUAAAAUUCUCUAUUUCUGGUUUUUCUAAACCAACAAAAUUAAAAAGACAUAAAAGUUCUCUAUUUUCUAACUAACCAUGAAAUAUGGCAUGCAUACUAGUUAUAAUUAACUAAUUAACCAUGUCAUAAAGUGUAAAUUAAAGUAUUAUAAGUUUCUAAUUUUUAAUAGAGAAAUUAAAGUAACAAAAAACCUAAAAUUCUCUAUUUCUAAUUUUUAUAAACAAGCUAAAUUAAAAAAGCACAAAAAUUCUCUAUUUUCCUAAAUAAUCAUGAAAUGUGGUAUGUAUACUAGUUAUAAUUAAAUAGCUAAAUCGGUCAAAAAUUGCAAAUUAAAGUAUUAUAUGUUUUUAUUUUUAAUAGAGAAAUUAAAGUAACAAAAAACCUAAAAUUCUAUAUUUCUAUUUUUUCUAAACAAGCUAAAUUAAAAAAGCACAAAAAUUCUCUAUUUUCUUAAAUAAUCAUGAAAUGUGGUAUGUAUACUAGUUAUAAUUAACUAACUAAAUCGGUCAAAAAUUGCAAAUUAAAGUAUUAUAUGAUUUUAUUUUUUCUAAACUAAUUAAAAUAAAAAACAUAUUACCACUAUUUCUCUAACAAAACGCGUCGCUUUUGAAAUGGCGAUGAAGCUAAUAACCUCUUAAAAAACCAUAAAAUAAAAAAUAAUAUAACACUAGGAAAUGACAUACGCCGCUUCUAAAUGUUGAGAAGAUGAAGCUAGUGACCUCUUAACAAGUCGAUGACGGUGUAGAAACGAUGAAAUGAAUCAAUAGCCGGAGAUGAGAGCAAGCUAGAACAAGCAACUCCAAAUGAAGAACACAGCAAAAGAGUGAAGAUCGAUGGGCUCGGCCACGGGAAGAAGAGUUCAAAUAUGGGGAGGGACAUUUAAUCCCGGUUCCUUUUAAAAACCGGGACUAAAUUCCAACACUAGUCUCGGCCGGUGGGACGGACCGGGACAAAAGCUUUUAAUCCCGGUUGGUGGUACCAACCGGGACUAAAGGCUAGGCUUUUGUCCCGGUUGGUGAGACCAACCGGGACUAAAAGUCCCCUCUGCCGAUGUCUGACAUAAUAGCCGUUGGGCAGGGGACUUUUAGUCCCGGACUCUGUUUUGGCCGAGAUUAUUGUUCAUUUUGGGCAAGUGACCAAAGGCCUGUUCUGUAGUAGUGUCUAGACCUGCGAAACAUAUAGCUAGGGUAAUUAAAACCAUUCGAUUUCUUCCAAUAAUACAAUACAUAUGGAGAUACAUGACUAUAGGAUGAGAGUGGAAAAUUAACUAAUUUCUCUUUCAAUAAUCCCUCCCAAUAUAUGUAUAUAGAUUAGAGGCAAUUAUUAUGUAUGUUUUGUUUCGUAACAAGUCUAGCUAGGUGUCUCUCUCUUUCUCUAAGUUUUCUAUGGCAGGAACACAAUUUUUUCUUCACUGCUCCUGAUGAGCAGGAUCAACAACCCAAUUCUGUGACGACGAUCAAUCUUUUGGUUUAGGGCAUCAGAUAAUCCUGUCGAUCAUCUAAUUAUAGGGAGAUUUUUGCUGAUCCUCGAGUUGCAGCAUACAUAUCAUAAAUACACACAAGCCGGCCUGUUUACUAUGUGUUUGUUUCGGCUUAUAAUCACGUCUGCGGUUGCCCCACCGCGUGAAUCAAAAUAAUCACACUAAACACCUCUCAUGAAUCAUUAAUUCUUUUCACCGCGUGGGAUACACUCACCACGAGUAUAAACCUGAACAACUCACGUUUUCCGUGCCACGCGACGGGCAAGAGGCCGGCCAUGGUACUGUUACUACACCACGCAGCCCGUCACACGCGACCUUCCCGCUGUGGUCCCAAACACACCCUUAAUAAUAAAAUAAAUCGUUUGCCAUCAUCACAGAUGAAUCCUUCUCUUGCUGCAGCUAGGAGAUAUAGAGGGAUCUGCAGCCCUGCAGAUCGCUCAUGGAGAUGCAUGCAGGACAGAAUCUGAAUGUUUUGCAAGAACAAGAUCUAGCUAGAGCGAACUAGAAGGCCGGGCCUCAAAUUAAAGCUGCAUGCGCAUGAUGAAAUAAUAAGAAGAUGAUGAAUCCUCGAUCAGCUUGAGGAAUCUACACCAUCCUUCUAGCUCGCAAGCUCUCUAGCUAGCUCUCGAUCAAGAGAAGAUCGAAACACCACGAACAGGUAUUAUUAUUCAUAACAGCUUGCGUUCUUUAGUUAAUCGAUCGAUCGAGCUUACAUGCAUGCACUCAUAUACCUCCAGAUUAAUAGAGCUAGCCCCGAUUUAACAGUGUACUUGCCGGGCUGCAACCGAACCAUGGACGAUUAACACUAGCAAACGAACGAUAUCUAUCUAGAUUAUAAGACGCAAGCACGCCGCCGUCGGCGAUCGACGGAGGAAGGAGCUAGCCUAGCUGCUCCUCCUACUCCUACUACUCCUCUUUCUCAUUCCCCUUGUCCUCCUGCUGCUGCUGCUCUGGUGGUGGCGGCACGGCUGGCUCGUUCAGAUCGAAGGGCAUGACGACUUGCUGCGCCGGCCCGUCCUGGUGCGGUGCUGCUUGGAAAGCCAGUAGCAGCCGAGUUUGCCGCUGUGGCUGGCGCGGUGGCCGCCGAGCGCCUGGCGCGUCUCGAACUGGGCCCCGCAGCGCUCGCACGCGUAGCGCAGCUGCCUCCCGUCCGCGGUCACGGCAACCACCGGCAGCUCGGCCGGCGGCGCCAUGCCGCGCCAGGCGCGCUCCGGGUGGCUGCGCUGGUGCCCGUGCACGGCCUUGCGGCAGUCGAAGCGGCGGUCGCAGACGGGGCAGGGGUGAGGCCCGUCCCCGGACUCGUUCUUGCUGCGGUUGCGGGAAGCCGCCUUCUUCUUGCGCUGCUGCGCCGCCGCCGGGAUGGCGUCCGCCUCGUGCGACGACAUGGGGCGCCACGGACGGUUCGGGUCCUCGCCGCCGCCGCCGCCGGGGGGCGCGCCCACGCUGCCGGCGAGGAACUGGCCGUACGCCAUGCCCAAGAAGAACACCUGAGCUUCGUUCAUAGCACUCCUGCCCUACAAGCUAAGCUCCGCCUGUGUCAGCCGUUGCGCGUGCAACGGGAGACACACAGCGUGCACUGACUAGUCGAUCGGUACCGAGGCAAGGUGCAGUGUGCACUGCUUGCUGGGUUGUGAGGGACACUAGUACUCUUGGCAGGUGGGCCCUAUAUAUAUAUAGUCCUUUUUAUGUCGUGGAUCCUACUUUUCGGUCGACGCGUCCUUUCGUUCCAUCUUUUUUUUAUUUUUUAUACUUUAACUUUUUUUUUUCUAUACCAUAUAUUUUAAUAACUUUGUAGAUGGGCCAUUAGCUUCUAUAUGACACCUCAUUAGUAAAUUUAUUUGCAUUUAUAGUUACUGUAAGUAAUUAUUAUAUGAUCCUUAUAUAUAUACAACUUAUUCACUUGAGUUUAUCAGCCGAAUCUACCAGUCAUUCAACAGUAUUUUUCUGUCACAAUAAAUCACUUAACAGUAAUUUCUAUCAUGCCUUAACAGCCAAACCAACAGGGGCGAUAGGUACUCUCGGGAGUAGUUACUCCCAUCUUCAAUAAAUUAUAUUGCGUAUGUGUUCAUACUUGUUUAUUGGUUUAAGUAUGUUUAUAUACUCAUAUUAAGAUACUUUAUAUCUUACCACGUGAAUUUUUUUUCAAAGGAAUCCAUAUUUUUAAUAUAUUACUAAAAUGCCACUAUUGUAGUAUAUAUAAUAAGUAUAAUCAUAUACUCUAUGUAUGCAUACAUACUUAACAUACAUAUCACCCUAGAUGCAUGGUCUAGGUGAUCAUAUACUUCAUCUACAUAUAUUUUGUUCGGUCAUAUACAUCAUAAAUAAUCUAGAGAUAUAGAUAUGUGAGUAGCUACUUCUAGGAGUAUAUAUAUAUAUAUAUAUAUAUAUAUAUAUAUAUAUAUAUAUAUAUAUAUAUAUAUAUAUAUGUCACCAACACUUUUUUAUACAAGUAUUUUUGUACUAAUGGUUUUGUAUCGAGUCAAUGCCUUUUUUAUGGGUAACUCAUACACAAUAAAGAUUACUAAGAAAGAACAAAAGCUAACAACACUAAAAAAACUAUCGAUGUCAAUCACUACAGCUUAAGUUUGUGUAGAUCUAGCUUGUGUAUAGUUUGUGUGCGUUUGUGUGUGUGUGUGGUGUGGUGUGAGUUUAUGCUUAAAUUUAGAUACUACAACUUGUAUUUGAAUUAUUGAGGCAUCAUGUCAUAGGUUUGGAACCGCAACAAGCAUUGAGUUUGUUCGGCGAAGGUCGGUGUGAGUCUUUAGUGGCUUAGACACUCAAAAUACGCAGGGGACACAAUUGAUUUACCUUGGUUCAAGGUUUUGAGCACUAUAUCCAAUAGUAUGAUUUAUCCUGAAGGAUCAUCUCGUCUACUUGCUCUACCUGCUCGUUGGACUCGGGUGAUACACUGAUGCCAAUCCACCGGUAUGAGCCAGACGCCACAGAACUCGAGGAAUUCAUGCUUUUGUGAAUUGGGUGCCAUUGUUAGUGAUAAUGCAAUUAGGGACCUUAAAAUUGUGGAUGAUGUCCUAGACGAACUCGCUCAGACUUGAGAUUAACGAUGGGUUGGACCUUAAUGGCAACCAAGCGGUGGUCGAAGCCCUUGAGAGCCUUCUUGAAUUCUCCAACCAUGUCGAGGCAUGAACCGCAAAGGGGUUAGGUGAUCAGGAUAGUUUGGAGUGCCUACACGCAGAAGGAAGGCCUGUUGGACAAAAAACUAUGUACUUCAUAAGAGGUCUUAAAGAGGUGAUUAGGAUAGUUUGGAGUGCCUAGCACCCUCAGCAUGUCUUUAAGAGCUCUUCGCUGUUAACAAGGGCCAUCAAUCGCCUAGUAAAAACUAUGCUAGAACGCCUUGCUUACCAAAGCCCUCGAAGCAGCAUGGUGCUCACAAAUAUUAGCAUGGAUGUCAUAGAGAAGGGCCUUCCCCUCUCACGAGCAUGGACAUACUUGAGGAGGACCAUUGAGGCGCUCUGUCUAUACAGUUGCCCUUCCACGAUCUUAUAGCUUUUUGCCCGGCAAACUAGGCAUCGAGCCUCAAUGGGAUCCUCCAAAACGAUCCUUUAGUUGAGGAAGUCGAGGAAGGGGCUGAUCUAGCCGCAUUCACCAUCCACUCCUUUGUCCUAUGGGUUAGACGAGCCAUCUGCGUGGUCAAGCAUUACCUCCUUGGGCCUACCCACCGCUCGGUCGACCAUCUCAUCUACGGGGUUGGCCAACAUCUGGUUGGGUUCAGCUCCCUCAUUGAGUGGAGUCGAAGGGUCACCAUGAGUACCCAAGGAGGCAUUAGAAGAACAACUACUUGUUUUUGUGACCAAUAGUACCUUGCUCUCUAGGCUCAGUUGCCCAUUCGCUUGGUCGACAGGGCCCUCUAAGGGUCUGUUUGCUGUUUGGUUGACCAAGCUAUUCAUGGCGCUAGUCGACAUAUGGUUGGGCUUGACCUUCCCCUCGAGUCAGAUCAAGGGGUUGUCAAGGUCAUCCAUAAAGAUGCUAGGUGGAGGUUUUCUUUAGGUGGAUGACAACUUUGCAAGGGCAUCAUCUUCCUCUUUGUUGUAUCGAAGGAUGCGAUGGAGUUUGAUUCCACCGAGUUUUCCUUUCAGCUUAUAGACCACCUUGUAGUAACUAGUAAGCCUCUAUCUUCUCAUCAUGGCAGGACGACUCCUUCAUUACCUUGUUGAUCACCAGCUCUGAAUCCCCUUGGACAUAGAGACAACGUGCCCCAAGGGCGGUCACGACAUGUAUUCAAUGGAGGAGUACUUCAUACUCGACGACAUUGUUAGUAGCUUAAAAGUGAACCUGAAGGGCAUACCUUAGCUUGUUGCCGCUCAGGGAUACCCCAGCCCCUGGACCUCCAUGCAUUAGGGAACUAUCGAAGUACAUGGUCAAAUAUUCCUGCUUGAUCAGGACGACAAGGUCUGCUCCUUUGUCUAUUCUGCCAGGAAGUCGACGAUGACCUAAGAAUUCAUGAUGGUGCAAGGGAGUUAAAAUUGUGGCGCAACUUGAGCUUGCUGAUGAGCACUGUGUAGAUCAGCUUCUAGAUUGGAUUUGUGGGUAGUGGGUCUUGGAUUAGAAAAGCAGAUGAAUCCUUCUCUUGCAGCAGCUAGCAGAUAGAUCUAUAGCCCUGCGAUUGCUCAUGCAGAUAUAUGACAGAAUCUGAAUGUUUCCAGGCGGCAACGGUGCUAACUCUGGGAAAUGGAUGCUCAAUAUUAUUCUGGUCUGACAGGUGGCUGGAUGGCUGGACUAUUAAAGAGAUCGCGCCUCUGAUCUUUGCAUCGGUGGGAUCAAGAAAGAGAGGAGCAACAGUAGCCGAAGCCCUACAAAACCACAAUUGGGUGCGCCAUAUCACUACGCCUCUGACAAUGCAGGUGCUCCUGGAAUUUGAUAAGCUAUUCGACAUGGUGGAGCGCUUCAGCCUAUCCGAUGCUCCAGACACCUUCACCUGGACGCUCUCAGCUGAUCGUGCCUACAGCGCGGCAUCGGCCUAUGGAGCAAUGUUCCUGGGUUGUUCAAUGCCGUUAGGUGCCAAGCAAAUUUGGAGGACUGUUGCUCCGCCGAGAGUGUGUUUCUUCUUCUGGCUUGUCCUGCAUGGUCGCUCUUGGACAGCUGACAUGAGAUUUCGACACGGGCUGCAAACUUCCAAUACAUGCAUUAUCUGUGACCAAGAGGUUGAGACCAUAGACCAUAUCCUACUCGGCUGCUAUUUUUGUCGACAAGUGUGGGAGCCAUGGCUAGCCAAGCUUGGUGUCCAAGGGGUGGUCGUGCUAUGUGAGGAACCAACCAUGGAGUGGUGGAUUAGGAGCAGAAAGCUUGUCCCAAAGCUUGCUCAUCGUGGAUUUGAUUCACUGUUCUUUCUCAUCAGCUGGAUGAUCUGGAAGGAAAGAAAUGCGAGGACUUUUGGGGGAGCCGCGGUUUCGCCGAACGAAUUGCAGGCGAAGAUCCAGGAUGAAGUUCAGGCUUGGGGCCUGGCUGGUUUUAGGCAGCUGUUGGCAAUUGCUCUUUAGUUCUGGUUCUGCCUUCGUCGCGCUUUCUUGCCUAGCCCCAAUUUGUAAUCUUGUAAUCUUGUUUGAGUGUCCUGCAGCUUAGGAGCUUGGGUAACCUGGGAUUACCGAUGCUCUGAGGGCUCUGUAACAAAACUCCUUUCUCCUUAAUGAAAUACAUGCUUAGGCAUGAUUGCUAAAAAAAAGAACAAGAUCUAGCUAGAACGAACUAGAAGGGGCUCAAAUUGAAGCUGCAGCGUAUGAUGAGAUAAUAAGAAGGUAAAUCCUCAAUCAGCUCGAGGAAUCUACACCGUCCUUCUUCUAGCUCGCAAAUUACUAGAGCCCGAUCGAAACACCACGAACAUGUAUUAUUAUUCAUAACAGCUUGCUGCCUUCUUUAUAUUAGUUAAUCGAUCGAUUAAUCCUCCAAAUUACUAGAGCCUCGAUUUUUUGAACACAGUUUAUUUGCUUGCAGGGCGCUGCAACCGAACCAUGGAGGAUUAACUAGCAAACGAACGAUAUCUAACGAGAUUAAGACGCAAGCAAAUCACUUUAUAAUUAAUAAAUCAACUGCCACCAAUAGCUGAUAAAAAACCACUUCAUAAUCAGCUGCCGCCGAUAGCCGACAAAAUACUGCUUUAUAAUCAACUGCUAGUGAGAUUGCAUCAGCAGCUAAGGAAUGCGAUAAAACUGUGCUAUGUAGUAGCUAGGACGAUGAUAUUGCACGGGGAGCAAUCAUAAAGUGUGUGCCAUGGUGUACGUUUGACAAUAGCCUUUGAGGUGCUUGUGCACUUUUUUGGAGAGCUGGAAAGAAGGCUAUAUAUAUCAAGUUUUUUUUGUCGUAACGGUUCCUUGAUGUGCAUCUCCUACAUAUAUAACAAUGAUGAGAUAUUAAAGCACAAAAAUGUAUACUUUUAUUUGUGAUGGUGGAUAGAUAGUGCAAUAACCUGUUGGUUACAAUUUUUAGAAUAUGUAAUUGUGGGAAUACGUAAUAGAGUGAACUAGAUAGUACUUAUCUUUUCUAGAUACAUAGACAGCUUUUAAAUUACUACACAUGAUCGAGAUUAAGGAGGGCUUCUCACAUGGCUCUACUUCUUCUACAUCGGAUCAAGCCAACUUAAGCUUCGUUCGGUUUUACGGGAAUGAUUCCCAGCCACAGACUUCAUUUGCAAUUUUGAACUAGUCGAGAACUAUACUGUUCCACGCCGUUCCCAGCUCAUUCCGACGUAACCGAACAGGGCCUUAAGGGGCAGAAAAUAAAUUUAUUUAUUUAUAUCUAUAUCUAUAUCUAUAUUUAUAUUUAUAUCUAUAUCUAUAUUUAUAUCUAUAUCUAUAUCUAUAUUUAUACUGAAGCUUAAGCUUGCGUGCACGUAGUUGACUGCAUGUCCCUUGCAGAACACUAUGCAUGCGUGUGUAUAUAUGGAGAACUUAUUUGUUUGUAAGAAGAGAAAAAAAAACAUUGGCAGCAGUCGCUUAUUUUUGGGGUUAAUUAACAUUGGAUCAUAUUAUAAGUUAUUCCAAAUCGUCGCUUAUUAAACAUUUUUUAUUAAGCAUCGUCGCUUAUUUAGUUCAAGUGAGGAAACAAAAAUUACAUUAUUCCUUCAAAAAAUAAAAAUAAAAAUAAUAUAUAUAAAUACUUUCUGUGACCAGUGUGACCACAAACUAUAUAUAGCAACAAAAAAGUUGUGACAUCAAUACGCAUGCAGAAGCUGUUGUUAACGUUACUCUAUCCCUAAGCUUUCUCAGGAAGACCGAAUGAAAACUCUUACUAGGUACACACACACGCCCUGCUAUUUUCUGAUGAAAGGGCUGCUGGGGGAACCAGAGCGGUGGUUUCGUAUAAAAACAAGGGUUCAGUUGCACCGCUUUCGCCUGAUAACACCACUUCAUUAUUUGGACGACGGUGCACACAAUACCAUUAAAAGCUUGCUACGCCUGCGAAACAUGAAAUCAGUGAAGAUGAUGAUAUAUCCAGAACUUGGAAUCAAUAUAAUGAUCAUGCAUAUAUCCAAGGACCUUUUUGUUUUAGCUUUGGAAAUGAUUCAUUCAUGAUCGCUCAAAUUAAUAGCUGCUAGGGUAAAACCAUUUGAUUUCUUCCAACAAUCCAAUACAUGGAGGUGACUAGCUAGGAUGGGAGUGCAAAAUUAACUAAUUUAUCUUUCAAUAAUCCGUCCCAAUAUAUGCAUAUGGAUUAGAGGCAAUUAUUAUGUAUGUUUCCUAAUAAGUCUAGCUAGGUCUCUCUCUCUCUUAAAGUUUCCUCUAGCAGGGAAAACAAUUUUUUCUUCACUGAUCCGUAUGAUAUAUAGGAUCAAGAACCCAAUUCUGUGCACGAUAAUAUUUUGCAGUUAAAGCUUAGGGCAUCAGAUAAUCCUUUCCAUCAUCCACAUGAUUAUAUAGGGAGAUUUUUGCUGAUCCAUGAGUUGCAACUUGAGUGCCAUAGAUACACACCGGCCAACUUGGUUACUGCAUAUUGGUUUCGGCUUAUAAUCGGGGUCUGCGGUCGUCCCACUGUUAGAAUCGAAAUAAUCCCAUCAAACACUUUUCAUAAAUUGUUAAUACUUUUCACCGUAUGAGACACAUUCACUAUGAGAGAAUGAACCAGGACGAGUUAUGUUUUCCGUGCCACGACCAGCACCACGGUUAGGCCGGCCAUGCAUGGUACCAUUACCGCACCGCGCGGCCCAUCCCACUACGGUCCCAAACACGUCUGUGCCACGUGGCGGUCGUAGGCCACGGUACCGUUACUACUGUACCAUGCGGCCCGUCCCACGAUGGUUCCAAACACACAAAUAAUAAAUCGCUCUCGCCAUCUUCACAGAUGAAUGCUUCUCUUUUGCAGCUGCUAGCAGAGAUCAGAUCUGCAGCCCCUGCAGAUCGCUCAUGGAGAUACAUGACGGAAUCUGAAUUUUUAGCUAGAACAAGAUCUUGGUAGAACGAACUAAAAGGGUCUCAAAUUAAAGCUGCAUUGGCAUGUUCGGUGAAUCCUCGAUCAGCUCGAGGAAUCUACACAGUCCUUCUCUAUAGCUCGCAUGAUCUAAAGAAGAUCGAAACACCACAAACAUAUAUGUAUUAUUAUUCAUAACAGCUUGCGUUCUUUUGUUAAGCGAUCGAUCGAGCUUACAUGCAUACACUCAUAUACCUCCAAACUAAUAGAGCCCCGACUUAACACAGUUUAUUUGCCUGGCUGCAACCGAACCAUGGAGGAUUAACACUAGCAAACGAACGAUAUCUAUCUAGAUUAAGACGCAAGCACGCCGCCGUCGGCGAUCGACCGGCGGAAGGAGCCCUAUAGCUGCUCCUCCUACUCCUCCUUCUCUUUCUCGUUCCCCUCCUGAUCCUCCGGCUGCUGCUCCGGUGAUGGCGGCACGGCUGGCUCGUUCAGAUCGAAGGGCAUGACGACUUGCUGCGCCGGCCUGUCCUGGUGCUGCUUGGAGAGCCAGUAGCAGCCGAGCCUGCCGCUGUGGCUGGCGCGGUGGCCGCCGAGCGCCUGGCGCGUCUCGAACUGGCCCCCGCAGCGCUCGCACGCGUAGCGCAGCUGUCUCCCGUCAGCGGUCACGGCAACCACCGGCAGCUCGGCCGGCGGCGCCAUGCCGCGCCAGGCGCGCUCCGGGUGGCUGCGCUGGUGCCCGUGCACGGCCUUGCGGCAGUCGAAGCGGCGGUCGCAGACGGGGCAAGGGUGAGGCCCGUCCCCGGACUCGUUCUUGCUGCGGUUGCGGGACGCCGCUUUCUUCUUGCGCUGCUGCGCCGCCGCCGGGACGGCGUCCGCCUCGUGUGACGACAUGGGACGCCACGGACGUUUCGGGUCCUCGCCGCCGCCGCCGCCGGGUGGCGCGCCCACGCCACCGGCCAGGUACUGCCCGUACACCAUGCCCAUGAAGAACACCUGAGCUUCGUUCAUAGCACUCCUGCUCUACAGGCUAAGCUCCGCCUGUGUCAGCCGUUGCUCGUGCAACGGGAGACACACAGAGGGUACAGACUGCUUGCUGGGUUGUGAGGGGCACUGGAACUCUUGGCAGGUGGGCCCUAUAUAUAGACCUCUAUGUGCCGUGGAUCCUACUUCUCGGUCGGCGCGUCCUUUCGUCCCACCUUCCUCUUUUAUUUUUUAUAUAUACUUUAUUAUCUAUUAUUUUUUUCUCUAUAUCUUUUCUAUUUACCAUGUGUUUCGAUAACUUUGUAGACGAGCCAUUAGCAUCUAUAACACCUUAUUAGUAAAUUUAUUUGCAUUUAUAGUUACCUUAAUUAAUGAGUAUGUGAUCCUCUUAUAUAUAUGAUUGUCUAUACGAUCCAUAUAUAUAUAUAUAUAUAUAUAUAUAUAUAUAUUGUAUAAUUACUUUUUUACUAGUGGUUUGCAUUGAGUCAAUGUUUUUUUGUUUAGGAUGGGUGAACCAUACACAAUAAAGAUACUUUAAGAGCUUCUCUGAGAGUUCCUAAUAAAGACUCCCAAUCUAGAAUUUUUUUUGUAAGAAUAAAAAAACCCAUCUUUAGGUGUUCCCAAUCCCACCUCUCAAUCUUUUGACACGUAGAAAAAAUGUCUAAAAACACGGAUACUUGUGCGCGUGCAAGACGCGCGUAUCAGUGUCCCAAUCUAAGGUAGAAGGGUGUGAGAAAGAAUAAAGAACAGAAAAGAGUUUCUGAUGUAAAUGUAUAAGAGAGAAAUAAUAUCUAAAAGUGGUUAGGAUAAUUUAGAAAUAAUAUAUGAUUCCUGAUAUAAAAUUAUCUUCUAUAUUUUAGGAGUGAAUUAUUGAAAACUAUUGGAGAUGGUCUUAUUUAUUUCUUCUAAUAAUUUUUGGCAAGUUUGAAAACUCUUUGGUUUUAGGAAAAAAAUUGUUGGAAACUCUUAGAGAUGCUCUGAGAAAGAAAAAAAGCUAACCACACUAAAAAUCUAUCAAUGUCAAUCACUAUAGCUUAAGUUUGUGCAUGUAGUUAGCCCUAUGGUCCCUUGCGCACCUAAGGUCAGUCUCAAUGCAUAUUUUAUAAGAGUGUCAUGCACAUUAAACAGGGUGCCACAUAAGCAAAAUUGUUGACUUGACAGGGUUAUUAAAUGAAGUAGUUUCAUCACAUAAGAGAGGAGUUUCAUCCCCAUGGAACUCAUGUGGAUCGGUUACCUAGUUUAUAGUCUUGGUAACUGUGGUAUGAAACUAUGCAUUGAGAUUGGCCUAAUAUCACACUCCCAGAGCUAGAGUUGCCUCAAACAAAAAGUUAAAGAAAUAGAAAUUAAAGAUAAGAAGAAGCUAAAACCUAAUAUAAGAAGAUGAAAUCAUACCUAAUGGCGCCUAAUAGACCUUGAGCACCAUCUAUAGAUCCGUAUAAUAUUCAGGAGACCUUUAGAUCACGAAUGCAUGCAUAGCGCGUUGACAAGCUGUUUGGUGGAGCGCUUGCCGCCUGUGUUCGAGCACUGCUCAACACAAAUUCGUAGCGGGUUUUUCUCCAGUUUUCUUUGUAGAUUCAAGUGCAAAUGCCCCACAAUGGUCAAGGUAUCAUUCCCGUUAGGCUUGGAGUCUAAUGAUCUUCAAGUACGAUUAUAUUUAUCCUGGUUCAGGCUUUUGAGCUAUACGUCCACCAGAAUGGUGUUCUUCAUGUUAGGAAUGCCCUACAUCUAGCAGUAUGAUUUAUCUUAAAGGGUCGUCCUAUUUGCGUGCUCUACCGAAUUGUUGGACUUGGGGUGAUAGACAGGUGCCCAAUAUGCCUGGAUCUGGAUGUGCUAGGUGUCACAUAAGUCAAGGAACUUGUGCCCUAUGAACUGGGUGCCACUUUUAGUGAUAAUGAAAUUAAGGACCCCAAACAUAUGGAUGAUGUCUAGGACAAACUUACCGUGCGCUUGGAGUUGAGAGUAUGAUGGGUCAUACCUUGACCCACUUGGUAAACUUGUCGACGGUGACCAAGAGGUGAUCAAUGCCCCUGAGAUCCUACUUGAAUUUGGCAACCAUGUCGAGGCACCGAACCACAAAGGGUCAGGUGAUUGGGAUAGUGUGGAGUACCAAUGUUGGGAGGUUGGUCUAUUAGGUGGAAAACUAGGACCCUUAGUGCGUCUUUAAGAGGUCUUUGGCGUCAAUGAGGGCCAUCGGCUAGUCAAAACCAUGCCAGAACACCAUGCUGACUAAAGCCCUCGAAGAAGCAUGGUGCCCAUAGAUAUCAGUGUGGAUGCCAUAGAGUAGAGCCUUCCCCUUGCUAGCAGGGACACACUUGAGGAGGACCCCCAAGGUGCUCUGUGUGUGUAGUUGCCCCUCCAUGAUUUGUAGCUUUUUGCCCAACAAACUAGGCAUCAGGCCUUGGUGGGAUCCUUCAAGAGGAUCCCUUGGUUGAGGUAGUUGAGGAAGGGACAAUCCAAACACAUUCACCUUUCGCUCCAAUAUCCUAGGUCAGACAAGCCAUCUUCAUGGUCAUGCAUUCCGUCCUCAGGCCUACCCACCACUCAGUCGUUCAUCUUAUCUAUGGUGUUGGCUAGUGUCUAUCUAGGUUCAACUCCCUCUUCAAGUCAAGGGGUUGCCGGGAGCACCCGGGGAGGCAUUAGAAGAACAAUGGCUUCUAGUGGUGACCAUCAAUACCUUGACCUUUGGGCUUGGUUACACAUUUGCUUGGCCAACGAGGGCAUUUGGGGCCUGUUUGCUGUUUGGUUGACGAGGCUAUCCAUGAUGCUAGUAGGCACAUGGUUAGGCUUAGCCUUCCCUUUGAGUCAGAUCGAGGGGUUGACGAGGACAUGUAGAAAGAAGCUAGGCGGAGGUCUACCUUAGGUGGAUGUCAACUUUCUCCUUCCCCUUUGUCGCAUUGAACUAUGUGAUGGAGUUUGAUUCCAUUGAACUUACCUUCCAUCUUAUGGACCUCCCUAUAGUAAGCCUCUAUGUUCUCAUCCUGGUAGGAUGACUCAUUCAUGGCCUGGUUGAUUAUCAUUAGCAUAGAAUCUCCUAGGACAUAGAGGUAGCAUGCCCUAAGAGCAGUUGUUGCAUGUACUGACAUUGUUAGUAGCUCAAAAUGAAGCUAAAGGGCAUACCUUAGCUUGUUAGCGCUUGAGGAUAUGAGCAAUACCCUAGUCCCUGCACCUCCAAGCAUGAGGGAGUUGUCGAAAUCCAUGGUCCAAUAUCCCUGCUUGAAAGGGAUGGGCAGGGUCUGCUCCUUUGUCUAUUUCACGAGGAAGUUGGCGAGGACCUAGGACUUGAUGGCGGUGCAAGGGACAUAGCAUCUGUUAAGGCCCAUAAGCUCCAAUCACUACUUAGCGAUUCACCCAAAGGAUUUGCUAUUAUUGAUGACAUAUCCGAAGGUGCUAGAGGAAACCACCAUGAUGAUGGGGUGACUAUUGAAAUAGUGGCACUACUUGAGCUUACUAAUGGGCACAACGUAAAGAAGCUUUCUAGACUUGUGGGUAGUGGGUCUUUGAGUAAAAAAGAACAUCACUAAUGGAGUAUACAGGUCUUUGGACCUUGAGGGCAUGCGCCUUCCUUCUCAUGCUUGGCCACCGGGGAUGUGCUUACGGCACACGCACCAACCGUGAUGUACAGAAGCAAGUCUCCCAUAUAGUUGUCAUGCGAGGUGGUUAGGAAGUUGUUUAGCCAGUCAACAAACUAUUGAGCUUCUUCCUUCCACUCGAAUUGCUUAGAUUUCUUCAAGAGUGUAAUGUCUCGCCUCCACGAGGCCGGGCUUCUUCCUUCCACUUGAAUUUCUUAGACUUCUUCAACUUUGUAACGUCAUGUGUCCACUCUUAGACCUCUUCAAGAGUGUAACGUCCCGUCUCCACGAGACCGGACCUGCUUACAUUUAGUAGCUUUUCUAGAACAUAGACUACCCUCACAGACCAAUACUAGACUUUUCUGCACAUGUUGUCCUUACUCGUGUCCAGACCCGCUUACAUCUGGUAGCUUUUCUAGAACAUAGACUACCCUCACAGACCAACACUAGACUUUUCUACAUAUGUUGUCCUUACUCGUGCACACCUAGGAAGAACUUCCAGGUCGGUCACCCAGCCCAUAAUUUCUUUAGAUCAAGCAUGCUUAACUUUAGAGUUUUUUAGAGAUAGACUACGGGAAAAGAAGUUGCAACUUAUUGUUAUGGGUAUCCUAUUAAUCCUAUUAAGCCCUAGGCCAUGAUGUUACAUCCUUACUCCCUUAAGAGACUUACGUCCUCAUUGGUCAACCCCAAGUCAAGAACGUCCCCUCUUGGCCACGUCCGUGUGUCCAAUGCUAGUGCAUGUUUCAUGUUGUGUGACCACUUCGGGUCCACACCAACCAUGCAUACUAUGCCUACACAACUACAACGCACGUGCCCAUGAAACCGUGAGAGUUGACUCUAAUACCAUUCUAUAAUGUCCCGCCUACAUGAGGCUGGCCCCCGCCUCCACGAGGCUAGGUCCACUUACAUCUGGCAGCUUUUCUAAGAUAUAGACUGCCCUUACAAACCAACACUAGUCUUUUUUGUACACUUUGUCCUCACUCGUGCGCACUUUAGAAGAACUUCCUAGCCGGUCACUGUGGGGGUAUAAACCCCUAUACCCUUACAGCUAGACUUCCGCCAGGAGGCUUGGCCCAUUACGAGACGAGUUCAAGGCUUGAUCCGACAACCUGGAGUUUCGCGCAAGGAAACAAGAUGUGGAGAUUAAGCAGGAUUCUAGUCGGUUAGAAUAGGAAUUGAUAUCGAAUUAUCCAUGGCAAUUGUAACCGACUAGGAUUAGUUUCCAGAUCUGUAACCCUGCCCUCCAGACUAUAUAAGGAGGGGCAAGGGACCCCCCUAUCAUAUCAUAUUCUCUCAACACAAAUCAAUACAACCAGACGCAGGACGUAGGUAUUACGCCAACUCGGCGGCCGAACCUGGAUAAAAAGCUUGUCCGUGUCUUGCGUCACCAUCGAGUUCGUAGUUUGCGCACCGUCUACCGAUAAACUACUACCGUGGGUAUACCCCAAGGUAGACUGCCGACCAGCUUUCGUCGACAGUCACAGAUCCUAAAAGUUCUCUAGGCUAAGCAUGCUUAACUUUAAAGUUCUUUGAAGAUGGACUUUUGAAAAAGAAGUUGUAACUUAUUGAUAUGUGUAUCAUAUUAAUUCUAUUAAUUAAGCCCUGAGCUGAGAUGUUACAAAGAGCUUGUAGGAUGGCAUCCCACUUCAUCGAGGUGUGAGACCAUAUGACUAAGUGGUGCCAGCAGGCACCCUAUGAGCCUCUGGGCUCCUUUAAGGUUCCUGACUGGUUCAAUGUUAAUAACGGGAGAGAUUUUGUUGGGGUUGGCUUUGAUGCCUCGCUUGAACAUGAUGAAUCCGAGUAGUUUCCUAGGUGAGACCACAAAGAUGCACUGCUUCGGGUUGAGCUUGAUCCGGUUGGCUCAGAGGUUUGACAACCUGCGUGGAUUAUGCGAAUGAUUACCUCGCUCGCUCUGCUUUGACCGUGGCCAGGUACGCACAUAUGGCUCCCACACCUAGAAGGCACCACAUACGACUACAUCAUCUUUCGGCUCCUUCCACUACUACUUCAUCUUCGCUACGGACAGCAUUGAUAACAAGCCAACUAUGAAGCAUUUGGAGAUGUGAUUGUCCAACUGAUGGAGAUUCUAUGGGGCACCUGCCAAUCGAUGACAAAUUCUAGCUCAUGGCAUAUAUAUGGCUAUAGAAAUAGAAAUAUACUAGGCUACAAAAAUGAAUAAAAUCUGGCAAAACCUAGCUAAACCAGUUUUCUUGGGUCUGUACAUUUUUUGUACAUCAGUUAUAAGGGAAAGAACCCACAAGAAAUAUAGCCAACAAACAGAGAUAGGUUAGCCCUGCAUCUUUUCUCUGCUUGUUUUUUUUUUUUGAAGGAGUCGAAACUCUGCUUUUCUUGCAGCUAUUAAGGUCUUAUAUUACAGAUGAGCUGGGGAUACCAGGGACACAGUUCAGCAACAAUCCUCACAUGCACCCUAGCUAGAAGCAGGUUUAAUUAAACUCAUUCAGCCAAGCCUGCAGCGUCUUGGUUACUACCAUAUACCUGUUGGUGGUGCCACCAGAUUGGGAAAAGCUCGCCGUACGUCGAUGGGUCAGCGCGGCGCAUGUCCGCUGAUGUCGCUCCUAGCUAGCUAUAGGACACAUCACACACGUACUUGCUUUGGCUUGAGGCUCCAGUUGGGGACCGCGCUCCCUCGCCUGACUGAAUCCUCCUCGUGCUUCACGACGGGAUCUCUUAAGAGCAAGGCUAAUAAUACAGCCCAACUACUGGCUGUAAGGUUUCUUUAUAGCCUUCUUGCAGCCACUCAUAUAAUGGUUAGCUCAUCACUAUUAAUAUAUGGGUCUCUCUGUUCUUGUGUCUGAGCCGGCUGUAAGCUUACAGCCCGGCAGGCCGGCGUAGCUUUCGGACUCGGGAGGGACGGAGGGUCGUCGGAGGCCCUGGCUGCCGGGCAUACAUUUCAGCUUGAGUUCAGGAAGAAGUAACUACGCAUAUCAUAUUACACAGCGGUGAAAUUAAAGUAAACAGGAUCGGAAUUGACUGAAGCAGCAGGAGCAGGGUAUAGCAGGCAGGCACUCCAGGCAGCCGGCGGCGGCGGUGGCUACGGCCGGGGCCGGUAACUAGCUAGCUAGGCAUCAGGGGCCCCGCCCCCGCCUGGCCGCGCGGACGAUGGCGGCGGCCUGCGCCAGGGUGAACGUCUCGACGAGGAUGUGGUCGUAUCGAGGGUCCACGUGCAUCGUCAGGAAGACGUCGGAGCGGUAGCCGUGGUGCGCCUUCACGGACUGCUCCGACGCGAAGGCCAGCCUGCACCGCUCGCACGCGAACGUCAGGCGGCCCGGGCCUCUGACGGGCUCCAGGUCGGCCUCGUGCGCCGACUUGAUGAGGCGCCGCCCGGGGAACGCGGGAUCGUCGUCGUCCCCGUCGCUGCCGCCCGCGGCGGCCAUCGCCGCCGGCGGGUGGUGCGGAACGACCGGGCCGGCCACGCUCAUCGUCCUCGUGCGCCGAUCGUGGAGCUAGUGUCGGUCGGAUCGGAGCUGCUAGCUAGCUGCGUUUGUGGCGUGAGUGGUUGAGAACACGGCGGCCGGAGGAGGAGAUCGAGUUCCAGCGACCCGCGAGAUCCGAUCGAGGAGAAAUGGUUUUGGUUUUGGUUUUGGGAGCUAGCACACCGCCGGCCGGGAGGGGGGAGAUGAGCAGUGUGGCGUGGCGUGGCGUAUUUAACUUUAGAGCUAGCUUGUUGUAACCUAGCUAUGCGCGGUAUGCAGCCCACCACCGAGAAGAGUGUGACACUGGUCGUCGUCGAGUGGACACUGGUCGUUGGUCCCACACUUACGUCAGAUGACGUCACGCAUUUAAUUUUAAUUUGCAUUGUGCUGAUAAUAUAUCAAAACACACAGCGCAAGAAAUAGAUGAAGGAAAAGAAGAGAAGCAGGAUGUAAUGUGAAGGAGGCCUGAGAAAAAAAAAAGAUCUAAUCAACAACUAGCUAAUACCAUGCAUGGAAAUUAAAACCCCACUUUAUGAGUCUAUAUCUUGUUUUCCAAGUAGGUUGGGUAGCCACCGAACAAGUACACGAGUCUCCAAUUAUCCAUAUAUCCCGCAUACUAGUCGACAAAAUCAUACUUUUUGAGUAUAAAAAUGUCGCAUUUAGAAGUUUCGAAUAGGUGGCUAACACGUACCAUGACGACAAAGAAAACGGAAAUAGCCACAUUUAAUGAUUUUUGGAAUGACGUUUAGUGUCGCGACAAGUAUAUCAAAAUCCAUGACAUGAACAAUAUACUACUAAUCAAUUCUUCGACAACAAACCGACAAAAUCAUCGAUCAUUGAGUUGACUUGUUUCCUUCGUGUGAUAAACAACAAGCGCCAAAAAUCCCUACCCCAGCUGAUACUAAGACCGAUAUGUCCUAUCUUUAUGAAACAUACCUAAUCCUAAAAUAUGUAUUUUACUUCUUGAGUUUUCUUUGAAUUUGUUGUAUUUAGUUAAUACCUAGUUUAAUUUCAUAAUUUAUUCCAUUUAUUUACUUGCAUACAUAUUCUAUAUGAAUUAUCUAAAUUACUUUCAAUUUCAUUUGUGUUCCAACAUGUGGCUCGACACUUGAUUCACCACAUAGAGAGACAUCCCUUGGGUUCAAUAUAAAUUUUGAAUAAAUCAGUAAAACAACUAGGAAAGAAAUUAAGUUCUUAAUGUGGCCACUAUAUAUAUUUCUCGCUUACUAUAUUUCUUGAAAUGCCCCAAUUAACCAACUCGUACUAAUGCUUAAAGACUAACAGAUAUAUCAGUAGGAGAUACUUAUAGGACCUCAGAGUAUGUACAGUGUAGCACUGACAAACUGUGCAUAUAUGCUAAAAAAAAUAGAAUAACUACAUCAUAUCAUACUAAAAUGGAUGUACCCCUAUGGCCACCCUUGUGAUUUUUUUUGGGAGGGAGGAGGUUGGGGGGGGGGGGGGGGGGCAAUAUCGCAUUAUUUGUGAUAAUAGGACAUUUUAGGAGCAAUGAACUAAUGAGUUCACGACAGUUGUUUCUUAUGUUAUCACUUGCUUCCUGUGUGUGCGCGCAGUAGAAGAACACAAUAUAUGGGUUUAUAAUCCUAGCUAUUAUUAAAACCGAUCGAGAGAUCACAUCACCGAGCACAUCAUAAUUAAAACAUAUAUGGCAGGUUAAAUUUUUUUAGAUAUUAUUAAUUGAACGAAUCCUCGUCAUAUACUGAAGGUAAGCCAACAGCGGCAUCAGUUGUGGAUGCGAUAGUGGCCAUGAACAGCCUUCAAGGUGGGGAAGUGGCGGUGGCAGACUGGGCACCGGUAAGGCCUGUCCCGAUCCCGAAUAGGGUCGUUAAUCAUGUGCAGUGCUGGGCCGUCGUCGUUGGCAUCGUGCACCGCCUUGGGGUCCCAUGGGCGGCGGCUUGGGUCAUCGCCGGUGCACCCUAAUGCUGCCCCGCCGGCGAGUAAUUGGCCAUAGGCCAUGCAGAAGAGGAACACCUGCACUCCGUUCAUAUAUAUAGCUAGUAGGGCAAAAUGAGAGAUGGAGAGAGUGGACAGUUGGGACGAAGGAGUAGUGUAGGUUAUGAGAAGCACCGAGUAUGGGUAAAUGACUUAUAUAGCACUGUGUGUUUCAGGGUCAGAGCUUGCUAAUAGCCUAAAGCAAAAGUCUGAAGAUCAAGCUAAAACGCGUACGUACCGUAGCCAUGCAUAUUGUGCCUCUGGUAGCCAUAUUGUGUUUUGUUUUGAAUGGCAACAGGUCAAAAGAUGUGUAGUAGUAUAUAUAUGGUAUCUCGUACAAACUAGACACCUUAGUUCUUGACAUCAGUAUAUCCCCUAACAUCUAGCUUGUUGCUUUUUGGACUUCAAAUUAAAGCCAUAGCAGAAAUAUAUAUGUCUCUAUGCGCUCCAAGACUAAAAACUCAUACAACAUCUUAUCACGUUAAAUUAAAAGCUGCUGGAAACUCUGAUUUCUAUAGAAACAGUGGGCUUAGUUUGGAUUGACUCGUUGGCAAACACCAAUUUCUUUGGAACGUAAAUUUUCACAUGCAUGCAUAAGGAAGUAACUAAUCCAGCAGACUUGAGAAAUACACCAUAUCCUAGGCCUUGUUUACUUCCACCCAAAAACACAAAAUUUUUCAAGAUUCCUUGUCACAUCAAAUCUUUAGACGUAUGCAUGGAGUAUUAAAUAUAGACGAAAAUAAAAACUAAUUACACAGUUUGGACGAAAUUGACGAGACGAAUCUUUUGAGCCUAGUUAGUCUAUGGUUGGACAAUAAUUACCACAAACAAACGAAAGUGCUACAGUGUCACGAAAUUUUGUCGUUGAGGAACUAAACAAGGCCCUAGAAUAUAUAUACUUUCUCAGAUAUAGAUUAAGGGAGAGUGGUAUAUGACUUUAUUAUAUAUGUCCUUGCAUGCUCAAUAAGAUCUAUGUAUAGCAACGAUGGCACCAUGCUAAUUCAUGGAAAUUUUCAUGCUGCAUUUAUUGAUCCGUGGAGAUUUGCAUCCAUUAAUUCACCUAUUUAAUCAGGCUUUUGGAUUCAAACAUAUGUGUAAUCUGGGAUAAAUUCUAAACUCUCUAUUCAUUUCUAGGACAGAGUGAGUAAUUAAUUAGAUGAAAAUGAGCUUGAAAGCCUUUAAAUCAAUAAGUAUAUAAACAGGCAAGUCAGCUAAUCAUCUCAAAACAGGUGCAAUCAAGAGGUGUUGUAGUUAAAUAUCCAUUAGUAACACAUUUCUGAACAUCUCUUUCAAAUGCAACUAGGAAAACUCAAAAAAGUUAUUUAGAACAAGCCCUUGGAAACAUUGUAGAUUGGACCAUGAUUGUGUUGAUGCAUGAUUAAAUUAUAUUUUGUGUUAAUAUACUCUUUAGAUAUCUCUAUCUUUAUAUCCCUAUAUAUCUAUCUCUAUCUUUAGUCUUUAAUAUGUAAUCUCUAUAUCUAUAUCUCUAUCUUUGCUGGAACCUUGUUCCAUUAUUAAAAAAAUAUCUAUCUCUAUUUAUAAUUUCUAUCUCUGUCUCUAUCUCUAUAGCUAAAACAUGGCAUAUAGAUAUGUCUGUGCGAACUAUUUUUACAGUGGUGGCCCCGGAACGUCGCCCCGCUUGCCCCUACAUGGCCCUAAAUAUUUUUUUACCACCGACAAGGAUUCUAUCUUUUUCUGCUAAAAAAUAUUUUGUUUGUAGGAAAUUAUUACACUCGGUAUAAUAUCUAAAUCUCUAUCUCUAUCUUGAAUCUCUAUCUCUAUUGAAACCUUGUUCCAUUAUUAAGAAAAAAUCUCUAUCUGUACCUUUAUCUGUAUCUGUAUCUCUAUCUCUAUCUCUAUCUAUAUCUCUACAGCUAAAACGUGACAAAAGAUAGCAUCUGCACGAAAUGUUUUUGUGGUGGUGGCUCCAAUCUGUCGCCCCGCUCACCCCUAGGCAGCCCCUUCAGCAAAUCCAAUUGCCUCCUCCAACUUAGCUUCUCACCAACACUAAAGAUUCGACCACUGACAAGGAUUAUGUCUUUAUGUCUAGUAAAACAUAUUUUGUUUGUAGAAAAUUAUUACACUCGAUAUAAUCUUUAUAUCUCUAUCUUCAAUCUCUAAUCUCUAUCUCUGCUGCAACCUUAUUCCAUUAUUAAAAAAAUCUCUAUCUCUAUCUCUAUCUCUGUAGCUAAAAAGUGGUAGAAGAUAUCAUUUGCGCGAACUGUUUUUGUGGUAGUGACCCCAACCCGUAGCCCCACUCGCCCUUAUGUGGCCCCUUUGGCAAAUCACGUUGCCUCCUCCGACCUAGCUUCUCACUAAUAAUGAAGAUUCGACCGUCGACAAGAUUCUGUCUUUCUUUAUGUCUACUAAAACAUAUCUUGUUUGUGAGAAAUUAUUUUAAUUUGUGCAUGUCUUUCUUUAUGUCUACUAAAGCAUGUUUUGUUUGUGAGAAAUUAUUUUAAUUCAUGCUCAUUGAGUUUUAUCGAAUACAUAUCUUAAGAAUGCGAUGACACAUAAGCAUCCAAACAUUAUUUCUAUUGCUGAUUGGCCCUAGCAUGGUCAACUGAUUGCCUUCCAAGCCAUGAUGGUAUCGAUCUUUGUGUGACAAAUUGCCCCAUAUGUGCUCUACAUCUUGGUGGUGGCCAUGUUUCCCAAAACCGUUUAAUUUAUGUUAUUCAGUAUGUCUGCUGUCAUUCUAUGGAUCUCUAGCCGAUACACACUUGAGACAACAUAAAUCUGGUAGUUUAGUGGGUGUCCCUGAGGGAUUGUAAUACCCGAUUUUAAGGACAAAACCAGAUAUGCACCAUAUGUGAGUCUUAGAAGUCAAAUCUCAUAUAUAGCUACAACUACAAAUAAGGGGUAAUAUCAAAAGACAAUGCAUAAAUAUAUAACGUACUUAGUAUAAAAGAGAUAACCUUUGAUAGCAACAGCGGAUAAACAACUCCAAACUUCGGGUAUUAACUUCUCUCUACAGGAUCCAACUGACUGGUUGAUCACAAGCCUAAACUUCUCCUGAGGUUUGGGGGAGAUAGCAAGAGUGAGUCAAUGUCGAACUCCACAAGUAUAGCAACUAGAUUGUAUAGCUUCCACAAUCUCAUGAUCAAUGUGACAUAAAUAAUGUAGAGCAUUAAACAAUAAAUAAUGAACGUAUUAACACACAAAAAUCAUCACCCUUAAUGUAGAUGUCCCCAAGGCCGCUCAUGACCGUGAGCUCGGCUAGUAUACUAGUUUUAACACUCUGCAGAGGUUGUACAUCUUUACCCAUGAGUCAUGUUUUACCCUUUCGCCCGAGGUCGCGAGUCUCUUAACCCAAUUCCUAGGGAGGCCGGCAGGGAUCACUAUGAAGCCUUUCAAAAGUUCGUCUAACAUGUUAGGGCCGCAAGGUUUUCUUAGCGAGCAGAUAUAGAUACCCCCUUCCGAAUGGCACAUUGACGCGCAGCCUAUACACAUAAGGACAGAGGCUCGCACUAUACCCGUGUCGGUUAAGCCCCUCUAGCGCCCUUUCGGGUAACCUCUAACAAGCUAGAAAAGGUCUUCAUACUAAGCUAAAGCCAGAGCCAUUAUAGCCCUCAUGGUUGCACUGUUGUCCCGGUUAUCACUUACAGAUAAAUCAUCAAGUGGCUAAAAAGUCAUUUUUAUCGUUUAUUACUUAACAUUAAUCUAGUCACAGGAUCAUGAUCACAGAAAUAAAAUCCAAAUGCUAUACUUGCCUUAAUCCAAUUGCUCUUGCUGAUCCUUUUGGUUCUGCUAGUCUUUACUUGUUAUCCAAGCUCUGAUCUUGAUCACGGAAGUACUCUUGUUCACCACGAAUUUCUCACCGUCUAAAUCCGAUCAUCGAUCAUCAACACACAAACAAUCGGAGACAACAAACACGAAGCAAACAAAGCUACAAUUAGAAUAGUACACCAAUCAUAUAAAAACAGUAUGAAAAGUUUAUAAAACAAUUCUACGCAUCGCUACAAUCUCACAGACGUAAAGAUCACGAAAAUCAGAGCUAAAACGGAGAAGAUAUGAAUUUUCUAAGAUUUUAUGAAAAAAAGAAAUUAAUUAAUUAAGGUCACGAAAUUAAAAAUUUUCAAACUGGUGAAUUAAGUUUACUAACAUGUAGAGCUCAUUAAUACGAAUCCAACGCAAUUUGAACGGGUCAAAACAGAAUUAAAAUGAAUAUUGUAUAAGCAAUUUAAAUCUGAUGGCAAAAUUGUAAAUACUUUUUCUCCUAAGCCGAUCCAGAAUACGUCUUUAGAAUUUGAAAACGUAAACGGGGAAUACGUAAAGGACCGCGGGUUAUAUUAUGAAAAAGAGCAGGGGCUCUUUAGCAAGAUUCGCAGUCGAAGGGGUACGGGCUAAUCGUAGCCGUUGGAUCGCGUUUCAAAGGCCCUGAAUAGAUCCUAGAGAGAGAGAGGGUCGCCGGCCGGAAUAGGGCAGGCGUGGCAGCGCCAUGGCCGGAGACUCGCCGGAGUUCGGCAUUUGAGCGAUUCCGGGCACUAAUCGACGCGCCGAGAGCAUGGGGAGAUAGCGGGGGUCAACGCGAGCUUACCAAGAGAACUUCGAAGGCUCGGGGAAGACUUGGAGGUAGUCGGCCACGCAAUCCAGCGGACAACGGGGCCCUGCACAUGUGAGGAAUCUUGCCUACGAGCCUGUCUCGGUCGUAUAAGGCUCAGUUCAUUGGAUGGGUUUUUCUUGUGAAAUGUAUGUGCCAAAAAGGUAAAGCUUUCAUGAGUGUCUCUAUCACUACUGGAAACUCGAAUACUCAUAUGUGUGACCAGUUUUUCUAUGUGUUUUUUGAUACACGUAGAAAAAAUAUAGAGCCUAUAAACCUACAGCAUGAAAACAGACAUAAAGGUUGAUGUUAUCUCAAAAGCACAUCCUAACGUGGAUGCACAUGGCGGCAUAGGGCAGCGCAGGGAAGUACCUUGUCUUUUUUUGUCGAUUGGCACUGGGUUAAUAGUGAUAGAUGUAGCUUUGCUCACAUGUAUAGAACAUAUCAAUACUUCUCAUCCUUUAGUACUUGUUGUUCUUCUACUACACAUGCCAUCAUGUGAAAUUUUAAACUAGGCAAACAUUACUGUAUGUUACUUACAAUAUUAUAAGAUUUGUUGUGUUGUAAUGCGACUACAGUAUAUUGUGAUGUGUAAUGAAAUCAUUAUAAGGAUAAUAUAUAUUUAAUAUGACAUUGCUACUGUUUAAAAAUAAUUUUUUGUGCAUUUAUUUCUUUUUUUCUAUGAGUUCAGCUAAACCAACGAAAAAUGUAUUCUGUGCAUGUAACACUGACAAAAAACUAUUUUUGACGAGGAACCGACAAAAAGCACAAUUUUCUGUCAUUCUAUUUCCAUGGGUUAUUUUCUAUUGGUACAUGAUUAGAAAAAUAUUUUUCUAUCGGAAUUCAUACUUUUUUUUUAGUUUUUACACACAUGAGUAUUCGAGUUUUCAGUAGUGUAUUGAUGUGAGGCCUUGAUUCAAACCCCGCUAGCUGAACCUAGCAGGAUCUUUGCAUACACCCAGGUCUGGGUGGCAUGGUUGACAGCCUGUUUGAUUUAUUUGCAUUGUAUGCACUAAUUUCUCGGGGUGAUGUCCAUGUAGCGGACGGUUUAGUGGCCACCCUUUUGCCCCUCCAUGAUUUUUAAGGAAGAAGGAAGAAGAAGAAAGAGAAGGAAGGGAGAGCAUAUAUAGGAAGAAGAAGAAAGGGAAGGAAGGAAGAGGAAGACCAAGAGAAAGAGGAAGAAGAAGGAGCCCGUGCUAGGUUCAUGUGCUGCAUCCGCCAUUGGCACAAAGAAAACACGUUUUUCUUUGUAUGUUAGUUGUCCAAGAACAAGCAGCGCUGUUGUUGACUAGAUAUAAUAACCUAGUGAAACGAAGAAGAGGAUAAGACGCCAGCUUCCUGCUUAGGCCCUUUUUGGUUCCACCCCAACUGAAACUACAUUCAGUUAGAUAAUUGCCAAAACUAUUCUGUGUAGCCAGCUAUAGAUAAAAGAGAAUGGAGAUUGCACUAAAGGAAUAUCGCACUAAUUUUUGGCCUGCAGCUAAACAUGUUAGGAUCCUUAUAUAUUUUGUUCUAAAUUCUGAAAAACAACUUGAGAAACACACUUCCUUUCUUUUUUACCAUAUAAACAUAUUAGUAUUCGCAGUUUAUAUUCAUCUUCCUUUCAUGUCGUGUGUAUAUAUAACUGAUGACGAGCAAGCAGUACCCCGUUACCAUGAAUUCUUACAUUAAUAACCAUGCAUUAUAUUACCAGCUAAGCUACCUGACACAAGAAAACAAAUGGUCCUCCAAUCCCAAAAAAUUAAAGGUUGUUAGCAUCGUGCUAUCAAGGUUCCCGUGAAUAUAAUGCAGCUAUAUACUUUGUCUGUUCGAAAUUAUAAGUCAAUCUAAUAACAUUCCUAAAAAAUCAAAGUAUCAGAAAUUUGACCAAAAUUUUUGAAAGAAUUACUAAGAUUUAUAACAUCAAAUGGAUAUACUAUCAAAAUAGAAUUAAUAGAAAAAAAAUCUAAUGAUACUUAUUUAGUAUCAAAAAACACUAUUAUUUUAUUGCAUAAAUUUGGUCAUACUUGAAAUAUAGUGACUCUUUAAGAAAGUUAGAAUGAUUUAUAAUUUGGGAUUGAAGAAGAAUAGAAUGAGAGCCGACAGCAGUUUUCAUUGAUCAUCUCAGUACAUAUACAUGUUACAACACGUUGCUCUUUGGCAACCGCAAGUGUACAUCGUGGAACAAGUCUCACGUCGUGGCCGCGUCCGUCGCCUGGACGUUGGCAUGUAGCGUGUAUCACGCUAUACCAUAACCCCCCCCCCCCCCCCCCCCCGCAGUUUGAAGAGUGGCGCCGAUGAGGAGAUUCACCCCCCCGUGGUGGAAUGGUUCAUGGGCGCGACACAAAUACUGGAGCGGAAGUGUUCGAACUGAGCUGUCGGAAGUCCCUUUGUCAUGACGUCCGCGAACUGUUCGCCUGUCGGAACGUGCAGCACUCGGAGCUCACCGAGCUGAACAUGUUCGCGAACAAAGUGGAUGUCCAGCUCGAUAUGCUUGGUUCGCUUGUGGUGCACCGGGUUCGAUGACAUGUAGACGGCGGAGACAUUGUCACAGAACACCACCGUCGCCUUCUGGACAUCGCAGCCGAGUUCGCCGAGGAGCUGUCGUAACCAGAUGCAUUCGGCUGCAGCAUUUGCCACGGCGCGGUAUUCGGCCUCAGCGCUGGAACGGGACACGGUUCCUGCCUCUUGGAGGACCAUGAGAUGAGGGAGUCGCCCAAGUAGAUGCAGAACCCGGACGUGGAGCGCCUGGUGUCUGGACAGCCACCCCAGUCUGCGUCGGAGUACGCCGUGACGUUGAGGUCGGACGACGCUCGGAGAAGGAGACCAUGCGACGUUGUCCCGCGAACAUAUCGUAGAAUGCGCUUCAGGAGCGCCAUGUGAGGUGCGCGGGGGUCGUGCAUAUGUAGGCACACCUGUUGCACGGCGAAGGCGACGUCGGGCCGCGUCACCGUCAAGUAUUGAAGCGCACCAGCGAGGCUUCGGUAGUGGUGAGCAUCAUCCACGGCGGGUCCAUCCGUGGACAGCUUCCCUUUGGCAUCCACAGGCGUGCUUGCCGGCUUGCAGUUCGUCAUGCCAGCACGUUCGAGGAUGUCCUCGGCGUACCGAUCUUGGGUGAGGUAGAAGCCUGCAGCCGUGCGCUUGACGUCGACGCCGAGGAAGAAGUUGAGGGUGCCCAUGUCGCGAAUUCUGUUUGAAGAAGUUGGACGAUGUGUUGGAGAAGAGCCUCACCGGAUCCAGUGAGAACUAUGUCAUCGACGUAGAGUAGUAGAUAUGCGGUGGAGCCACCAUUCCGAAGCACGAAGAGGGAUGUGUCGGACCUGGUAGCACGGAAGCCAAGUUUGACAGCAUACUGGGCAAACCGUGUGUACCAUGCGCGCGGCGCUUGACGCAAGCCAUAGAGAGAUUUGUCGAGAAGGCAGACAGCAUCAGGACGGUCAGCAUCGAUGAAUCCAGGUGGCUGCUGACAGAGAACAUGUUCGUGUAGAUGUCCAUGGAGGAAAGCAUUGGAGACAUCAAGUUGUUUGGUUGGCCAUUGGCGAGAAGCAGCAAUGGUCAGAACAGUCCUGAUUGUCGCAGGUUUGACAACUAGUGAGAAUGUCUCUCCAAAGUCAACUCCGGCGCGUUGAGUGAAUCCACGGACCACCCAUCGAGCUUUGUAACGUUCCAGUGUUCCAUCAGGUUUCAGUUUGUGUUUGAAAAUCCAUUUGCCCGUGACAAUGUUUGCACCGGACGGACGAUCAACGAGACACCAGGUGCGAUUGCGCUGUAGUGCGUCGUGCUCGGCGGCCAUGGCAGCGCACCAAUUGGGAUCUUGGAGAGCAGCACGAACAGAUUUGGGAAUUGGUGAGAUGGAUGUUUGAGUGCUGGUUAAGGCAUAUCUGGGAUUGGGUUUGACAACUCCAGCCUGAAGUCGGGUGACCAUUGGGUGUCUGACGGGUGCUGGAGAAGAGAUGGGUGGGGAUGCAGGAGGUGUGUGUUGGACAGGUGGAGAUGUGGUCUGUGUUGUGGUUGGAGAGGUGGAGGUCUGGGUAGUUGGUGAUGAGUUUUCCAGUGGGAUAAUGUUGGUGGGUCAUGGGGAGACCUGAGUUGGAUGUGGUGCUGCUGUUUUCUGAAGAAGGAUUGGAGCAUCACACGGUGUAGUGUCAGGAUGGUCUAUUGUCGGAUUUUCGUCAGUGGGGGAAUUCUAAAAUGGGAAUCUGGUUUCGUCAAACACAACAUGUCGUGAUGUGAUGACUCGGCAUGUUUGAAGAUCGAGACACCGAUAACCACGAUGAUUAGAGGGAUACCCAAGAAGAACACAUGGCGUGGUGCGAGCACUGAGUUUGUGUUCCAUUGUGGACGCUUGGUUGGGAAAACAUAGACAGCCAAAAACACGAAGAUGAGCAUAAGAUGGGGCGACGCCGAACAAGAGUUCGAAGGGCGUUUUGGGUCCACUAGCUUGACAGGGGCGUAGAUUGAUCAGAUUCGUGGCCAUGGAUAGCGCCUCGACCCAGAAUUCAGUUGGCAUGCUGGCGUGGAUAAGCAAGCUACGAAUGCAGUCAUUUAGUGUGCGAAGAAUUCGUUCGGCCUUCCCAUUUUGGGAGGAAGUGUAGGGACAGGAAAGGCGUAGAACGAUGUCAUGUUGCUCACAGUGGUGUCGAAGAGUUUGGUUAUCAAAUUCCUUGCCAUUGUCUGUUUGAAUGGCUAGGAGAGGGAGUUGAAACUGUGUCUGAACAUAGGCACGAAAUGCAAGUAGGCAGGGUAGUACAUCAGAUUUUGCACGAAGGGGAAAUGUCCAUGUGUAAUGAGUAAAAUCAUCGAUUAUUACAAGAUAGUACUUGAACCCUGAAAAACUAAGUACCGGAGAUGUCCAGACAUAUGCGUGGACAAUUUGAAAGGGAAAAUAGCUAGCUGAAGUGGAAUGGGAAAAGGGAAGCCGAACAUGUUUGCCUAACUGACAGCUAUCACACACUGGAGGAACUUUGCUAGGAACAAAAUCAACAUGACGAAGGGUUUGAUGAAGAGCAUGGCGUCCUGGAUGUCCAAGGCGUUGGUGCCACAGAUGUGAUGUUGGUGCGGUGGUGACGAGCGCCGUGGCUGAUGGUGGGUGUAGGGGGUAGAGCUCGCCACGACUGUUACAUCGGAGGAGCACCGUUUGCGUUGGACGAUCCUUGAUAGAAAAACCGAAAGGGUCAAAUUCGACACUAACAUUGUUGUCUUGAGUAAGUUUGCGAACAGAGAUGAGAUUUUUGACUAGGGGAGGUGAAAUAAGAAUAUUGUUUAGUUUGAGAGGAGAGGAGGUAGCAGGGAUGAUUGAAGAUGCGUGGUGUGUGACUGGCAUCGUGGUGCCAUUGCCUACUAGAAUAGGAGAUGAGCUGAAGACAGGGUGGGAGGAGGAGAAUUUACCAGAAUUGGAAGCCAGAUGGGAGGAAGCGCCCGUGUCCAUGUACCAUUCGGCGGUUUGAGGUCCCGUCGAUGGUACGUUCGCCGUCAUCAGAGCGGCGAGGAGUGCUUGAUUGUUCCAUACAUCAGGUGUUGGAGUUGGUGGUGGAGGGUACGUGUUGGGGUCGCCGUUGCCGUGGAAGAAUGCCUGAUGUGGUGUCGUGCCGGGUCGAGGUCCGAGCACGCCGCCACCAGGCGGGCGGAACGGCAUCUGCCAGGCCUGGACCAUGCCCGUCUAGGGGUUUGCGCCAGGAGGUCCAUGAGGAGGCCGGUAGCCGAAUUGCUGUCCACCGAAUUGCUGAUGAGGAAAGCCGCGACCGCGGCCACGUCCACGCCCCCCUUUGUUGUCGUUGCGCGAGGUCGGUCCGCCAGUGUUGCCGGAGACAGGAGGGGGUGCAGGCGGGUUGUUGUUGGAGGAGGACCCGCCUUCGCCCGCAGUGGAUGACGACGAUCGGGAUCCCCCGGAUCCCCCGGCGGUGAGGAGAGCAUGCUGGGCUGAGGUCUUGGCGUGCUCUUUGUCGUAUUGUUCCUCCAGAAGAAGAUAGGACCUGGCGGAGAGGAAGGUGUGUGGCGGUUGGCGCGACGUGAUGGCCGGGAUGGCAUGGCGGUACCUGGAGCUGAGUCCGCGGAGCAUGGUGAGAACUUGACUGGUCUCCUUGACCGGUUGGCCGACGUCGCGGAGGGCAUCGGCGAGCUGCUUCAGGCGACCGGUGUACUGGGUGAUGUCCAUGUCCCCUUGAACGAGGUUGCGGUACUCAGCUUCCAGAUAGACGGCGCGAUGGAGUUCGUUGUCGCGGAAUUGAUCGUGGAUCUUCUGCCAGAUGCUGUAUGCCGUGGCUUUGGGGGCGCACACGAUGUUGCGCACGUCCUUGGAGAUGGAGAUGUAGAUCUAGCUAACGAUGCACUGAUCAAUGACGACCCAGUCCGGAUCGCGGCGUUGAUCGAUGGUUGGUGCCACGGACACAUGGGGAACAAGAUUGAAUUUGCCGAGAAAGGCGUCAAAGAAGCAACGCCAUUCAUCAUAGUUGGGAUUGGCAAGUUCAAGAACAACAGGAACAUGAGAUUUGAUGUUCACAGUUUGGAGAACUGCGACAGGAGGGGUGGGGGCAUCAGAACCGGCGCCGGCGGCGAAGGACAGGCCGGCAUCGGAAGAGGAGGAAGAGUUGUCGUCCUCGAUGUCAGCAUCGAAGAGGGGAUUGAGAUCCAUGGAAGAGGAUCAGGACGCAGCAAGGUGCAGCGGCGGCGCGGUUGGCGGUGAGGGCGCGGCGAGAGUGCGGCGAGGCGGAGGAUUUAGGCAAGGAGAGAAACCUGGACAGCUGAUACCAUGAAGAAGAAUAGAAUGAGAGCCAACAGCAGUUUUCAUUGAUCAUCUCAGUACAUAUACAUGUUACAACACGUUGCUCUUUGGCAACCGCAAGUGUACAUCGUGGAACAAGUCUCACGUCGUGGCCGCGUCCGUCGCCUGGACGUUGGCAUGCAACGUGUAUCACGCUAUACCAUAACAGGGAUGGAGAGAGUAAGUAAUAAGCAAUAAUGCAUGAUAAAUGGACUUUUUAUUUUGUGCAUAUGCAUGCAGAUCUCAUGUUUGAACAAACAAAUACAGUAGUCGAUAAUAUAUAUAUGAUUUUGAACAAGCCAACAAGCAGCUGGCACACGCCGCCACUUGACACGAUAGAUGUAGUAGUAAGUAGGAGCCACGUACAUACUACGGAAUUGACUGCCGACGAUCAACAGCUAGCUAGCUAGCUAGCACGGGACGUGUGUGUUCCAAAGCUGCUAGCUAGCUAGCAGGAAGAGGAGGGAUGCUCUGCUCAUUCCUGAAGAAGUCGUGAGGAUCCACCUUGCUCUUCACGGCCGCCAGCCUAUUGAAAUUGUCAUUGAAAUACUUCUCCCCCCAAACCCUAGCCUUGGCGUAGCUGGUGACGUUACCAUCCAGCUCGUUGGUCCCUAGGUCCAGGUCCCUGCAGUUCACGUACACAGCUCUUGGGUUCUUGGACACAUAUGGCGUCACAUCGUCAUGCGCUCCCCUCACCCAGCUCGUCAUCCGCUUCUCCAACUCCAGCGCCGCCGUCCUGUUGUUGUCGUCGUCGUCGUCGAACCAGACCGCGUAGAGCUGCAGCUGGUAGAGGUAGUUCCGGUGCGGGAACGGCGUCGCCGACGGCGAGAUGCUGCCCAUCCGGCCGCCGUAGGGGUCGAGCUGGAGCAGGGACGUCGACGCCUCGGGCUUCUCGAGCCAGUUUGACCAUAUGCUCUCCCACGCGUGCCUUGGCAUGGCCUCCUGCACGUAGUCGGACUUCACCUUGAGGUGGUAGUAUGGGUUGCUGCUUCUGUUCAGGAGCACCUCCGGCGGCAAGUCCGCCGUGCCGUAGAAGAAGAAGACGGUGGAUUUCACCCAGCUCAUCUCCUGGCAGUCCUGUUCCGCCAUUCCUAGGUCCGGGAAGUGACCUCGCAUGGUGUCCACGAGGCUGCUGCACCGGCCGAGGAACUGGGCGACGAAGUCCGCCUGCUGGUUCUGCACCAUCACGCGGAGGUACAGGUCUCUGGGGAGGGCCGGCGCGAUCGCCUGCCAUUUGGUUAUGAGGUCGACGGCGGACUCGUUCCUCCGCCGGCGGAUGCUGAACACGGUGACGGUCUCCGUCACCGGCACCAACCGCACCUUCCAGGACAACACGACGCCGAAGCUCUCGCCGCCGCCGCCUCGGAUGGCCCAGAACAGGUCCUCCCCCAUGGUGCUCCUGUUCAGCAGCCUCCCCUCGGCGUCCACCACCACGGCGUCGAGGACGUUGUCGGCGGAGAGGCCGUAUUUGCGCGACAGCACGCCGAAUCCACCGCCGCUCAGGUGGCCGCCGAUGCCGACGGUGGGGCAGCUUCCAGCGGGGAAGCCGAGCGUGCGGUUGGUGGCGGCGGCGGCAUAGUAGAGCUCGCCGAUCGUGGCGCCUGACCCGACCCAGGCCUCGGCUCUCGAGGCGUCCAUGUCGAUAGCGCGGAGCGCAGCGAGGUCGAGCACAGCGAAAUCCCGCCGGUGGGGGUCGACGGAGGCGUAGGAGAGGCCCUCGUGGUCGUGGCCGCCGCUGCGCGUGCGGACGUGGACGCUAUGGCGGCGGCCACAGAGCACGGUGGUCUGGACAUGGGCGGGCUUGGUGGCCGCAACGAUCACGAGCGGCCUCGUGCAUGUGUCUGGCUCUGGCAGGGCGUAGCGGAGGUUCCGGGCAGAGGACAGAAGGACCGAGGAGUAGCUGUUGUUUGCUGGGGUGUAGAUGAGGGAAGGCGGAAUGUCCGCGGAGAGGCAGCCGAGGAAUGCAUCGACGACGACAUCGCUGGAAUAAGCUGAAGUUCUUGCGCUGGUGGAGAGGAUGCAAACAAGGGUUACGAGGAGGUGCAAGAUUGUUGUUGGUGUUCUUGCCAUCAUUGACGCCGGCGUAAUAUUAAUUAAGUGGCAACUGUGGAGGUGGCUUGGAGCCAAGGAGAUGUAGUAUUUAUAGGCUACAGUCGAUCGUACGUGUUGUUUGUGACCUUCAUUUGCGGCUCUCUUUGUUUUAUUAAAACAUACUCCCUCUGUCUUGAAAUAAAGUGCAUUCUGGUAUUUAAAAUGUAUCCCUAAAUAUAGUAUAUUCAUCAAAGAAUAAGAAGAUAAUAUCUACUUAAAUAAAGUUACGGAAGAAGAAAGUAAUUAAAUGUUUACUAAGUACUGUAGAUUAACUAUAGUAAUAAAACAUAUUCCCGUUGUGAAUAGGAUCAAAUUUCAAUAGAUUAGAAAGUUUAGUGAGGAUACAUGCGUCUAUUACCCUCUAUCUUAUUUUAUCUUAGGUUAGAAUAGCCACAACGGGAGGGAUUUCAGAUCCUCGAAUUUUAAACUAAUUUCAGGUCCUCAAAUUUUAAACUAAUUUUAAACCCUAGACAUCUUUCUCUAGGCGGUGAAGCCUAAAUAAUGAGCACUAGGCUCCGAUACCAAUUGAAAGGAUCAAGAUGCCCAAGAGGGGGGGGUGAAUUGGGCUUCUCUAAAAAUUUAAGCAACCUAUAAGCUCCAAUUCAACCCCUUGUGCCUAGUGAGACUUAGAGAGCUACCGGAUAAAAAGUUUUGCAACCUAGUUCCAAUCCUAUUCUAGCAAGGCAAUUCUAAGAAUGUAAAAACACAAAGUAAAUGCUAGAAAGUAAAGGAGUAGUGGAAGAAAGUGCUCGGCGAUGUUUUGCCGAGGUAUCGGAGAGUCGCCACUCUCCACUAGUCCUCGUUGGAGCACCCGCGCAAGGGUCUUGCUCCCCCUUGGUCCGCGCAAGGACCAAGUGCUCUCUACGGGCUGAUUCUUCGACACUCCGUCGCGGUGAAUCGUCCAAAACCGCUCACAAGCUUGACACGAGCCACCCACAAGAACUACGGGUGAUCUUCGUGCCUCCAAUCACCACCGAACCGUCUAGGUGAUGGCGAUCACCAAGAGUAACAAGCAAAGAACUCUCACUUGACCCAAACAAGGCACUAGAGAGUGGUGGAUGCACACUUGACUCUUGGAACUCACUAGAGAAGGAUUCUCUCAAGAAAUCACUCCAAUCUCAAUCCUCUCUAGGCUCUUGCAACUCUCUUGCUCCACAACAAGUUUCUCUGAGGUUCAAAUGGGCAAGAGACCUCUCAUGGACGAGGUGGAGGAGUAUAAAUACUAUCCACCAAGUCCAAAGGUUGGCCAACCGUUUUCCACUGAAAACGGGGUCACCGGACGCACAUUAUGUUGCACCGGACGCACUGCACCGAGCGUCCGGUGUGACAUAACGGCUACCUGCGCUUCCUCUGACAGGUCACCGGACGCUAACUCUCAGCGUCCGGUGCACCGUCCGGUGCUCGGGAAAACUUUACAUGCUCCCUGCGCAUGGGACCGGACGCUACCCGGUGCGUCCGGUGCUAGCGUCCGGUGCUCAGGGGAACUUUGCAAGCUCCCUGGGUAAGGGACCGGACGCUGCCCGGUGCGUCCGGUGCCAGCGUCCGGUGCCUAACCCUAAGCACCAAACUGUUCCAACGGCUAAGGACCUCACCGGACGCACUCACAAAGCGUCCGGUGCAGCGUCCGGUGCCCCUUUGGGCACCCAAACUUCGUCGAAACGCGAACGCUCCAACACGAAGUUUGUUCCUCUCGAUCUAAGGACUAUCUCUGAGCUGCCUAGUGCUAGGUUUACCAAGUGUGCACCACACCUAAACCUAAAGUCUUGCCUAAGUCAAGCUACUAGUUCAAAACCCCUCUUAAUAGUACGGUCAAAGGAAAACAAAGUCCUAAACUACUCUAAGUGCCCUUCUUCACCAUAUGGCACUUAGACCUAGUCUAGUCUUGACGAUGUCCAUCCAUCCUUUGAAAACCGAAACGAUUUCCACUAUUAAGUAGGCAUGUACGUCCCUGUUCAUCGAGUACCUAUUUACCAUGACCUUACCUAUGACUUUGCCUCUGCAAAACACACGUUAGUCAUAGUAACCAACAAUAUCAUUAAUCACCGAAAUCACUAGGGGCCUAGAUGCUCUUUCAGUUAUAAAUGUACUACAGUACUUAAAAUUUUUUCUUUUCAUGAACUAAACAAGGCUUAGCAAUCAAAACACAGAAAUUACCCUCUACUUAACAAAUGGGCUUUAUCCCUGGUGUACCUGCCCAGUGCGUGGCCGGCAAGGCUAUUAUUUAAUCCAUGGUCAAUCGCUUGAUGUGGUCAACCAAGGCUAGCUAGCCAGCAAGGUCGUCGCGCGAGCAUGUCAAUUAGGCCUUGUUUAAUUCAACAUAAAAAUCAAAAACUUUUUAAGAUUUUUUGUCACAUCAAAUUUUGCAGCACAUAUAUGAAGCAUUAAAUAUAGACCAAAACAAAAAUUAAUUGUACAGUUUGUCUCUAAAUCACGAGAUGAAUCUUUUGAAUCUAAUUAGUCCAUAUUUGAACAAUAUUUGUCAAAUAAAAAUAAAAAUACUACAAUACCCAAAACCAAAAAAAAAUCGAAACUAAACAAUGUCUUAGUUUAAUAUACCAUUAAAAGAUUUGACUUUUUUGGUGUAAUCCACGCACAUGUGGAGUUUGAAAUUAAAAUUUUUGUUUAUCUAGGCAACUACUGCCAAUCAGCAGAAAAUGGAUUGCAGUUUUUUUUAAGAAAAAAAGCAGACGGGCCUCAGCCAGUGGUACACGUACCAGCCUCCAAGCCGGGUAAGAUACUCCUUAUAAAGAAAAUGUGCAGUUAUUCUAGUCUCAUCCGUGUCCAAGAGAGCAUACUACAUCAUAUUCGUAAGGAAUUUGACGCAAGCCACGUACGUAGCAGCUCUGGACAAGCUCUUCCCCACGACCAACAAUAGGACCGGUAGAAGAGUGCUCUUUUUGAUACCAGAGUAAGGUCGCGCAACCAUCAAUGGAGACGCCCAACUUUGUAGGCUGCAGUGCUCCUUUUAGCUCGAUUUUGUACACCAUUUAUGUAAUAUUGAAGUUUGAAACAAUUUGCUAGGACGGUCCAGUUGCAAUAAAAGAUCUCCUAGGGUGCUCAUCAGAAGUGUGUCAUUUGUAUAUAAUUAAAGUCUUCUUCUUAAUAGAAUGAUACAUAAAUCUUUUACGUAUUCUAGAAAAAACUCUAUACUUUUUAAUAUUUUAGUAAAAAAAAGGAAAAAAAGACCCUCUCGAACUGUGUGGCAAAAGAGCCUCUUAUCUUCAAAUAAAAAGUUAUUAAAUAUCUUUUUUAAUUCGUAAGUUUCUGCAGACGAGAGAACUCCUUAUCUUUGUUCCCUAGGAUAGUUUUCAUAGGCACACUUUUUUGUUAUUGCGAGUGGAGCCUGUUCGUUUGACUGAAAGACCAUAGCUAAAUAUACUAUUUGCUGAUUUGUUGUGAGAGAAAAAUACUACUGAAUGAUUGACAAAUUCAAUCGAUAAGUUCAAACAAACAUGGCCCUUGUACUGCCCUAUGUCUACCUUCUUUAUUUAAUCAAGUUCUGGCCUCAUCUUACGGAUAGGGUUGACAGGAGGCCUGUGCGCUCGCGAAUAGAGAAAUGUACACGCCUUACAGAUGAUCCAUUAAUUAUAUGUACGAUCGAAUCACCACUUGUGCAUCAGGAUAUGUUCCUAAAGUCAAAUACUGCAGCUCAUUGGACGUCAAAGUUUCGUUCAAAUGAAGCGAAAGGUUCCAAAAAGGAGAAUUAGGGCAUUCUCAAUACACAAACCAUCAUGAUUUCUAUAAACAGUAAUUGUAGUGCCACCUAAGCAUUUUACUGAUGUGGCGAGGUAGUUAUUGAAGAGAGAGAACAAAAAUCAUAGAAACUUGUCUAAGUUAGAAACCAUGUCUACACGAAAUCUAAGACAUGAAGUGAUAUGAUUGGUUGAGAAUGGAGAGAAAAUAAAUGUGAUUGGAUAAAAAAAUAUUUUAUAGAAACUAUCUAUUGAGACCAUAGUUUCUAUAUAUAGUGUUUAGGGCACUCCCAAUGCUAGAAACUAUGUAUAGUUUCUAUACUCAUUAAUUUUUAUAGACACUAUAUAUAGAAACUAUGCUUCCAAUGGAUAGUUUCUAUAGAAUAUUUUUAUAUCCAAUCACAUUUAUUCUCUCUCCACUCUUAGCCAAUCAUAUCACUUCAUGUUUCUAUGAUUUUUACUCUCUCUCUUUAAUAACUACAUUGCCACAUCAGCAAAAUGCUUAGGUGCCACUGCAAUUAAUGUCUAUAGAAACCAUGGUAGUUUCUGCAUUGGGAGUGCCCUAAAAAUCAAUAGGUAUAGAAACUGUUGAUGCAAAAGUUGAUCUGCAAACACAAAGGGCUAACGAUCCUGGAUACGUGUCCAAAAACGGUGUCAACAGAAACUAUAUGUAGUUUCUAGCAUUGGGAGUGCCCUAAGGGAUUUUGACAUUAUUUGUGGUAUCCACAAUGUGCUUCGCAAUAGGAGAUUCACAAAAAUCAUCAUCCCAGCGCUAUGUUUACAUUUGGGCUAUCCUCACAACGAGUAAUCCUCUGAACCAAGUCGCCUUCUGCCAUUAUUUUACUUUUAUUUUUUAUUUUUUGAUAAUGACCCAGCAUAUAGCGGAUGUUGUGGUACUUUUGUAUCCUUAGGAGUAGUGAAGAUUCGUUAAGAGUACUUCCUCCAUUUCAUAUUGUAAUUUAUUAUAAAAAUAUUAGAGAGUCAAAAUAUCUCAAAUUUGAUCAAAACUAUAGAAAAAAUUACAAAUAUUUAUGACAUCAAUUAGAUAUACUAUAAAAAUAUAAUUAAUAAAGAAUAUAAUAUUACUGUCAUUAUAAAUGUUAUUAUUUUAUAAUAUAAAUUUAGUUAAACAUGAUAUUCUUAAAAUGACUUAUAAUUUAGGAUAAAGAAAGUAACAUUCUUUGCACUAGCCGGUGUACCGGUUAAUGUAUUAAAUGUAUUUUUUUUUAGGAGUCAUGGAUAAAGGGUUGACUGAUCGAUUAACAAGGGAUUCCAGCCAUUGCAAGUUGCAACAGGGGAAAAAAAAGGAACGAACCAAGCCUGUAGAGCCGGAACAAGCACAUUCAGAGGUAGAAGGUGGACGAAAUGGUGAAGACGAUUGUAUUGUAGCUCCAGCACGCCGAGUAAUUAUAUAUAUGUUACAUAAAAUCUGUAUGUAAAAUAAAAUGCACCACAGUAUGAUGGGCAUCCUUCCAUCGGCGUGGUUCUAAUUUCAUCUGCGUCCAAACGAGCAUACGACGCCAUAUUCAUUGGAAACUUGACGCUGAGCCACGUGGCAGCUCUGGACGACCUUUUUCUAGCGACCAACAACACGGCCAGUAGAAGAGUGCUCUUCUUGUAUGCUAGAGGCGCCAAACUCCGUACAUUGCAGCAUUGCUUUUAGCUUAGUUGUACACCAUUUAUAUAAUACUGAAGUUUGAAACCGUUUUCUAGGACGGUCAUCAAAAGCACAUCAUUUGUAUGAUUAAACUCUUUUCUUAAUUACAAUAAUACGCAAAUCUUUUACGUAUUUGAAGAAAAAAACUCUGUAUUAUGAUAUUUUAGUAAAAGAGCAAAAAAAACUCUCUCUAACAGUUUAGCUAAAGAGUUUUUUAUCUUAAAAAUAAAAAAGUUGCCAAAUAUCUUUCAACUUAUAAGUUUUGGCAGUUGAGAACUCUGUAUCUCGACAGAGUUUUUGCGGGUGCAUUUUUUUUUUUUUUGCGCGAGCAGUCUUGUUCUAGUCCAGCGCCGCAGCCGCCCCCUUCAAGUUUGACGCGUCAAGUAGUACUGCCCUCUCUCUACCCUUUAUUUAAUCAAGUUCUCGCCUCGUCUUGGUAAUACUAGCCGCCACUGCUUGUGCCUUCACACACUACUGGAAUCGGACGCUUUGCCUAGUGUCUAGGGCACUCGGCAAACGGCAAAAAACACUUAGCAAACCGUUUACCGAGUGCCACACAGCAGAGAUGGCAAAAAAUUGACGGCAAAGCAAGCUUUGCCGAGUGUCUUUUUUCGGUCACUCGGUAAAGACCUGCAAAAGUAGCCGUCACGGCCAACCUAAUUGAGGAUCGCGGUUUGCCGAGUGUCUGGGGCCCAACACUCGGCAAAGACAUUUUUCUAAAAAAAUAAAAUUUUCAGGUUUGCCGUUUGUCCUUCCUCGAGCACUAGGCAAAGUGCCACUCUUUUACCGAGUGCCCGAUAUAAAACACUAGGCAAAGCGUUUGACACUCGAUAUAGAACGUGUCUUCGGUAGUGACAGGUGUGUUGGUGUUUGUUUUAUCCCACUUGACCCAAACCAAAGGAGUUCUCUCAUUUAAUCCCCAACAAAUCAAAAUCCUUCUUUACCCCUUCAAUCCCUCUCUCAUCUAAAGGUAAACGCGCCGGCAAGGCUAAUUUAAUCCAUGGUCAAUCGCGUGCUGUGUACCACCAAUUCUUCAUUUCUUUCUUUGUUUUCUGAUUUGUCUCCCCCCUCCCCUCCUCUUAUAGCUCUGUAAAAACGCUUCCUUUUUUGCCUUUUUAAUUCACCAGUAGAGGUGCGCCCCUCCUGUUCAUUCAAAAAAAAAAAAGGCUAGCUAGCCGGCCGGCAAGGUCGUCGUGCGAGCAUGUCAAUAAGUUUAUACCCUUACAAGAUUUGUCUUUUUUGUUUAUCCACGCACCUGUCGAACGGCCGAUGUCUGAUGUUGGCGUGCAAUCCGUUCUUGAUACGUACAGCGUAUCGCUGGGGCUUGACGGCUGGAGGAUUCCAGCCAUAGCAAGUUGCAACAGGAAAAAGAAAAAGAAGGACCGGCACUACUGGCUGUUCACUUGCUCCACGCCAUACCCCUGAAAAUGUACAGAUAGCACAUUUGACAGGAGGCCUGUGUAAAUAGAAAAAUGUACACGCCUGCAGAUGAUGCAUUCAUUAUGGAACAGGCAUCCAUGUUUAGUGCACAAGCACUUUUCAGAGUAUAGUAUGUAGUGAUCGAAUCACACCACACUUGUGCAUCAGGAUGUCCAUAAAGUCAAACACUGCAGCUCAUUGGACAUCAAAGUAGUGUUUCAUUCAAAUGAAGCGAAAGGGUUCCAAAAAUAAAGGAGAAUUCUAACACACAGGACGAUUUUGACACUUUUGUGGUAUCCACAAUUAAUGCGCUUCGCAAUAGGAGAUUCACAAAAAUCAUAGCAUCAUCCCAAGGCUUGAUGUUUUUAUUUGGGCUAAUCCUCACAACAAGUAAAUCCUCUUAGACCUUGUUUAGUUCACCUCAAAAACCAAAAACUUUUUAAGAUUCCUCGUCACAUCGAAUCUUACGGUACAUGCAUGGAGUAUUAAAUAUAAAUGAAAAAAAACUAAUUACACAGUUUUACUGUAAAUCACGAGACGAAUCUUUUAAGCCUAGUUACUCCAUGAUUGGACAAUGUUUGAUAAAUAAAAACGAAAGUGCUACAAUGUCGUUUUUCCAAAAAAAAAUUGGAACUAAACAAGGCCUUAACCAAGUCGCACGCGUUCUGCCAUUAAUAUUUUACUCCUCAGCGAUUCGCUGAGGAGUAACAUUCUUUGCACUAGCCGGUGCACCGGUGAAUGUACUAUUCAAUGUAUUUAGGCCUUGUUUAGUUUCCAAAAAUUUUCAAGAUUUUCCGUCACAUCGAAUCUUGCGGCACAUGCAUGAAACAUUAAAUAUAGACGAAAACAAAAACUAAUUACGCAGUUUACCUGUAAAUCGCGAGACGAAUCUUUUGAUCCUAGUUAGUCUAUGAUUGGAUAAUAUUUGCCACAAACAAACGAAAGUGCUACAGUAGUGAAAUCCAAAAUUUUUGUCAAACUAAACAAGGCGUUAAUUUUAGGAGUCAUGGGAUCCAGGGUUUGACUAAUUCACAAGGAAAGGAUCAUACUUUGGUUCAGAGUCAGAUGAGCAGAUAAUUCCACCAAUGCUUACAGUGGCAGAUGCAUGAGAUGAUGGAAGAAUGACUUCAGGGGGCUGCAAAAAUAAUAUUGGGAUAGUUGAAUGUUAAAUUAUUAAGCAGAGGCUGGGUGCUUUUCGUUGCAAAAUCGAUUAACAAAAUAUGACACCCCGAUUAUGCUACAUUGUUUGACCUCAAUCUUUGUAUGAAAUCUUUUGUUAGCGGGUCUUUAUUGCCGUGUGAAUCCCAUUGUUUCUCUUCACCAUAUGUUUCUGAAAGGUCAUGGUGUGUUCUGAAACUAUCUUGCUUACAAUCCACGAGUGGUAAUCUGUUCGAUGCAAUCUGAGUAGCUUUUUGCAUCCCGUCCUUGCACUCGCUGCCCUUGGGUUUUGGCAGAAUCCCAACGGACAAUGAAUCAAAAAGCAUUAUGUUAACGUAUUGAUUUUCUUGAUGGUUUUGGGGCUUUUCUUGAGGCAUUUUGACCAUGAAGGAUAUUCAGUUUUUAAGGUAGUGACAUAAUAAUUAUGGUUUGUACAUGUACUGGCUUGAUUAAAUAUAGUGAUCACCCUCCUGUUUUUUUUUUUGAGCAAAUCCAAUUAUAAGCACAUGUCACUUAGGCAGUUAGGAUGGAUAUAAGCCUGGACGAAAAACUCAGAAAGCUCGUUAGUUCAUUCGGCUCGUGACUAGCUCGACUCAGCUCGGCUGAGCUAAGAUUUUACCUUGUUAGCUAUAACGAGCCAACUCGAGAUAACUUACGAGACGCUCGCGAGCCAAAUAAGCUAUAAUUUUUUAAAAAAGUUGUCAUAACCAUACGUGGACCCAACACUAGGGCCACCCAGGCCAUGACCUUAGUCAUGGCCCAUAUACCAAGGGAGCAAGUCUUGAGUUUUUUGCCAUCAAACAGCCCCACACAAAGCAGCCCAAGCUGCAUGCAGCAGGCUAGCAGCUCCCCUCCACUCGCACUUAUUCCCUAUUUUCCAUCCUACGGAGUUUUGGUUUAACUAGAUUGGAAAUUGAGUUAUAAAUUAUGGUUAAAUAAUUGCUCAGUUUUGUACUAAAAUUAUUUUAGUUUAAUUGAAUUAGAUAUUGAGUUAUAAAUUAUGGUUAAAUGAUUGCUCAAUUUUGUACUAAAAUUACAUAUUUGCUUGGCUGUUCAUGUUCUAUUGAAUCAUCAUCAUGAUUAAAUGAUUGCUCGAUUUUGUCUAAAAUUUCAUAUUUUUUGAUUGUUCUACAAAAUUACAUAGUAUACCUGUGGUACGUUCUCAUUCAAGAUUUACUAUGCCUAAUUUGGCCCUAGUCUUGGCUAAUUCCUGGAUCCGUCACUGAUCAUAACUUAUAUUAGUUUUGUAUUACUUCAUGUCUUACACUUUAUAAAUGAUUGAUAUGUUAACUCAUAUAAAUAUUUUAUUUGACUUAAGACUAUUAGAUAUAUUAUUUUUAUAUUAUUACUAUUUUUAAGCUUUAGAAAAAUAAAAAUAUUAUAUUUUAUGUACUUUCCGUAUCUAACUCGAAAGCUUAACUAGUUAGCUCGAGCUCGUAACGAGCCGAGCCGAGCCAUCAUGGAUACUAUAUGACGAAGCUUGAAAAUCAGCUAGUGUAUCUCACCCAUGCUCUGUGCAGUGCAUACUGUGUGUCUCACACACGCAUACAAUCUAAGCCAUUAUAAAAUUAUUAUUUCCACGACUAAGGAGUUGCAAAUGUGAGAAACCACUGGGCUGGCCAUGCAUGCUCAUCGUCGCCGAUCGAGGGGGGAUCUCGGAGGCCACCGGAGCUGCUGCUAGCUAUAGCUGCAUGCCGGCCGGUGGAUUAUAUUGACGACACACGGCAGCCGCCGGCCGGAGAGAUAUAUAGCCCGACGACCGACCGAGAUCCGAUCGAGAAGAAAUGCAUGGUUUGGAGAGGAGAGCACACCGUACCGGCCGCCGGGGGAGAUGAGCUAGCUAGCGUGGCGUGUAUUUAGCUUUAGAGCUUCUACUGUUGUAACGUAUGCCUGCCGGCACCGGCAGUCCCCCCGGCCGGCCGGCCGGCACCACCACCACCACCACCACCCGAGGGAGAGGCCGGCCGCCGACGACAAGUGUGUGACACUGGUCGUCGUCAAAUGCUUACGCCAGAUGACGUCACGUGUUUAAUUUAGUUUGCGAAUAUAGCGUGUGUAUAUAUCUCAGCGAGCUAGCUCGGCUGCUUCACCACGCCGUAUGUGCCCGCCAGCCCAUGUGAUCCAUGAACACAGCACAUACUGUCACACAUUCAUCAUUUCAUGUGUGUACUAUCUACGUGUUGUGUUCACGUGACACACACGUACUUCAUGCGCGUAUAUAUAUAUAUAUAUAUAUAUAUAUAUAUAUAUAUAUAUAUAUAUAUAUAUAUAUAUAUAUAUAUAUAUUGUGUGUCACACAUUUAUCAUUUCAUGUGCAUAUAAUGUGUGUACGUACGUGUGCGUGUGAACCUGCUACACGGUUAGUUUGUGGAUGAGUGGAUUGACGACUUCGGCCGAAGAGACGACCAAUCGACCGAUCGACGAAGACUGUACCAAGAAGGAAUGGAAUGGAAUGGAGAGCACCGCUGGGGAGGGGAUCGACGAUGGGAGAGCGUACUUAAUUAAGCUGCAGAGAAUAUAACGUAUGCUUUCACCUGUGACCAAAAGUUAGAGAGAGAGGUUAUUGCUUAGGCCUUAUUUACUUCUAAAUUUUUUUUUAGUACAAUAGACACUGUAGCACUUUUAUUUGUAUUUGACAAAUAUUGUUUAAUCAUGAACUAAAUAGGCUCAAAAGAUAUUCGUCUUGCAAAUUACAGGUGAACUGUGUAAUUAGUUUUUAUUUUUAUUUUUAUUUUUUUAUUUAUAUUUAAUGCUUCACUAAAGAUUCGAUGUGACGGCUGAAAAAAUUUGUAAAAUUUUUUAGAAACUAAACAAGGCCGUUGUAACUAGGAAAUUAUUUGUGUAUAUGUUGCUUUGCAUUGACUGUGAGCAUAGCUAGGUAACAACAAGGUCUCCCCCCCCCCCACACACACACACAAGUAUUCAACAGCAACUUAGAUCUCAAAAUUUAAUGACAAAUGUGAAAUUUCCUUGAGUUGCAUAUUGUUCGAGGAACACACAAUAAUACCAUGCAUAGAAAACCCGAGAAAUAUGACUUCUAUAUAUGGAAUUCCUACAUAUAAUUUCUUAUUAAGUGCUUGGAUUCCAAAGGGAUCCAUCUCUAAAAAGAUUUGGACAAAACUUCAGCUGAACUUCAUGAAUUUCGGUAAUCUUGGAGGUGGCCAAAAAAAUCAAAUACUGAAAUUGAAAACAACCCCUAGUGAGUAUAUAUAUAUAUAUAGCCGACUGUCCUCACGAUGAUCCUGAUUAUAUGGAAGAUGUCAUGAGGAAUAUGAUCGACGACGGUAGUCAGUACUUUACUGAUUACAACGAGCUCGUGCAGGAUAAUCCGGCUGAGCAAUAAGAGGGCAAUGUGCCUGAGCAACAAGAGGGCAAUGCACUUGAGCAACAACGAGUCGUACAACAAGAAGGGAAUAUCGGUGAGGUAUGUAAAUGUAAACAUGUAUAAUGCAUCUCUUACAUUAGGUUUUAGACUUACUUGGCUAUUAAUUUAGUAUUUUUUCUAUAUAUAUGUAGCCCUCUGGAUCGAUCUCUACGGGGAGAAGCGUACCUCCACGAGGGCCAAAGAAGCCGUUGGAGGGCCGCUACAUCAAUCAAACACCCAAAGAGAUCUACAUGUCUCUUUUCAUUAUCUCCUGAAUUAUAUUGAAUAACUUAGAUAACUAAUACCUUUUUCCUUUUAUUUCAAAUUGAAGACGGAAUGGUUGAGGGAAAAUGUCAUGCAAAAAGACCGCAUCAAAGCUAUUCGAGAGACAAUAGCUGGAUUCCUCCACGAUCAAGUGAUCAAUCGGUGAGUUUCACUUCAACGACAAUGAAACUCUUAUUCCAAAGAACGAUGGUCAUUUGUAUCGGCUCUAGAGAUUCGGAGAAGAAAACUCUCUCUCUCUCUCUCUAUAUAUAUAUAUAUAUAUAUAUAUAUAUAUAUAUAUAUAUAUAUAUAUAUAUAUAUGUUAAAGGGUUAAAGGGUGGGGCUUUAGCCCCGGUGCCCUGAACCGGGACUAAAGGGUGAGCCUUUAGUCCCGAAAGGACAGUACUGGCUCGAAAACUGAGACAACAGGCCCUUCCCGACCAAUGCAAAUGCCUGAAAUGUACCACCAGUGCUUUUACCAGCGCAAAAGAGUCAUGUUGGAUUUGAGUUCCAAAUUCGGAGUUGAGGGAGAAGUCCAUCGGUGGAUCAGAGCACAGCACACACAUAUCCAUCCAACAUGCAUCAACAGAUAAUCUUAAGAUUAAUUUUUUUACUAAAUCAAAAGAACAAAGAGCUUGAUCGCAUAAAAGUUUGAUGUCAAGGAAAUCGUCUUAGUGACCACACAACAUGUUAUUGCAAUGUUUGGGCAUACUUGCUAGCACAAAAAUCUGAAAUGAAGACACUCCUUAUUUAGAUGUGAAAUUUUUUUGGAUUAUUUUGCUAUUGUAGCACUUUCAUUUAUUUGUGACACAGUUCGUCUCGUGAUUUACAGGUAAAUUGUGUAUUAAUUUUGAUUUUCGUUUAUAUUUAGUGCUUCAUGCAUAUGCCGUAAGAUUUGAUAUGAUGGGGAAUCUUAAAACUUUUUGGAUUUCGGUGGGAACUAAACAAGGCCCAAGACAGUAUAUAAACACACACACAUCUCUGUUGCUGCAGUGCUGCUGCCGCCGCCGCCGCAGCCGCCUUACUAGGGUUCAUUUUAUGACAAGGUAAAAUUAAACUAAACACGAAUUGAUUGAUGAAGCAGCAGGGGCAGCAGGCGGACGGCGGUGGCUACUGGGCCGCUAGCUAGGCAUCAGGGCCCUGGCCGCCCGGACGAUGGCGGUGGCCUGCUCUAGGGUACGGUGAACGUCUCGACGAGGAUCUGCAUUCUGCUCGUAUGAGGGUCCAGGUGCAUCGUGAGGAAGACGUCCAAUCUGUUGCCGUGGUGCGUCUUGACGGACUCCUGCGACGCGAAGGCCAGCCAGCACGGCGAGAGAGCAUGCAUGGACACUGUGUAUGUCAGGGGACCUACUGCACUUUGGCAGCACGCGACUAGAAGUGCCUUGCUUUCUCUUGCAAAGGUGGUUGUGGUCACCGAGGGGCUGAGUCACACUUGCCACUAAUUCGAUCGUAUAACACCUCGAACAGAUGUUUCUGUGAUUACCAAAUUUUUGUGGGAUUAUCUAGAUGCAGGGGACAACUUAACAGUGAUCCUUGCAAUAGCAGUUCAAGCAUAUUGACGGCAAUGUCGGUGUCUCAGCUUGCAUCCUCUGAGUGAUGUGAUCCACCAAAGUUAAAGGUAACUGGAUGUUCACUUGCAAGUUGCAAGUAGUAAUACAUCAAACAUUUGUCAUCAAGUCUUUUGAAGUGUACGUUGUUGUGUACGGCAUAAUAGAACGGAUCGUCGAUGGAGUUCAUUCUUGUACGAGUUGAUUGUACUGUAUGAUGUAGGAAACAAAUUGUACACAUUUGUAAUAAAUAAAUUGUACAAUAUCAUGUGUCAUGUAAUAAACAAAUCUAUAUAUUUGUGUGUGUGUCCCACACACACUACUCAUGCUCUGUGCAGUGUGCAUACUGUACGUGUGUGUCUCACACACCCAGACAGUCUAAAGCCAUUAUAAAAUCAUUUUCACACAACUCAUCACGAGUUGCAGAUGUGAGUAUUGAAUCAAAUGUACGGUGAACGACAACCUUCAUAUACACUGCACCCGUGAAGACUAGCUAGGAAAGUAAUAAAAAAGGUACGGUAUCACGUAUCUACUUACAUUAAUUAACCUACGUGUACCCCAAACAUUUAUACACGUUGUUGGCUGUUUUGACUCGGCGACAUGACAUUUCAUGCUUCACCACCGUGGCCGCCAGCCUGCAGGAGUGGGCGCCGGCGCACACCCCCGGUCGUCAACAACAGGUUCCUGUGUGCGAGUGGUUCACGGCGCACCGCUCUGUUGCAGUUCUCGCCGGCACGCCUGCUGCUCAUGUGCUGUGUCUACCUGUCAUAAGAUUUGAUGUGAUGAAAUUUUUUUGAAAGUUUUAAAAACAAGACCAGGGUACCGCCGCUGCCCCCAUCUUCGGCAUCGGGCGCUACUGCUCAGUCGCUGCACUGGAGGAUGGGACACACCCGCGGGAGUGCAUCCCUGUGCACCAGUGGAUCAUGGAAGCCAUUGCCAACCGGGCGUGGUCUAUAUAUGUCGACGCCAAUGCUGCUGCUAUCCUCGCUAUCAUAAAAAACUACUUUAAGGAACAUUGUAAAACGACCCCUUGAUAAUUGUUGCAUCAGUCUCCAAUUCAAUUCGAGGGAGCCCCAUCGAUGUUGCCAUUCUGACGCCUAUCGAGCAAGCCAACAGCUCAGCAUGGAGAGGAUUCAUAAGAUCCUUGGCGCCGGCUCUCACCAUUGAUCCCUGGUCAUCCCGGAUAAUAUAUCUGCAGCCCCCAUGGUCGCUAGAGCUAUCAAAGGCUCCAUCUGUAUUGAUUUUGAACACCCCGGGUGGAGGUUUGACCCAUCUUGUGGACUGGCGAGAUUCCGGCAAUAGGACUUCUCGAGGUGGUUUCUGAAAACGGUAAGCUAAGGCUUCAGAUACAUAUGCAACCUCCAUAGCUGAUCUUCUUCUUCCUUCCUACCUCCAUUUGUUUCUUUCAGUCCACCAUAUAACCACAGCUUCAGUACCACUUUCAAUUGCGUUUUCGCAUCCAGCUUCUAGGAAACACUAGAAAACAUAUUCAUAUGUUUUGCAACAUGACGUAUAGGUUGUUACUCAACUAAUUUGAUAUGAUUUGCAGCUCAAAGAUUUGUUCAAUAAUCACACCAUACAUUUUAUUUGUUUUGGAAUUCCCUAGGACCUGAGCAUCAAACCCAUUAGGUAGUGACAAUGUGAGAUGGAGUGGGAUAUGGUUCUAAUUUUCGUGGUGCUUGGUUGGGAGACAAUAAGGGGAGUCAUCCCACCACAUAAUAUUUCCCAUAUAUGCGGGGCAACCCCAUCCCUCCAAAAAGAGUAGACGAGCUCGUCUUCUCUCAUGCCAUUGCAUUCUCUCGUUGAGCUCAUCCUUGUGUGGCCGGAUAGGGAUCAGGCAGAUGGGUGCCCGCGGCUAUGGGGGGUAGGGUGGAUAGAGUUUUGAAAGCCAUGGCACGAAGGGUGGUAGAGCUAAUUCAAGCAGUGCGAAUUAGCCAGGUCAUGUUGAUUAGGUAGAUAGUGUGGGAGCAGACGAGCAAGGGCCAGCCAACGAUGUUGAGCAUGGAUCGGAUGAGUGGGAGCCAGAUAGAGCAGAGCGACAUAAAUGGAGAGGGCCAGGUUGGCUCUUGGCAGCGCAUCCGUGUGGGUCGCAUAGAGGAUGAGUGCUGGACGAUGGAGACGCCCCCGCCCCUCCACCAAGCGAGCGAUGUGGAUGGGCAGAGGCUGGCUAGGUGGCACAAUAAAUCCCACCAUAGGGUGCACAUGGACUGAGCUCGGAUGAGAGGGAGAAGAUUAGAAGGAGACUAAGGGGGUGUUUGGGACUGCUCUGCUCCACGUUUUCGAGUUCCGCUCCAUGUUUUUUAGCCAAACAGUUUCAGCUCUAUGCACUCAGUUCGAGAAAAAAGGGUGGAGUUGUGAGAGCACCUAAAGAGGUACUCCACAAACUCCAUUUUUUGUGGACCUGCUCCACGGUAGAGUUUGUGAAACAGAGUUUGUGGAGCAGUUUCAAACACUCCCUAAUAGUUAGGGUUGACAAACAAACCUAAAGGUAAGAUUGGGAGAUGACUAUUAGUUAGGGUUGGCAAACGACCAAAGAUCCAUGCAAUUCCUUCUUAUCCAUUUAACCAAAAAAAGACAACCCAAACGUAGACAUUAUGGCCUUGUUCAGUUUGCAAAAAAUUUUGGCUUCGGGUACUGUAGCACUUUCGUUUGCUUGUGGCAAAUAUUGUCCAAUCAUAGACUAACUAGGGUCAAAAGAUUCUUCUCGCGAUUUACAGGUAAACUGUGUAAUUAGUUUUUAUUUUUAUCCAUAUUUAAUGUUUCAUGCAUGUCGUAAGAUUCGAUGUGACGGGGAAUCUUGAAAAUUUUUGGUAGUUUUUGGAACUAAACAAGGCCUAUCUUACAACCCAAACGAACCCAAAAAAUUUUGUUUUUAGCUACUGUAGUAUUUCGUUUUUAUUUGAUAAACAUUGUCCAAUCACAGAGUAACUAGACUCAAAAAAUUCAUCUCACAAAUUAUAGGUAAAUUGUACAGUUAGUUUUUAUUUUCGUCUAUAUUUAAUGCUCCAUAUAUACGACCAAAGAUUUGAUGUGACGGGAAAUCUUUGUGGUAAAUUGGUAAUCACGUAUUCACACGUACACGUGUUCCCUCUGUUCUGUUCAUCUCUACGACUGCAAGUGGGCCACCCUCUCGGAGAGCAAGGAGAGCACAAACCACCACCCUGCCCAUCCAUCCUCCAUUAUUUCCCGGCUAUCCUCGCCUUGGGCUCACCCCGAAAACCAAAAAGUUUUUCAAGAUUCUUUGUCACAUCGAAUCUUUCGACACAUAUAUAAAAUAUUAAAUGUAAACAAAAAUAAAAACUAAUUGCACAGUUUACCUGUAAAUCACGAGACGAAUUUUUUGAUCUUAGUUAGUCUAUAAUUGGAUAAUAUUUGUCACAAACAAACGAAAGUGCUACGGUAGCGAAAACCAAAAAUCUUUUCGCACCUAAACAAGGCCUUGGUGGAUUUUGCUUGAAAAAGCGGCUUCCUACUCCUCGUCCUUAUCACCAACCGAACCGACAUUGUUUUCUUCCCCUUCUGGCUUCUGGCCUUCUCCUUCUACACAGUCUAGAGGCGUCUGCUCCCCCAAUCCCUUCCGCCCGCCCCGCCUGCUCGACGCGAUCCCGCCGGCGGCCAUGGAUCCGUACAAGGUACUGUUUUGUUUUUCGAUUUCGACUUCUUUCUUCAUCGAUUUUGCCCUAUGUAUUAGAUCCUCAAAAUCAAUUUCGAAUCUUGUUUCCUUCCGCCCUUGAUUGAUGCGCUCGCUCAUCUGAUUUGUGAGAUUCUUCUUCUUGCAGCACCGCCCUUCUAGCGGGAGCAACUCCAGCUUCUGGACCACCAACUCCGGCGCCCCCGUCUGGAACAACAACUCCGCCCUUACCGUCGGACAGCGAGGUCAGACUCUGCUCUGCUGCCUCCAUUACUCCUUUCCUUUUUACCUUACACGAUCCUGUAGCAUAUAUGUUCUUGAUUUGUGUGAGAUUCAUUCGAUACGUGAUCUGUGCUAGCCUUGCCAUGUGGAAUUAGUCGUUCUUUUGGUUGCUAGCUGCUCUGAUCCCUCUACCAGUAGUAUUGCACUGUGGAAGCUUGGCUGUAGCUGUUGACCUGAGGAUUUGGCUUCCAAUUCGUUCAAAGCUUGCGGCUUGAUGUGCUUUUGGUUGAUUUCCAGUGAAUAAUUUUGCUGCUCUAUAUAUACGGAUUGAUUCACCUGUCAUAUAAUUUCGUCGAUGAAUUUGAGACUUGCUUAUUCUUCCUGUGCUGCCCAAAGGUCUUAUUCCUUGGAUCAGCUGUAAGGUGAAACUUUUGUCCUGAUAUUUUCGUCAGUCGCUGUCGUACCAUUAAGUUGCUUAAGGGAAAGGGAAAGAAAGCACCUUUCCAAUACGAAAUGCCAUCAUGGAGUUAUAGUGAUAAUCUUAGGUGAGGGGCAAUUGCAGGGUGGUAAAGUCAAGGCAGGGUAAUCACAGUUGAUUAUUACUGGUGCGCAGUGUGGUAUAUUUACUUUUGACAGUUACCUGGGCUAGUGCUGAAUCACUACCAGAAAGCAUAACCUUUGGAUUUUCUCUCCUCAGCAUGUAUGGCAAAACUUUGAAAGUGAUUGCAAGUCCAGUUUGGUUCUUCUGAAUGUCAUUGUCGCAAAAAGUGUCCAUCAAUUACAGGAACAGGAUACAGCACACCUAUCUGUAACCAAUAUGUUUCUUUCGGUGAUGUCAGAAAAAUAAUAAGCCUUUUGUUUUAGGAGUUUGCUUUAUUGUCUACCUGCUUCACUUUCUGUUUUGGUGUUUAGCUAACAAUUUCUGAUUUAUUGUUUCACACGAUGUGUUCUUCUUUGGCAGGACCCAUCCUCCUUGAGGAUUAUCAUCUAAUCGAAAAGCUUGCUCAGUUCGACAGGGAACGUAUCCCUGAACGUGUUGUGCAUGCACGGGGAGCCAGUGCCAAGGGUUUCUUUGAGGUCACUCAUGAUAUCUCUCACCUUACAUGUGCUGAUUUUCUCCGGGCUCCUGGGGUCCAGACACCUGUUAUUGUCCGGUUCUCUACAGUUGUGCAUGAGCGUGGAAGCCCCGAGACCUUGAGGGAUCCACGUGGUUUUGCUGUCAAGUUCUACACCAGAGAGGUACUGAGGAUAAAUUCUAACUUGCCUCCUAGGGGGAAUAUAUAUACAUCUUAACUGUUCUAUUUUUUGUUAUGUCUUAAAAAGGAACAUUCUUUUUAGAACUGUUGUGAGAUGACACAUCUUGGCAACAUUUUUCUGUCAAUGUAAAGGUUUAGCUGAUUUCAACUAUUGCUUGGUAACUUGAUGUGUACUUUAGCCAUGUAGAUGAUGUCCUUGGCAUGAGCUGUUAUUCAGAUGAACUGAUAGCUCUAUAUUCUUUUACUCAUUGGAAUGAACUGUAUCUUUUUUUUUCCUUAGUUGAAAGCUACCUCCUGUUUAAGUUGACCUUUUACAUUGUCAUGAUGAACUUUUAUGAAAUUAAAUUCUGAUUACCUAUUUGUGACACAGAUACAAGUGUCUUUUGCUUAAAAGAACAAUACAAUGUGGCUCCAUAAUGUGCACAUGGAUAAUCACAGAUUCUCUCAGCAGAAACAGUAAAAUCAAAGAUAUUUCAUAACUGAGUCCAUCUCUGUCCAGUUUCACCUACAGAUUGCUGUGCUGUUUGUUUACCUUUUUUUAACAAUUUUUGACGCCUUAUAUAGUGACCCCGACACUUUAUAUUGAGCUUUUUAUAUCCAAAGGAAUAGUAUCUUAUGAUUUUCUCCGUGCCUUUUUCAGGGUAACUUUGACCUUGUGGGUAACAACAUGCCUGUGUUUUUCAUACGAGAUGGGAUGAAAUUCCCUGAUAUGGUCCAUGCUUUCAAGCCAAACCCAAAGACCAAUUUGCAGGAGAACUGGAGAAUAGUAGAUUUCUUCUCUCACCACCCAGAGAGCCUGCACAUGUUCACCUUCCUCUUUGAUGAUGUUGGCAUCCCACUCAACUACAGGCACAUGGAGGGCUUUGGUGUCAAUACCUACACCUUGAUCAACAGGGAUGGAAAGCCUCACCUUGUGAAAUUCCAUUGGAAGCCUACUUGUGGCGUGAAAUGCUUGCUUGAUGAUGAAGCUGUGACUGUUGGAGGUACCUGCCAUAGCCAUGCGACAAAGGAUCUAUAUGAUUCCAUUGCAGCUGGGAAUUACCCUGAAUGGAAGCUCUACAUCCAGACUAUCGAUCUUGACCAUGAGGAUAAGUUUGACUUCGACCCGCUUGAUGUCACCAAGACCUGGCCUGAGGAUAUCAUCCCACUGCAACCUGUUGGACGGAUGGUCCUGAACAAGAACAUUGAUAACUUCUUUGCGGAGAAUGAACAAAUUGCUUUCUGCCCAGCGAUUAUUGUCCCUGGAAUCCACUAUUCUGAUGAUAAGCUGCUCCAGACGAGAAUCUUCUCCUAUGCUGAUACCCAGAGGCACCGCCUUGGUCCAAACUAUCUGAUGCUUCCUGUGAAUGCACCAAAAUGUGCCCACCACAACAACCACCAUGAAGGGUUCAUGAACUUCAUGCACAGGGAUGAAGAGGUACUAUGUUCUUUGGACUUCUUUCUCCUUUUGCAUGCAAGUGUGUUAGGAUGCAUCUUACCUAUUGACACAUGUAACAUGUGGGAGUUCUUCCUUUAUAGCACUUAUAUCUAUUUUCUCUGCUUCUUUAGGUGAACUACUUCCCUUCAAGGUUUGAUCCUACCCGUCAUGCUGAGAAGGUCCCUAUUCCUUCCCGUGUUCUAACAGGCUGCCGCGAGAAGGUGUGUAUUGUAGUAUGUUUAAAUUCGAACAGUGCCUUUAUGUUAACAAUAUUAUGCUAUGGUGGGCUUGUGGCUGCAUCGUUGUACUAUAUAAUGGCGAAGGUGAGUCAUUGUUGGAUUUUUUUCUUGAUUCUGAGAACCUGGCGUGUGCUGUUGAAUCUGCAGUGCAUCAUCGAGAAGGAGAACAACUUCAAGCAGGCUGGUGAGAGAUUUCGAUCCUUUGACCCUGCCAGGUUUGCUCCCACACCUCAGGCUGUUUGGUUUACAGGCAUAGAAAGACAUUAAGCUGCUGUUUGCCUAAUUCAAGUGUUUUGGUAUCUGAUGACAGGCAAGACCGGUUUAUCCAACGAUGGGUUGACGCACUGUCAGACCCUCGUGUUACCCAUGAACACCAUACGAUUUGGAUCAACUACUGGUCUCAGGUAUUCAUUUUGUUGUUUGUUUUUGGUAAAAUGCUCAGUGGCUACUUGGGCUAUUGCUAACCAUGUACAACAGCUGCGGACAUUUGUGUUUUAUUAUCUUGGUACUGAAACCAUAUUACCUGUGUGCUGCAGUGUGAUGCCUCUCUUGGCCAGAAGCUGGCUUCUAGGCUGAACCUGAAGCCGAACAUGUAAGAUUGACAAGGAAGAAAGCAGGCGCCGGUGGCCGAGGAUGCAACAUGGAGCGUGAUGCAACACAUGUUGGAUCGUGCGAUGUUGAGAACGGCUGUUACACCUAUAUAAUCGAAUAAACAGGGAUGUGCGCGUUGUAGUAUGCUGAUGAUCGGUGGUGGUUAUAUAUCCUGGAACUUUUGGUGUACACAUCUUUUCUGGAAAGACGUAAUAAUAAAGAAGAAUGUGUCAAUGUGGUGGGCAACAGUAGCAGACGAUGUAGUUUACGGUGGCGUUGUUUUUGUCGCCUGUAAUGCAAAACCCUGCUGUGUGCUCGCCUGUCUAUUACAAACAGUGAUGAGUUGUGGCGGUAUGUUUUUGACAGUUUAUUUACUAGUGAGUACAUCUCUGAUUGAUCACGUUCGCCUAGAACCAAAGAACGUGAAGGAACAGUCGGUUCUGGUGUGGUGGUUGCCCCCUCAAAAUUCAGAAAGAACGAACAGAGGCAGCAAGGAUCCCAAUCCUAACCCCAUCUAAAGGGUCUCUCUUUGAACAGAAUUCAGAAAAGCACAGGCAAAAGAGAAGCAGCAAGGAACCCAUACAAAGGGUCUCUUAAAAGGCAGAUUUUUUUGCCAUGUUCUAGCACUACUAUUUCAGCGGUACUUUUUAACGAACGAACAAUGUUUUUCUUACAACAAAUCAGCAUAAGCAUCGUAUAGGAGUUUUACUGAAAGUUAGUUCAAUUUGACAGGAUUUUAUAAGAAUUAUAAUCAUAUAGGAAUUUUAUUGAAACUAUGAUUUAAUAUAGGGGAAAAAUAUCCUAAAUUCCAAAGAGGCCUGUAUCCGUCUGCACAUACAUUACACGGAUUCAGCAUGGCUUUGCCUCACCGUCACCGCAGCAAGAGCAAACAUGACCAACCAUGCUGCCGCAACAGAAAAACAGGCGGCCUGCAAUUGUCCAGCGGGCCGGGAUAAGUGGGCUUGCGGGCAGGCCGGCGUCCCUUGCAACCCUACUCUGCUGCCUUGUCCUUGUCUUCUUCUUCCAUCACCCCCAAGCGUGACCGACGACUGGGCCGACCGCCGCCGCCGACGACGAGCACCACCAGUUACGCGCUUCCCUUCCUUCUGGGAGAAGCCGUGCGCCCAAACCUUAACGUAGCAGGACGCUCAGCACGAGCUGGAGAUGGAGGUGGAGGUGGCCAAGUAUUCGCGGGGGCAGGGUGCUGACUUGAAGGUAAUCCAUUGUUGUGCUCUUGCAAACAAGCUACAAGUGUUAACCAUUCUACUUUAGGAUGAAUAUGCUGGCCUGCUAUGCCACUGUCAUUUUCUCCUGAAACUGCACAUUGACUAGCUUGGUUUUGGAAUGGCUCUGUAGGCGCUGCGGGACAAGAAGUUGAAAGGGCAGCUCACUGUAAAAGAGAAGCUAUAUGGCCAAUCUGCAAAAGCUGCUGCAAAGGCAGAAAAGGUCACCUCUCUUUCCAUUGCAUCGUUGUGGAUAUGCAAUUGGUGUCUCACUAGAAAUCUUAGGUGAAAUUGUGAACAUUAUGCGGGUGAAACAGAGAGUCUGAUAUUUAAAACCUGUGAUUGGUUAUGGUAUAUGUAUGCUAUUGUACCCCACAAUUGAUGUUUAGCUGUUUUGACCUCAAGGGAAUCCAGUUUGGAUGAACUGACGAAGUGAGUAUACGCACAUACAUACAGGUUUAGCAUUUUACAAGCAUUAUAUGAGUCACUGAAAGCCUGAAACAUUACUGCCAAAAAGGACAAAGCCUCAGCAAGAUCUGUAUGUUUUUUUUUUUGGGUACAUAUUGGCUUGCUAAAAGUACUAUUGCUGAGCUGAAAAGACUUGCUUUGGAGCAGAGCUUUGUUGUCUUAGAUCAGCUCCUAGCUCUUCCUCUGAGCAGAACUUGGACAUCAAUGUGGUCUCUAAUAUAACACUUUGACUAGCAAUAUUAAUAAAAGUAUAUUAUGUUAAACAGAGAUAUACGUUAUAAAAGUAGUAUUCCGAAUAAAGCUAGCAAUGCUGAUAUAGUCCUAUCAAGCUAUAUAAAUAUUAUACUCCCUUCGUUCCAAAUUAUAAGACAAUUUGGAUUUUCUAGAUACAUUUCUUUUACUAUAUAUUUAGACAUAGUGUAUAUCUAAGUGCAUAGCAAAAGCUAUGUGUCUAGAAAUGCCAAAACGUCUUAUAAUUUGGAAAGGACGGAGUAGACAUUGAUAGAUGAAGAUAAAAAGAAAAGUUUAACUUAAAGAUAAACCUAGAUGGACUUAUAUUUGUGAUAAGAGGAAGUAUGUAAAACGGCAUGCCUACCUUUUUGAAGACAGUAUGAGCUUAAAUAUGUUGAUCUUUUAGAUUUUUUUAGUUUGAUUCACUUUUCUCAUGACCCUCAUUCUUGAUGGUUAUACUCUGAAUCAGCUGUUGUUAAUAUUCUUCUUUAAUGAAAUAACAUGCAGCUCUCCUGCCCAUUUGAGGGAAAAAAAAACUGUUCUUAAUUUCAAAGAUUUGUCCUUGUCUGAUUUCUGCUACUCCGUUUUGCAGUGGCUUAUGCCUAAUGAUGGAGGUAUUUUAGAGCCUGAUCAUUUGGAGAAGACAUAUAGAUUUUCACAAAAGGAUAUAUUGACGGAGGUGGAUCUUUUGAGUUCAAGAAAACCAUUUGAUAUGAUCUUACCUGGUAAAUCUUUUAGUCAAUGUUAGUGUUCUAAGAAUUUCUGUCAACAUAACUUGUUUGUCGCUCUUGCCUAAACCAGCUGUUAACUGUUUGAUAAUAACAACCUUGUUGAUUCUAUAUGAUCCUUUAGAGUAUACAAUAACUCAAAAAAUGCCCUUUUUGCUGAUAUUUAUAGUUUUAUACAUGACACUGUACUGAAUCCAACAUGCAUGUCCGGUGCCAGUUUUGAUUGAUUGAGAAAUCUGCAUAUUCAAUUUUGUUAGCCUACCUUACUAUUAACUUUUCUGAAUAUAUGAUUACUGACUGCUAUGGGAUCUGACUGACGCUUCUAUUGUGCAGUACUUGGUCCUUAUCAUAUAGGAUACACAUCAAAUGGACGCUACAUGCUAGUAGGCGGACGAAAAGGCCACCUUGCAAUGAUGGAUAUGUUGCAUAUGAAUCUUAUCAAGGAAUUUGAGGUAAGUUCUUUUACUAUUGAAGCAUUUCCCUCCAUACGGGCUUUACUUCACAUACCCUUGUUUGUGCCAUGUUCAAAUGUCAAAAUAUUUCCAGCAUCACCCAUUUUUGGUGUGCUUCAUGGAUAACGAUUGAUUUGGUUUUAAUUUCUUAUUUUCUUUAGGUGAGGGAAACUGUUCGUGAUGUGACAUUCUUACACAAUGAGCAGUUGUAUGCAGUCGCUCAAAAAAAGUAAUUUCUUUUUACUUUGCUGGAACUGUGUACUAUGUCAUCAUUGCUCAUGAAAUAUUUAACAUGUAUUAACUGUUGGCCUGAAAAAUAUGAAAUAAAGGAAUAUUAAAAUUCACAGAAAUCACUGUUCAGGGUCUCAAAUGAGAACAUAUACCAAAUUGUUGCGAAAUCUGUUGAUCAACCAGGUCAUAAAAUUAUUUCCAAAUGGUUGCUGCGUGUUCCUCAUAGAAAUAUCCUGAAGCCAUAUUAUUUCAUGCAACAUUCAUUUUUGUGAACAAUAAGCCUAUUUCUGGCAGCUCAUUGAACUUCUUAUACAUAAUCUGAAUCUCAAUGAUGUGAGGUAGGAGCAGCUGAAAAUUGCCAUUUGAGGUCUGAGCUCUGACUGAUCUGGAUUGCUUGUCUGAAUUGUUCAUCAUUGCUUUACUGAGGCAUUGAAUUAUUCUAUAAUUUGAAAUGUUUGUACUAGGCUAGAUCAAGCAAAAUUGUAUAUGCUUAUAGUUGAUGCUUUAUUGUUCUAGGCAGUUGAUUAUGGCUGUUGGUCUCUGUUUCCUGUCUACUAUUAACAUUUCAUAGUUACUCAUGAAACAUUUUUCAAACAGGUACCCCUACAUCUAUAAUCAACAUGGUACAGAAAUUCACUGUCUGAAGGUAAGCAUGAUGGCACAAUAAUGCGAUGACAUUACUGUUCAAAUGUUGUUUUCACAUGCUGAUGGGACAAUUAUAGAAGAAAAUAUUCAAUAAUAGAAUCAUAUUCUCUUAUUUGCAUUCAUGAAAACUGCACUAUAUGUCAAACUGAAAGUGGAUCUCUUUUUUGAGAAUAACUGAAAGUGGAGAUCAGCUACAUGUGACUAUGUGAGUCUCAAUAACAUUGGUACUUUCCGAGAACACAUACCUUAUAGUUCCGUUGGCUAAUUUUCCUGCAAUACUGAAAAUAAAAGUUUGCAUACAUUAAAUAAUAAAUUAGCACAUGUUCCCUCCGUUCCAAAUUGUAAGUCGUUUUAGCUUUUCUAUAUACAUAGCUUUUACUACGUACCGGAUGUACAUUAUGUCAUACAUAGUAGAAGGAAAAGCUAUGUAUCUAGAAAAGCUAGAACAACUUACAAUUUGGAAUGGAGGGAGUACUUCACAGUUCAGUCAUCAAAUGCCCUGCAUCCAGGAGAUCAUUUGUCACUUAAUCAAUUCAGUACUUUUUUUAUUUUCCUUUUAAAUCCCACUGGGCCUUCAAAUGAACUUAUUAGACAGAAUUUCUUUGGAAUAUAAUGCUGUGCGCUGGUGAGCAUUGUAACAGUUUAGCAACAUAGAUUUUGAGAGAUGUGUAUCAGUCUCAGCCUGUCAUCAAUGCAUAGACGUGUUAUCAUCCUAAACUCAGUGAAGAUGUUUUCUUUUGUGAGUGUGAUCGCUUCUAUGUUGGCAGGAACAUGGAAAAGCAUUGAAACUCCAAUUUCUGUCUAAGCAAUUCCUCUUGGCCUCAAUAAACAGCUUUGGGCAGCUCCACUACCAAGAUGUGAGCACUGGUGAAAUGGUUGCAAAUUAUAGGACAGGUCUGGGCCGUACCGAUGUUAUGCAGGCCAAUCCUUACAAUGCUGUCAUUGGCCUUGGGCAUGCUGGUGGAAAAGUUACCAUGUGGAAGCCAACCAGUGUGAAACCCCUUGUUACCAUGCUGUGUCAUCAUGGCCCGGUGACUGCUGUUGCAUUUGACAGGGGCGGCAAUCUUAUGGCAACAGCAGGUGUUGACAGGAAGAUAAAGAUCUGGGACCUGAGGAAGUAUGAGGUUGUGCAUUCUUACCCAGUACGUGCUCAGUCCUUGGAUUUUAGCCAGAAGGGGCUGUUAGCCUGCAGCAAUGGAUCUCAGGUAGAGAUAUACAGGGAUUUUGGUGGGCAUGAUUAUAAGCUUUAUAUGAAGCACAAAAUAAUGAAGGGCUAUCAGGUUGGGAAGGUUUUGUUCCGCCCAUACGAAGAUAUUCUGGGGAUUGGGCACUCGAUGGGCUUUUCUUCCAUUCUUGUUCCAGGAUCUGGUGAGCCGAACUUUGAUACCUUUGUUGACAACCCCAUGGAAACUACCAAACAGAAACGUGAGAAGGAGGUGCAUGCUCUCCUUGAUAAACUCCCGCCGGAGACUAUCAUGCUCAACCCAAACACGAUAGCCACUGUAAGAGCUCCAAAGAAGAAAGAGAAGAAGACCAAGAAGGAGAUUGAGGAAGAGAUGGAAGAUGCCAUUGAGGCUGCCAAGAACAUUGAGCGCAAGAAGAAGACCAAGGGUAGGAGCAAACCGAGCAAGCGGGCCAAGAAGAAAGAGGAAGAUGUUUUCAAAGCCAAGAGGCCCUUCCUGGAGCAAUCCGAUAAGGUCGAUGGACGACCUGACAAGAAGCAGCGGAUAGGCGAAGAGGUCGAACUCCCAAAAGCCUUGCAGCGGUUUGCCAAGAAACCACAAUCAUAAUUGUCGUUAACACAGAGUAGGGAUUCACAUUGGUUUGUGAUGCAUGGCUAGUGAGCCUUUAUGAUUUAGCUGUCCAGUAUGUAAAAUUCCAGUGCGAGGAUAUAAUGCACAGAAGAAUGUGCCGAAAUUUUGUCUGAACUAUUGGUAUUCCAGUGAGCAUGGCCGUGCCCCCUCUUUGGUUAUCGUAGAUUCUAUUGCCUUUUUCAUUCAGAUGAAGUAGAUAAUUCCUAGGUUUAUUGUGGAUCAUCAAAGGCACUCUUUGUGGUCAAGUACCGAAGAAUCAGGACUUUGAACCAGAAGCACUCAUUCGCUGCUGUCCAUUACGCUUUAGUUUUGGUUCAUCUACUGUACCUUUGAAGGGCUCUGCUUGUGCAAAAUUGCAGUCAAGGUUAUCGAGUCGUUGGAUCAGUUAUUCAGUUGCGACUAUUGGUGCCACCGUGAUGAAGCUAAAACAAAUUAGAUGAGGAUGCGCUUGUCUUGUAGGUAUGAAAAUUUAAAUUGCAACUCUGGUAAAAAUUUGAUCUAGUAUUGGGUUUUUAAAUUUUUGUGGGCGAAAGUCCAGCAGGCUAGACGUUCGCCCGAGAAGGGGAUGAUCACACGCGGGAAGGGUUGGGCUACCCUGGAUGCAAAUCUCCCUUGCCUUAAGCGGUUGUGUGGAUUAUCAAUCUUGAGAUCUGUCGAUUUAGUCUAAGACCUUCAUAAGUGAUCAUAGAAAUAAAGUUAUCAUUUUUUCCCCAAGAUUUGCCAAUGUUAGUUGGGAGGUUUUAACAAUUUAAACAAGUUACUCCAUACAAAAGCAUAUAAGCAUCUCUAAUAGGGCAACCAAAUCAUUUUGUAAAGAUAAAUAGGGCUAUCAUUAGACAAAAACUUCUCUAAAUAAUGUGCCAGGCGUGUUGGCACGGUCAAAAAGGUUAGAAAUAUAAAUAAAAAAGUAGGUUGGGUUAUAUUUAAAUAUGAUGUGAAAAACAAUUAAAAAAUUCCUGGAUGGUGGCUCCACCACUGCCUGUGCCAUCAUUGACCAAGGCAAAGGUUUGGGUUAUCCAAGGCCUUGUUUAGAUCCAAAAAAAUUUUAGAUUUUGAUACUGUAACACUUUUAUUUUUAUUUGAUAAACAUUAUUCAAUCAUGGAGUAACUAGGCUUAAAAGAUCUGUACAAUUAGUUUUUGUUUUCAUCUAUAUUUAAUGCUCCAUACAUGUGCACAAGAUUCGAUGUGAUGAAAAAUCUUGAAAAGUUUUUUAUUUUUGGGUGAAGCCCAAGUCACGGCGGUCUGGUCACUUCCUGGCCAAAUGCCGUCUGCUCUGGGUUAAGUCAGUAGCAGCCUCAACGUCACUGUUCUAACUUCAAAUUUGGAUUUGGAACGGAGGGGAGUACUUUUUGAACGGCUGUAUGAAUGCAAAUUAUCCGCAGGUCUUCUGGUCGUUGCUAAUCCAAUCAAAAGAUGAUGUAGCACAACUUCAACGAUCUUAUCGCUUUGAAAAACAGAGAGUAGUGCGUGUUAACAGUGCAUUAUUCGGCUAGACUGGUAGCCCACUUGCUGUCAGGACUGCUAAGAUUUUCACGGCGAAAAUAAGCAAGUCUGACUAUUUAUUUGACCACGGCAUUAUAUAUGCACACUUAUUCAGCCGCAACAAGGCAUGACCAACCAUGAUGCUGCUUCUCAGCAUCCUCCUGCUGUCGCCCAUGACCACCACGGCAGGGCAUAGCGACGAGAGAGCUCUUGUGGAUUUCAGGGCAAAGAUUACCACCAACUACGGGGUGCUGGCCUCGUGGAACAGCAGCACCAGCUACUGCAGCUGGGAGGGCGUCACAUGCGGCCGCCGGAGACGUGUGGUUGCUCUAGACCUCCACUCCCACGGGCUCAUGGGCACCAUCUCCCCUGCCAUUGGCAACCUCACCUUCCUGAGGGCGCUCAACCUUAGCUUCAACAGCCUGCAUGGUGGCAUCCCUCCAAACAUAGGUUCCCUCCGCCGCCUCUGGUAUCUAGACCUGCGGGACAAUUCGCUUGUCGGCGCCAUCCCAAGCAACAUCAGCCGUUGCACCAGCCUCAAAAUAUUGGUGAUCGCUGACAACCAGAAGUUGCAAGGAAGCAUACCAGCCGAGAUCGGCAACAUGCCGAUGCUAACUGCCCUCGAACUCUACAACAACAGCAUCACUGGAACCAUCCCACCAUCUCUGGGGAACCUUUCCCGGCUCGCAGUCCUGUCCCUCAAGGGCAACCAUCUACACACAACUCUGGUUCCUUCAGCUCUCUAUCAACAACCUCUCAGGACUGCUACCGCAUUCACUGUACAACCUGUCAUCUUCGAAAGUGUUUUACGCUGCUGUGAACAACCUACAUGGUCAUCUCCCAGAAGAUCUCGGAAGAAGCCUGCCUAAAGUGCAACUCUUUGGGCUUUCAGGUAACCGAUUGACUGGAACUAUUCCAAUGUCACUCACGAAUCUCUCCAGCCUCCAAACAUUUGACAUAUCCAGCAAUGAGUUUACCGGGGUUGUUCCUUCCGCAUUGGGCAAACUGCAAUAUCUUCAAUGGUUUACUCUGGAUGCAAACCUACUUCAUGCAAACAAUGAGCAAGAAUGGGGAUUCCUUACUUCCUUGACAAACUGCAGCAGAUUGCAAGUACUAUCGAUCGGAUGGAAUAGGUUCGCGGGGAAACUACCAAGUUCAGUGGCCAAUUUGUCCACCAGCAUCCAAUUGCUACGGAUUCGCAGAAACAAUAUUGCUGGUGUUAUCCCAUCAGGCAUCGGAAAUUUGAUUGGCCUUCAGCAGCUUAUUCUUGGCGAGAACCUACUCACAGGGGCCAUUCCAGUAAGUAUAGGGAAGCUGACACAAAUGAUCAAGCUAUAUCUGGGCUUAAAUAACUUCUCCGGAACCAUUCCAUCCUCAAUAGGAAACCUCAGUGACCUAUUUGCACUUGGUAUAAAUUCCAACAACAUGGAGGGAUCAAUUCCUCCUAGCUUUGGAAAUUUGAAGAAGCUCAUAGCUCUAGAUCUAUCCAGUAACCAUCUCAGAGGCUCCAUCCCAAAUGAAAUUAUGAACUUGACAUCAAUCUCAGCAUAUUUGGUUUUGUCGGACAACUUACUGGAGGGACUUCUUCCUUUUGAAGUUGGCAAUCUGAUAAAUCUUGAACAGCUUGCUCUAUCAGGAAACCAGCUGUCUGGCAAAAUUCCUGACACCAUCAGCAACUGCAUAGUAUUAGAAAUUCUCCUAAUGGAUGGCAAUUCAUUUCAAGGAAACAUUCCUCCAGCUUUCAAGAAUAUGAAGGGGCUUGCUGUACUGAACUUGACGAGCAAUAAGCUGAACGGAAGCAUCCCUGGGGAGCUAGGCAGUAUCACUAACUUGGAGGAGCUGUACCUUGCCCACAAUAAUCUAUCAGGAGAAAUCCCAGAACUCUUUGGCAAUUCAACAUCACUGAUCCGUCUCGAUCUGUCCUUCAACAAUUUACAGGGAGAAGUACCAAAAGAAGGGGUUUUCAAGAAUCUAACUGGACUAUCAAUUGUUGGAAACAAAGGAUUAUGUGGUGGAAUACCACAGCUUCAUCUUCAAAGAUGCCCAAACUCUGCUGCGAGGAAGAACAAGAAAGCCAUGCCAAUGGCUCUUAGAAUAGCAGUGCCUGCAGUAGGAGCUAUUUUGGUCCUAUUCUCUGGUCUUGCUUUGGCUGUAUUUCUUUGCAAAAGGUCUCAGGCUACAACGACAAAAGAGCAACAGCCACCUCCCUUCAUUGAGAUUGAUCUUCCAAUGGUUUCAUACAAUGAAUUACUCAAAGCAACUGAUGGGUUUUCAGAAGCCAAUCUCCUGGGUAAGGGAAGAUAUGGUUCGGUGUACAGAGGCAAUGUAGAAAAUCAGGGCAUUGUAGUUGUAGUGGCAGUCAAGGUAUUUAAUCUCCAGCAACCAGGAUCAUACAAAAGUUUCAAGGCUGAAUGUGAGGCACUGCGAAGAGUGAGGCAUCGAUGCCUUGUAAAGAUUAUCACAUCCUGUUCAAGCAUUGACCACCAAGGUCAAGACUUCAGAGCACUUAUCUUCGAAUUCAUGCCUAAUGGAAGCUUAGAUAACUGGGUCCACUCAGAUACUGAAAAAGAAAGUGGAAAUGGAACACUCACCAUGGAACAAAGGUUAGAUAUCGCUGUUGACAUUGUGGAUGCUAUAGAAUACCUCCACAAUGGCUGCCAGACAUCGAUUAUCCACUGCGAUCUCAAGCCCAGUAAUAUUCUCCUUACUCAUGACAUGAGGGCUCAUGUUGGAGAUUUUGGCAUCGCUAGAAUUAUAAAUGAAGCUGCAAGCACUUCUUCAAAUUCAAACAGCAGCAUCGGAAUAAGAGGCUCCAUUGGAUAUGUUGCCCCAGGUAAUAUCGAUGCUUCCUGCCUGCUUUACAUAAUUAGAUUCAGUUAGCUGUAUGCUCAUUAAACAAGUUUGUGCAUACCUGUUUGUGCUCUGUUUCAAUCUAUUGUAGAAUAUGGAGAAGGGCUUGCAGUAUCAACUUAUGGUGAUGUAUACAGUCUCGGCAUUACUUUGAUUGAGAUGUUUACAGGAAGGAGCCCAACAGAUGAUAUGUUCAGAGAUGGGUUAAACCUGCAUUACUUUGCUAAGGCAGCUCAUCCUGAUAACGUUAUGGAAAUAGCAGAUUCCAGAAUCUGGCUGCGUAAUGAAGGAAAUAAUAGAAAUGCUACAAGAGAUAUAGCCAGAACAAAGGAAUGUUUGGCUGCUAUCAUCCAGCUUGGUGUACUUUGCUCAAAGCAAUCACCCAAAGAGUGGCUGUUAAUAAGUGAUGCUGCUGUAGAGAUGCAUAAUAUCAGAAAUACAUUCCUCAGUGCUCACUGAUAAAAGUCGUGUGAGAUCAGAAGACUUGAAUAAUAAUCACCGAUUCACCGUACAAAGGUCAUUAUGUUUCUGAUAAUUCUUAUUGAAUUUCAAACACUUUUUGUCAUUUUUCUGAGCAUGUUGAAAACUUAUCAAUUGGUGUGGUGCCGUACCAUCCACUUUCUAUGUCUCAUUGUUUAUAGUAUUUUUGUAUUUCUUGAGUUAUGAAUAAAUGAGGAAGUCAUGACAAUGUCUCUUCAGAAUAGUAGUGCCUACAACAGACAGAGAGCUAUCCUGGAUUAAUUUCAGGGUUUGCAUUAGUUUUCUUUAAUCAUUACAGAAGUUCCAGGGCCAUCUCAGUUCAAUGAGAUAGAUGUUCCAAUGGUGUCAUAAAAUCAAAUACUUAAAGAAAAAGAUGGUAUCUCAGAAGUCAGACUCACAAGCCAAUCUUCUAGGAAACAGGAAAGAUGUUACAUAUACAGCACAAUAUCAUUAGUGAAACCAUUUCUGGUGCCAUCUACGGUAUAGGUAAGAUCAACAUCUGUUCACUCAGUCCAUUUUAGUCACCCAUCCCUAACAGUAACAGUGCCCUUUUGUUCUAGGCUUUUGGUACAGUUCUGUGAUUGAGACCUUUGUUUUACUCCAUUUAAUUCAACAUUCUUAAGCAUCAAUAUUCAACACUCCAUUAUAACUGGACAGUGUUCAUACUGCAGGACAUAAGCAGUUGAACUUUUUCAUCUUUUUGCCAAUUCAUUCAAGGUACAGCAAAUUCUAAAGUAAACAAAAGAAUAUCUACUUUGCUGUGUGGUAUAAAUCACCUUAUGCACCAGUUCAUAUAAGAAUAGCUAGAUAACUACAAGGCAUAAUGACUAGAUUAUGAAGACUUAACUAUGCUAAACACGCCACUACUUUGCCUAACACCCUUCUAGGGAAUAACUUAUGCUCUGAAAUGAAAAAAAAAAGUUGAUGAAGAUUUACAUGUCAUUGUUUGCCCUCGUAGCAAUGCUGAACAUGCGAGUUGUCAACAUCUACAUACUUGGACCAGUAUGUCUUGUACUUGGAAAUGGCAAGGUCAAGCCAGGGCUUAUAAUUCCCAUUGUAAUGAACUACUGCAGCAUUAUCGAUCUCAGCAAUGUCAACAGCUGGAUCAUAGCCCAGGCCCAAGACAUGCCAAGUACGAUUCAACGGGUAUGUCAGGUUGUAGAAAGUAAUUAAACCUGGAGGCAAUGUACCCAGCUUCCACAGCUUACGAUCCUCAUUCUGCAACAGGUCUUCUCUUAGUAAGUGAAACAACAAUAUUCAUUACAGCUUCACUAAAUGAGGGGCAAAAUGCAGUAAGACAAUGCAAUCAGCAGUAGAUUUCUUAUGUCACUACUUACCAAAUCUUGCCAAUAAUGGUAUAUUCCAGUGAUAUUUCGCUUCUUCCACUCCUUGAGGUCAAACAUGUUCAUUCCGAAAGCCCACCCACAAGCAUGCGGAUCGAAGUUCUCUGAGAUCUUUGGGUGUGAGAAGUUGAGAUAAGUGUCAAAGCGAUGGAAACUCUCUUUACAGGUUUCCACAGCGCCAUUUACCAUCCCUUUAAGAUCAAUAUCCCAAAGGGGUGUCAAAUCCUUCUGUACAACAACAUCAUCAUCAAGAAACAGUAUCUUCUCAAGCUUCGGAUGAAUUUCUGGCAUGUAGAACCUCAAAUGGUUGAGCAUGGACAGAUAUUUGGGAUUCCUGUAUUUCAGAUUCUCGUUUCCAUCAGAGAGUGAUGACGGAUCGUGUGCUUUGAAGUAAUAUUCUUUGAGGCGAGCUGACUCCAGUUGCCGAAGAACAGAACAGUAUGACGAAUUGAGCCAUUUGAAAUUGUCUAUGUUCUCCACAUGAACAGUUGCCAGUUGAGGAGGAUGAGUAAUGAACCACAUCUUCAUGGCUGCAAAAUUAAGUCUAUCAGUGACAAUAUGGAACACGUGCUUCUCUGGUUCAUUGGCAUUUGUCACAGUUGAUCUGACAACUACUGAGGCUGCAAGCACAUUAUCAGAAAAUAUAGCAUAGUGGUAGAGUGACCGAUCCUCAAGCUUUUCUUUAUCUUGUUCUGCCUUCAAAGCAGCAGCAUGAAAAUGUUCCUUGGUCGCAUCAUCACGAAAAUAAUAAUCAGUUGUCAGCUGCAUAUGUAGGCAGUGCAAGGGCAUGGGUACUGUCUUCGCAGCAUGCUGAACCAGAAAUGAGUUCUGUUUCUUCACUGCAUCAAUAUUUAGUUCCGUUGACUGCAACAUAGCACGCAAUUUUCUUGACACUUCACCCGAGCUGUACAGAACAUCUCUAGCCGAAGACAGCACAUGCCCCAUUGCUUUUGCUCUCUCUAAGGCACUGCAGAAAUAAGGGGUCAUAAGCACCUUACUCUUUAACACAAAAGUGGGAAAGAGCCAAACUGAUUAAUCUUCAGAAGGGAAAUUUAGUACCUAGAAUCGAGUUCACUGUCAAUAAGUGCAUCCCCGAUAGAUGUUUGGCUUUCUUUUAUGCACUUCAUGAGCAAGGCAUACAUGUCUGGUUCCUUCUGGGAGAGUGCAAUAGUGGCAUAUAACUUGGCCAUUAUUAUCUGAUCUUUCAUGAGCCUUAGUGUUGAAUCUGUAUUAAUAAAGCGGAACUCCUGCCUCCAUAUGUUGUAGCUGCCUCUAACUUUAUUGUUAAAGUUCAUUGAGCUAUUUAUUGCUGCAUUUCGCAUCUCAAGUUCAACCUUCUUAUCCAUCUGAAGCAGCUCCUGAACCCUCCGCUCCUUUCUUCUACGUCGAAAUACCUGCAAGAGCAAUAGCAGCAAACCAACACUCAGAUGGGCAGAAAUAACACAUCACACAGUAAGCCAAACAAAAAAUCUUGAAACACAAGUAAGUAACCACUGCACUGCAUUACAUAGUCACUACAGAGGGAGGAUGGAAUUGACCUGUCGCCUUAAUUUAAUCGGAUCAACAAUUGUAGUUGCCAGAGUUUCAGCACUUGAAACAUUGGUGGUUCCUGAUCCACUGGCGAGUAGAUGAUCCCUGGCAGCAACUUGCUGGCGCAACAGCAGAAGAAGCACCCGUUAGAGCUACAAACAAAAUAGAACAACCUACCAACUUGUCCCCACAAACAACACAGAUAAUUUUUAUUUUUUUCAGAACAUACUGUUCCGGCUACUGGCUGGCUAUCUCUGGGCAACCAAGGGUUCUCCCAGAUAGAGGACGAACCGAAUUCUCUGGCGGUGACUUUGAACAGCUUGAUCCGGCCAUGCUGGUCAGUGUACGCGAUCGUCUUUUCAGCCUUAUCCACAUCCUGCUAACCAUUCACCGUGCAAACAUUAGUGUGGCGAGCGAAGCAACACAAUGCAAUCGCGUGCCCUGAGCAGCCAAAUUCAGAUAGAUAAAUAAUAAAGAGUGACCUGUAGCUUGCUGCAGCCAGGGCAGUUCUCGCGAGUCCCGCGGUCUCUGACAAUCCAAAAUCACACGGCAACAGCGAAGUCAGAGACUUUACUGAAUCGCGUAAUGAGGAAGGAAGAAGGAUGGAUGGCGAUGGUUUCUUACGCUCGGUGACCCGAGAAGAGCCACUGCGACACCGCUGAUCUGGCGGCGGGCACAUGGAUCACGACCUGCGGAGGAGGAGAAGCGGCGGGAACAAUGAGAAAAGGAAAGAGCCCUGGUUCUAAGGGUUGGAACGCAGUGAACCUAACAUUUCGCCGUUGCGGUGAACAGUGCGGGGGUGAGCGGCGACGCGGUGGGUACAAACCUGGAAGGAGAGGAAGCAGAGGAGGAUGAGGAGGAGGACCAGGAGGCCCGGGCGCCGCCGCAGUGGGAGCGUGGUUCUGGGAUACGCUGCCGCGGCCGCGGCCGCCGCCGACGAGGCGGAGGAGGAGGAGGACGCCAUGGACCGGGAGUGGAGUGAUGGGAUGCGGAUUUUUUUUUUUUUUUAAAAAAAAGAAAUAUUUAGGGAGAUGGAUUUUGGGGGACGAGAGCUGGGUGUACUAGGUACUAGCAGGAAGAAUGACGAAUCUUUUUCUGGCCAUAACGGUUAACGGGAAUGGACGGCACGUUUGUCGGGAUUACGGUUCUUCUUGUGGCCUAUAAAAAUGCCACCUUCACCCGUGUCCGUGUUAAAAGAGUGAUGAUAUGUGCUAAACGAGUGACCACGGCAAUCACUUUGAUUUGGAGGAAAGAGCGAUCAGGCAAUGCCUAGACGAGGGUUAGAUAAGUAUGGUGUGAUACGGAACAUCAAUGGUUGGCCUACCUCUACUUUUUUGUUAAGGUGGGAGAGAAAAGUCUAUGAAUAAAUCAGCUAACAGUAGUACUUUCUGUCAUGGUUUAUCAGCCAAACGAACAACUGUCAUCUAAGCAUUUUGCUGACGUGGUAAGAUAGUUAUUGAAGAAAGAGAGUAAAAAUUAUAGAAAGUUAGAAACCAUGGCUACACGAGAACAAGACAUAAAGGGAUGUGACUGGUAGAAAAUGAAGAGACAAUAAAUGUUAUUGGAUAAAAAAUUAUCUCGUAGAAACUAUCCAUUGGAAAUAUAGUUUCUAUGUAUAGUGUCUUUGAAAAUUAAUAAGUAUAACAUUGAGACUGCUCUAAGAAACCAAUGUUUUAUUAAGAUUAGUGUGCUUGUAUUGCACGUUGUCUCUAGGAAAUGUCUUCUUUAAGAUACCAAGUGACUUUAAGAGAGGGAUAAUAAAGCAUUUUAGAAUCUUUUCAUAUGUUCCAUAAGGGCGUAGUGUAGAUGACGGUGCUCGUAAAGAGCAUCUAGGUGUGAUGUGUAAAGAGUUGAUGUCACUAACUCACUAUAGAAACAUUGUUGUGGAGUAAAUGGGACUAAGGUUGUGAUAGAUACAAAACCAUAAUACUCUGGACUCAAGACCGCGUUGCUCUUCUUUAGUUAGACUGUUAGACCUUGUUCAGUUAAUCCCCUAUCAAGAGGAUUAGAAGGAAUUGAGAGGAUUUAAUCCUCUUUAAUCUCCUUCAAUCCCUCCAAUUCCUACCAAAUUGAACAAACCCUAACUUGUACUUUUAAAUCUAAGUAUACUUUGAACCUAACAACAUAUCUACAACCUAACAAUUGCCCAUCAUAGUUCCUCUAAAAAAGUUUCGCCUUCUUUCUGAGAUUAUAGGACAUACUACAAUUAAGUUCAGAAAAAUGUUGCACAAAAUUACAAUUGAGGUUUAUGCAUUGGAGCCAGCACUUGGAAGUUUCUAAGGUUGCACACAAAUUAGCAUAAAACAGUUCUACUUUAUGAAUUCACACUUAGAGUAUAAAUUCUAGAGAGAGAAAUAACAAUGGCAGAAUAGUAUGGUGCAGUGCUAGCAUGCCAAGGAUCAAAAAGUGGGUCAAUAGUCAAGUCACCCCUGGGACAUGCCUACCUCCUUUCCGUAAUGCUACUAGACAUGGGAUCGGGAUACAUAAUCCACAUGUGUGCUUAGCAGUGUGAAGAGAUGGACUUGAAACACACUUCCUUGUGCCGACUGAUGACAUCUGCAGGUAGGCUUAGUUCCAACCAAAUUACAGAACUUUUGACCACCCAGUGGGAAAUGCAGAAUUGGAGGCCUAAAUCCUAGGGCACCAAAUCCUUAAGUGACUCAAAAUCAUUUAUAAAUCCCCAUUACCACCAAAAGUUAUUGCUUGUUAAUCUAAAGCGUUUCUGGACAGCCUUUGUUAGUGGGCAUCCCACUAGAAAUGUCGAUAAUAAAGGAAUGCAGAGUGCCGCCACAUUGCUUUAUUUGGAUUAGCUUAAACCAGCUACAGAGGGAGUAUGACCAAAUCUGUAUGGGCAAGCAAUGAUUCAACAUCACUUUCUGUCUCAAGAUUUUCAGCAAUUAUAAUAUAUAUUUCUUCUAUAUAAUAACAAUGGUUGAUAAAAUCUUUGUUGUAGUGAUUAGAGUAUUUGUUUUCUUCACAUUUGGCUAUAAAAGUUCAGAACUUGUACAGAACCAUGACUAGCAGAAAAAUGGACUGAAUGACCAUGACUGGAACUAUUGUAAGUGCAAUCUGAUGCAAUUCAACUCAGACAAGACUUCCAUGGAAGAAUGGUUGAAUUUUAUGCAUAUGCCAACUAAAAAGUCAUCAUCUUUGUGUACCGCUACACUGUUACAUUGAUCAUCAUGAUCGCCGUAAACUUCGUCAUGACAACAAAAAUUGUGGUCUACUACCUUUACAACGUACCUCCGCAUCAGAAUCGAUCAGUUCAUCCUAAAUGUCCUCAUGACCAUGCCAUGCAUCUACCUGCCCCUGGAGCUGGAGUUGUUCCUAGCGCUGUCACUCCUAGGGGACUGCACCUGACUGCGACGCGAGGACGAGGAGCUGUUCCUGGGCUCCCUCAUCACCCUGCUCUUCACGGACUCGAUCUUCUCCAGUGCCUCCACCACUUCCUUCAUGGAUGGCCGGCUCUUUGGGUCACCGUUCAGGCACUUGAGGGUCAGCUGAGCAGCCAGGAGGGCUCCUUUGGGAUUGUACUGCCCCUCCAGCCCACUGUCCAUCAGCUGGCUAAGCUUCCUCCGGUCAGACAACAAUGGCCUUGCCCAGUUUACCAAGUUCACCUUCUCGCUCUGGCGGCUUGGGUCCAACGCCCUCAGACCAGAGAUCAUCUCCAGUAGUACAACACCAAAGCCAUACACAUCACUCUUCACAUACAGGUGGCCUAGUUCAUGAAAGAUGCAAUCAGUUAACAUUUAGCUCUAUGAAAAGAGCAUUUCCCUUAGUAUGCAUUUAUGAUGCUUACACAAAUUGUCAACAAUAAUAAGGAAUAAACAUAUGGGAGGGAGAAAAACCCUGAUAUACAUACCGGUAGAAACAUACUCUGGAGCUGCAUAGCCAUAGGUUCCCAUGACUCUUGUUGUCACAUGAGACUCCCCACCAUCUGGACCAUGCUUGGCUAAUCCGAAGUCUGAGAGCUUCGCGUUGAAGUGCUGAACAUGAUAUCGGUGUGUGUUGAUUAUAGUAUCGCUCAGGUAACAACAGUUCGUUUUUUUUUGUUUUUUUUUUGACGAGACCAACAGUUCGUUAUCAGUAGCUCUGGAAAGAGUAUUUUACCGAAUCCAGUAAGAUGUUGGAAGCCUUGAAGUCUCGGUAGAUGAUCUGCCUUUCUGAUGAAUGAAGAAAUGCGAGGCCACGAGCUGCACCAAUGAGAAUCUUCAGCCUGAGGCUCCAAGGCAGCGGCUCAGAAACCGCCCCUCCUGUCAAUGGUGAAUAAUCAGUAUUAAUAUUACAACUAGAAAAUAAGAUGUUUCACACAAACAAAAUACCCUGAAUGGCCCAGAAAUAGUAACAGGGAAAACAAGUGGAACCAACUUUUUCAUCAUGAAUUUCCAUUUUGACUCGGCAAGGAUAAAUGAAGGCUGAAGCAACAAGAUAUCGUACAGGUCUGGGCAAUUUGGCUGAUGCUGACAUCCUCCAAAAAUGCUCGUUAGUUGUAUGGCACUAUGGACUAUGGUGCUUCAUAUAUAAUAUUUUAUGAAAAUGAUUUGAGAUGCAGAUGAAGCACCAACAUUUGCAAAGUGCGCUACUGCAGGUGAAGUUGGCAUAAAGAGUUUUGACCAAUGUGACAUAAAGAGAUGUUUCUGGAUCAAAUACUAUCAUUAGGGAAAAAAAUAUCUUCUAAAUAUACUCACUUCGGAACAGGUGGUUCUCCAAGCUCCCCUUUGACAUGAACUCAUAUACGAGUAGUAGCUCGUUGUCAUCCAUGGAAUAGCCCAAGAGUUUGACAAGAUUGGGAUGUGAAAUCCUCCCGAGGAAAUUGACUUCAGACUGCAUUGGAAACAAGCAAAUUAUUUUUUUGGGAGAAAAGCAUAUUUAAGAGAGUAUUAUUUCUUUCUAAGUCGGGGGGGGGGGGGGGGGGGGGGGGGGGGAUAAAGGAAGCCAUGGAGUAAAUCAGAAACCCUUAUAUGUUGACAAGACUAAAAAUAGGAAAGAUAGAAAUAAAAAAUGUGAGAGCACAGGACCAUGCACUAAGUCCCAACAGCUAGAUCAUUCUGAUUGUAAAUAAAAAAGGAAAGAAUACUGAUAAAGAACUAGACUCUCAUAGGGACUCAUCUUCCAAAGAAGCAGAGUUAAUAACAUAUAGAGAGAAAAAAUCAGUACAAAAUUGGAACGAACUGAAAAGGGCAGCAAGCUGCACAAUUGUGUACUGAUAUUUAAGCAUUCACUGAUUCAUUUCCCUAGUUCCCUGAUAGUUAAACCCGGAACCACCUAGAUUGCAGUCAUUAUAUUUUUCCUAAAGCAUGCAAUUUAUAAUGUAACGAAAAACUAGCAACUUGACAGUUUCUGUACCUGCCAUUGUUCCAUUCCCUGCACGCUCUCAGGAUUGAGCUUCUUGACGGCAACCAUGAUGCCAGUGCUAGCCUUUGACGGGUUCAGAGUCUUCUCAUCAACCCAUCCCUUGUAAACCUUGCCGAAUCCACCCUCCCCAAGCACAGUCUCAGGCCUGAAGUUCUUGGUGGCGCUCUUGAGUUCCGCAAAGGUGUAUAUCUUGAGGUUCGGAGACUCAAGAAUCUGGCCCUCUGGGUAAUCGUCGUCGACGCUGACACCACUAACUGUGGACGGCAUGAAGGUGCUGGUGCUGCUAAUCGUUGACAGCUUCCCUGUGGUGGCAGAGCUACUAGUCCUCCUCGAUGCAGACAUUCCUGAACAUGUGACAGGAAAAAAAAAGUGAGGUCUUGAGUAAGUUGGGUAUCAGGACAGGGAAUGAGAAGUUUCAAAUGCAUAAUAAUCUACCAUGGCUUAGAAAUUUAGAAUUUAUUUAUAUAACGGAGGCUAAUUUUGCUAUUGGAGAUAGAUAUAUACGAAAUUGGAAACGAAUUUUGCCAUUUGGAUAGCAAAAGAAAAUUAUACUCUCCAAUAUAUGGUGUAAGUGCAGAGGGUAGAGGCCAAAGGGUUGACGGACCCAGAUAAAUUUUCUUAUACGGCGAGAGAGAGAGAGAGAGGUGGUGUGUUUUAUUCUACAGACAAGUCUCAAUUGACAGAAACCAACAAAAUAACAAAUUAAAUAAAUAUAGUUGCAGAGAGAUUGAAAAUUUUAGUUGAUUCAUCAAUUGUCCCAAACAUGAGUACUUGGCGAGCACGUGCGCCUUAAGUUGAAUAGCAUGUGAUUCUUGGAAAGUACGUAGUUUGUUAAUGAUGAUGUAACAGAAAUUUGUAAAACAACACCAAGAGAAGAAGAACAAGACGACGCGGCGGUAAGUAAAAUAUACGCGCGGGCGCGGGUAAAGAGAACAACCGCACACGAGAUAUGCAUGGCAUCAGAUAAACAAAGGCAUGUUCCAGUUAUGCAAGCAGAGGAUUUCAGUUUCAGGCAACAACCCGAACAGGGAGGAAGGAGGCCACCGCAGCAAGCAAAAGAUUGAAGCUUUAAUUAAGAGAGAAGAAGAGAGGAGGAAAUGCUGACGGGGGUUACGGUACCAGGAGUAGCGGCCGACGACGGCGACGGCGACGCCCUGUUGCCGCGCUGGACGAAAGCGUCGAUGGCGCUGGCGCAGUUCCCCAUGGCAGGCGGCCGGCGGCGCGGCACGGGGGCCAGGCGGCAGCGGUUGGAGAAGACAAGAGAGGAGAAGAGAAGAGAAGAGGAGGCUCUAGCGGUUGCUGGAGGGAGUUCGAUUUGCAACUGCAACUGCGACUGAGAAUGGAACUGGAGUAGAGCCACGGGAAGGAAGGGAGAGGCGGAACCAACUGCGACUGCGAGUCUGCGACGCAGGGGAGGGAGGGAAGGAGAGAGGAGGAGGAUGGAGGCGACUGCCGACUUGCGCUACUCGCUAUAUUGUCGUCCUCUGGCGCGAUGCGAUGCAAGCCACUCGGCUUUUUCGUUUUUUUUUUUUUUUUUGUUCUUGCUCGUGUGAUCGUGUCACGUCUCAGUCUAUCAUAGCGGGCAGAAGGUGGAGAAAAAAAAUGAAAAAUGAAAACAAAAAGAGAGUCCUUUGUUUUCUCUUCUUCUGCCCAACACAAGACGUACAAAGGAAAGCGCGCACGCAUGCACACAGCACACCUUAAAAGUUACUAGUUAAAUACUUCAUCCAUUCUAAACUAUAAGUCAUUCCAAAAAUUUUAGAGAGUCAAAAUAUCUCAAGUUUAACUAAAAUUAUAAGGAUUUUUGACAUCAAAUAGGUAUACUAUGAAAAUAUAAUUCAUGAAUAAAUCUAAUCUAGACAUAAUAAUAAAAAGUCAAAAUUUCUCACCCCCUGUUUUUGGUCGAGUCCAUUCUUUAGAAAUAACUAGCAGAAAUCCCGCGCAUUGCGGCAGGCGCAACUUGUGAACCUAGGACUCAGUUUUUCCUUCUCCUGAUAUAUCAUAAAAUUUAGUUAAACUUGAUAUGCUUUGACUCUUCAAAAUUCUUGAAUAACUUAUAAUUUGGAAUGAAGUGAGUAACUAUUUGACGAGUGAGCUCACGGUCUAGUCACCGUAGGGACAUUCUCCCAAUCAGCUCCAAUCCACUCUUGCCUCUUCCAUCAUGAUUUUAAUCAAAGUUGAUUUUCUUGUUCUAAACUUCUAGAAAAAAAAUACUCUCACAAAAAGAGAACUUCUAAAGAAAUCUAGAUAAAAAGCUUACUUUUUGUAAUGUUGAUUCUAGAGAAAACAAUACGAUGAUGAGAUCCAGUAGCAGGUGAAGGGGUUUCCUCUGCAACCUCAACCACGGUAGAGGGAGUAGAGGUAGCGUAGCAUGGGGUGAGUGACGAAAGGACGCGAGCAUGAUAAAAUUGUCGGAAUUUUUUGAACCACGGUCUAGGAAGAACUUCUACUUCUACAAUAAAAAGGCACGAUGAAGAGAAUUAUGGAUGGAUAAAGCGGCCGCAAAAGUGCAACAUUUAAAGAGGUUGGUGCGCUUUCUUUUACUGUAAUUUGGUGAAAAGCCGGCUUCAAAUAGGGUCUAGGUAUGCUCUACUCCACACCCUACAUGUUUGGUAACACUUCCAACUUAUUCCACUAUCUGCUUUAGCCCAUGCUCGACGACGGCGCAGGAGGCCAUAACAGCAUAAGAAGAGAGGGGCAAGCAAGGGAGGCUAUCGCGACAUAGGAAGACGAUUAGGGCGAGCUAUAGGAGGCCACCUCCAUGGAGGAAGAUGAGGAGGGAGAGCGGUGAAACGUUUGCGCAACUCGAGAGCUCUCCUCACCAGAGUGAAGGAAGACGAGGGUGCAUGGAGUCCGCGGUCACUAGAGACCGAGUCGACAGGAGGGAAGGAGGGUACGGUGGUUAAGAAAAAUGAUGGGAGCAGGAUUGCAUCAUGAGGAGUUGGUUUUUCUGUUCCACCCCAGUGCAAAAUUGGCGGAGCAGGUGGGAGUAGCAACAUUUUGCAGCGCUCUGCUACCUAAAUCUCUAGUGGAGUGGAAUGAAGCAGAACGCUCCCAAUCUAUGCCUAGUGGUAUUUCUUUUUUCAUUGACAUUAUAAACACAAGGCUCACAUACACACACUCAUUGGUGCAACACACACUCAUACUCACUCUACCUAAAGCACCUAUCAUGAGUAGAAAAACACAUAUUUGGAGGCAAUUAAAAGGUGUUUGUAGAGGUUGUUGGGAGAAACCCAUUGCUAGUUCAAUGGCUGUGCAAGAGCACAAUUUCCAACUGCGGUUUGUAUAUGAAUGUGAAGGUGUUAUUCCCAAAGGCAAAUAAUUUUUAACCCUUCUCAAUUCCUUUCACCUUAUCAACCUCCCUAUCUCUAGCUCUCCCCUGUACCGAUGGAGCUUAAGGCAAGGCCACCUCUUGCCACAACCUAAGUAGUAGUUAUAAGGCUAAUAAUAAUCAACGUAAAAUUGGUAUUUUACAAUCUCAUAUUAAUUUGUACUCUCUAUAUAACCUAUCCACAGUACUAGAAGAAACUAUUUAAAUGGUAAUUUGUACUCUACUUGUUAUUUAUUGUUAGGUAUUUAUGUUGUUAGUGACUAAUUGCUCUAGUAUUUGUGUGCACAUUGAUCUCUAUAAUGCAAAUUGACCCUUCUUAAAAGUUGAAGUUGAUCCUAGCUCUGCCACUAUCGUGUCAUCGUCUAGAACUAUCACACCGAACUCAGCCUUGUUAGUUUGCAAGUCCUACACACCACCCGGCGGUGGCCACCUACCUAGUGGUCAUGGAGCCCACAACUAUAGCUUUAAAUAUGGCUAGCCAUAUCAAAUGAUACCAAAGAAAAGCCAAAGUAAACUCCUCGUUGGUUCAGUGACCACGAAAAACAUGGUUUCCAUGAGCGGUAUGCACCCACAUAUAGAUAUCGAUUUCUAGAGAUAUAGAUAAUUUAAGACACUUUUUUAUGAAAACCGUCUUUUUAAGUACACCUGUUUCGCGGUCCCCAAUCUUGCACCUCCACCUCAUUGACCUCACCUACUUUGGUAGAAUUCACGUGGCCCUUAUAACAUCUGGCAAAAUUCAUCACUAUCUUUAGGUCCUACGAUGAUAACCCUACAACAACCAAAUGCCUAACAGUGCAAGACACAGUCUCAUGUCCAUUAUUGAUGGACCUGACUUGCAAAAAUAAGAAUUUCUAUAGACGAUCGUUUAUGUGAUCCAUAUCUAGAAAGAGGCCGGUUUAAAAAAACAGUUCACAUAUGCAUUUUAGUUGCACUUCUUAGCCAUGGGGCCCACAGUAAUAGUGUAUAAACGUCACCGAGAGACUAACUUAAUACAUCAUCCACAAAUGGGGAAAAAAAGGUAGUUAUUAGCCAAAAAUACAAAUAUUUGUGCUGAGUAACAAGCCUAGAUUUUGUUCGGCAUGCAAGUGGAAACCGCCGGCAAAUUGAACUGGUCGGUUAGUCGGUGAGCAUGUGUUAUUUGUCUGCUUGUUUCCAUUCUUAUUUUUUAGAGAAAAAUCUGCGUGUGUUUGUUGUUUCCAAUGGCUGCUCCUGUGCUGCUUCUUGGGUCACACUGACCGGCAAACAAUUUUUUUUUUGACGAGUCCGGCAAACAUUGACGCUGAGUCGCGCAUACAUACACUGUCUGCAGUCUGCUGUGUGUGCUUUAUCUAGUCGGCCAACCGCACAUAAGAAUAUAUGAGACCGGCAGGCACAACUUGAGUUAUUAUGCAUCCAUUAGACAGGCAUGGUGUGUAAAGGCAUAUGGGCGCUGGCCUUUUUUUUUUCAUCCAUCAGCAUAUACGAGUAGAACUACUAGAGGUUGCUAUGGUAGUGUAAAAAAUCCAAUAUUAAUCCACCCCGGCCUUGCCCGUUUGUGUUGGGAUGAGAAUUGAUCGAGAGAGACUGUCGCCGGCCGGGCAGGCGCGCGGGCACCGGCAGCGGCAGGAUCUCUAGUUCUCUAUCUCUGAUGAUCUCUCAGUCAAUAACUGGGUCAAUGGAGGACUAGCUUACUGAUGCUUGUGUCCCUGGCCAUAUCAUCUCUUACGUCAUCGGUUUCUUCAUGCAUUGUGGCCUUGUUUAGUUGCAAAAAAUUUUGCGAAAUAGACACUAUAGUAAUUUCGUUUGUAUUUGACAAAUAUAUUAUCUAAUCAUGAAAUAAGUAGGCUCAAAAGAUUUGUUUCGCAAAUUACAGUCAAAUUGUGCAAUUAGUUAUUUUUUAAUUUAUAUUUAAUGCUUCGUGCAUGUGUCGUAAAAUUCGAUGUAACGGAGAAUCUGAAAAAUUUUGCAAAUUUUUUUGGAACUCACAUGUGUGACUUUUCACUCACGCACUCCGUCAGCUGCUGAUGAUGCUGAGCUUCCCAGCGCUACUACACGCUAGGAUCUUUCCCAUAUACUCGUUGCAGACGGCCGACCAGUCAUGCACCUGUGUUUUCUUUGUAGUUGAAAUUCCAUUGCACCCCAAAAACAAAGUACAACUAUGAGUGAAGAUUGUCCCAUUCGAAAUUUUCCAGUGCUUGAGUAACAUUAUGUCUGGGCGAAUAAGCUAAUACUAUCUCCGUCUGAAAAGAAUAUAAUUAUGAGAUCUGUGUCAGUCAAUAUAGCUUAAGUUUAACUAAGUUUACAGUAAAUAUAGAGUAAACAUUUAUAUAUGGAAAUAAUUUUAUUAUAAAAAUUUAUUCUAUAUAACUAAUUUAAGGAUACUUAUUUAUAUAUAUUAUUAUCGUUAGUAUUUUUUAUAUAAAUUUAGUUAAAGUUUAAAUAGUUUGACUUAUUUAAAAACGAGAAUUAUAUUUUUUUUAGACAGAGGGAGUACCUUAAGACAAGAGCAUGGCUCACCUUUUUUCAGUGAGGUUUCUCACUUGAUGACCGAUUGUCUGCAUCUAAGAAAGUAGAGGCCUGGGUAUGGGCGGAUCUAGAGGUAUUCCCCAGUAUUCUUGAAAAUACUUAACUAUUUUGAUAUACUUUUAUGUAGAUAUGUGUAUAUACUUAUAUAUAUGAAUGUAUAAUGCUAUAAUCUAUAGUAUUUUUCCACAUUUGAGCUUAAAACAGGUAAAAAAACUAGUAUUUCAAUUAGAAGUUUAGAUUCUAGAAAGUAAAUAUUGAUUUAAAGUUGCUGAUUUACAGUGUUAUUAGCCAUAUUUUAAACCUAUAAAUUUGACCCUUUUUUUAUAACAUAGAAAUGGGAAUACCCAAGUUUCAAAUCCUAGCUUCGCCACUGGGUGUGAAGCAAACUAGCAUGAACAGUCGUGGCCAACACUCGAUUGCCAGUAUAGAGAGCUGCAUCCUACGAACUAAGGCCCUGUUUAGAUUGAGGAUGAAAAUUUUUUAGAUAUCACAUCGGAUGUGUCGGAAGGAUGUCGGGAAGGGUUUUUAAAACAAAUUACAUAGCUCGUCAGGAAACUGCAAGACAAAUCUAUUAAGUAUAAUUAAUUUAUCAUUAGCACAUGUGGGUUACUGUAGCACUUAAGGCUAAUCAUGGAGUAACUAGGCUUAAAAAUUUUGUCUCGUGAUUUUUAACCAAACUGUGUAAUUAGUUUAUUUUUUUAUCUAUAUUUAAUGUUUCAUGUAUGUGUCCAAAGAUUCGAUGGGAUGGAUGAAAAUUUUUUGGGUGAAUAACUAAACAGGGCCUAAGAGCCAUAGCCAUUCUCAUACGCAUCCAACACGACUAUAGAGAUAAGAGCAUAUGACCUAAGGACAUAUUUAACUUUACCUUAUUUUUAUAGACAACCCAGUAUUGGUAAAUAUGUAGCAGUUCGCAUAGUCACAAGAUAAUAUUGAUAAACUAAUUAGACGAUGUUUGGUUCAUGGACCGUGGUACCUAUAUUUAAGGGUACUCACAAUGUAGACUCUAUUAUAUAGUCUAAAGUUAUUUAUUACAUCGAACAAUGUGGACUUAGAGUCUAAAAAAGAUUUAGAGUCUUAUUUUUUCUAUAUCUUUUUCAAUAAAUAUGCUGCCACAUCAGCAAAAUACCAUAAAUAAUAUGUAAUUAAUUGUUUUAGAAUCUGUGAUAGAGUCUUGCAUUGUGAGUGCUCUAAUCAAAUUUUUUAAAAAGAUUGACUUCUCGAAGCAAGAGAUGUGCAGUUAUUUCUGGAUUGAGAGAGUUUUUUAUAUGUGUGGACACAAAAUUUAACUUCCGCUUGGAUUCAGACAAAGAAGCAAGACCCUCAAGCUAGCAACGACUCCUGCCUGGGUCCUGUCUAGCUAGGUUAGCAACCAAGAAUUGAAUCCUGACGCGUCCUUUGAAAAUGACCGCUAUGCAUGGUGAAGUAGCAAGUACUUGUGGUGUGCAUGUAAUGCACGCGUGGACGUACUACGCUGGAGAGCAGUUGUCAUCGUCGUCCAUAUUGGUCCAUCUAGGAGAAAAACUAAGGUUGUCUCCAGAGUGGACACAGGUGUGCCGCAUAAGUCUCAUUUAACAACAUGUGUAAUCACCCAAUCUGUAGGGGUUUUGAUUCGCUCUUCUUCCUCGUUGGACAGUUGAUAUGGAAAGAGUGGAACACAAGGAUUUUCAAUGGUGUCGCAACUCCGCCGACACAAAUGGACUGAAAGAUCCAGGAAGAGGUUGACAAUUGGUGUCCUGUGUUGACAAUUGGUGUCUUGCGCUAGCUUACGGCAUUGCGGGUGCUCAUGGCCUUCUCUUGAAUGGCCGAACCCCUUAGUCACUCAGUUUGUAUCCAUGUAAUCACAACUUCUUGUUUCAUCGGGCUAUGUAGCUUCAAUAACUUCGGAUUACCGUGGCAACUUUGUGUUGUAACAAACUCUCUUCUUUUUAAUAAAAAAAAUGUGCUAAGGCACGAUCGCGCGAAAAACAACAACAUGUGUAAUCUCUCUGUGUGGGGUGUCAAAGUGUGGGCAUCUCGCCCGCCUUUGGUCACACCAUGUAAAACUUGUUAUCCCCUUAAUGAAAUGCGUGCAAUGAUGUGCAUGUUUGUGAAAAAAGUGACCUCAUUUACCUCAUCCUUUCUAUUUUUCUCCAUCUCCUCUUUCUCCUUGUAUUCUAUUUGUUUUUUCUCUUCCUCUCCAUCCUCUCGAAGACGCGUUAACGCCCCUCCUCCCUCUCCCACUAGUGAAUCCAAAAAAUUUCCAGGCUUUUUACCAUGAGCUUUAAUAGCACUUGAUAGAGUGCACAGCUAUAUCCAAAUACAAAUAAUAGAUGUACUAGCCAAUGAAUGUGGAGGCAUAACACCAUAUAGAAGAAAAUACACAAACGAGAAUAACAUUAAGGCAUGAUAUUUUUUAUUAACGAGGUUUUUGCGAUGUGCCUAUAUCUUCGUGGCAUGCAUGCAUACGAGCGCUCCUCAUUAUAAACAAUAGGUACACCAACAUCUAGGCACUCCUGGGGCUUGUCACCGUCCAAAGUAGCCACCAAGUGCUCACUUUGUUAUAGCAAGGGAUUAUAUCAUUUUUAUGGCCUAUAGAUAUAGAGUUAGAUAGUCCCUAGCUAAUAUGACUCAGAUCGUAAUAUAAUUAAAACAUACGUAUAAAAUAUUCAACAAGUGGUGGUAUGCUUGGUGCUAGAGGCGGAGAGGUCGGAAGAGUUAGUGUGCUGAUAAAUCUUCGUUUAAUUUGCCGGAUCGGAGGAGGAAGAAAAGAAGGGCUUUCGUUCAAAAAAGUAUCCGCAUGCAGCUGGCUUUGCGCGGUAUAGGUAUAUGGUGGAUAUGCAGAAGCAAAUGUAUUAUUUAUGCAUCGAUCAUUGACCACAAGAAGUCAAGAACCCUUUCAAAAAAAAAAAAAAAAUUGGACUACCACCAGUGUACGUAAGGGUAGUAUACUAGCAUCAUUGUAGCUAGGCUAUCCAAUAUAUUCCACACCGACGACGACCAUGCCAUGCAUGCCCCCAAGCCAAAAGCCAAACCGUGUGUGCUGGAUAUAUCGGAUCGGAGAGAAAGAGAGAGAUGACAUGCAAUGCCAAUGCAUGCAUAUUCCGCCGAUCCCAUCAUCCCAUCUCGCACGUUCUCACAUACGAUAGAUAUAUCUACAUAAUACCAAAUUAAAACAGCAUGCAGUGGUUGGUCACCGGACGUACGGACUCAGCAUAUGCAUCAUGUAUGUAAAUGUACGUCAAUGGCGGUCUCUACGCUGCGCUGCCUGCUGCUGCUGGAAUAAUCCGGGUAUAUAUUUUCCGGACCACAGAGACUCACUUGGAUGCCUUCCAAUUCCAAUAUCCAUGAUGAUAAUCUAGUCUGUGAGCUUCGGUCGUCGGUAGCUUCAGUGUGAAAAUACGACAGAGAAAUAGGGGAUAUAGAGCUUUUAAUUUAGUACUCGAUCGGUAUGGAGUUUAUUACUUUUAUUUGAGGGUACUGACUUGCCUAUACGUACUAAACAAAGGAAGUGUGUGUGUUGGGUCCAGAGAACUAAAAGUAUAUGAGCACAGAAUUAUUUUCAAAAUAAAUUGAAAGGGUAUAAUAGUACUUUAGGUUAGCUACCCCUUAUAUCGUCUCUCCUUUCAUCUCUCUGAGCGCAACUAGAGAAAGAGGCCGUACGAUCUCUUGUCCAGCUUCUCCGCCUUCGCCUCGAUCUCCACCUGGAGCACCCUGGAGAUGUCGUCGGAGGCAGCCUGCUAGUGCUUGGUGUUCCCGGCGUGAUGAUGAUGCCAACCAACGAUCGAGGAUCCUGAAUCCCAGCAUGGCAAAGAUGGCAGGUCUUCUUAUUGGCGUAGUCUCGGACAUGAUGCAUGGUGACGUUGAGCGGCCGGGUAGUCGAUCGCCGCCGAUGCCAAAUUAGCCGAGCCGAAAGUGGAAGAAGCAUAGCGUUGGCGGGUGUGCUCCGGAAUGAGAGCCCAGAUCGAGGCGAGGGAGCAGACAACCAAUGUUAUGCUGUAGACGAUCGACGCUCUUCCGGUCAAGUCUGUCGCUGAGCCAGCUGAAGAAGAGCUAUAUAUAUAUAUAUAUAUAUAUAUAUAUAUAUAUAUAUAUAUAUAUAUAUAUAUAUAUAUAUAUAUAUAUAUAUAUAUAUAUAUAUAUAUAUAUCCCCUGAGAGCGUACCGCACAGUGUGACGCCGUUCACAGCGGCCGCGACGUUGGGUGGCAGCGUGGCCGUGUCCGGCUUGUAAGUUGGGGUCGAUGAUGUAGACGUGGUCGAGCUGCUAGCUAGCUAGAUGCAGAAGAGAGGUCGACACGUUGGCGAAGAAGCCCAUGCCCGCCAAAACGAUGGAAGAGUACGUCCAUCUUGUAUGAGAAGGCCCGGCCCGCUCGUUCUGUUCCCAGGCCACCACGCGUUCUACUUCUAGACUAGAGGCAGCAGGCCGCCUGUCUCGACUACAAAAUCCACCUAAACUGCAGUAUUAUUAAUUUCAAGCCAAUGGAUAUGUGGUUGCCUGGCCUGUGCAAUUGUGCAUCGUAGUAUACGAGGCCUUGUUUAGUUACACCUAAAUUUUUUUUAAAAAAAAAAUCAACAUUUUUGACACAUGCAAUCUUACAACACAUAUAUAUAGAGUAUUAAAUAUAUAUAUAAAAUAACUAUUUGUAUAGUUUUUUAUAAUUUGCGAGACGAAUCUUUUGAGCUCAAAUAAUUGUCAAAUACAAACAAAAUGCUACAGUACCCUAAUCCAAAAAUUUUUUUGAAUCUAACAAUGCCUGAAUAUAAUCUCCUCACUAUACAUGUACACGAGUCUAGUGAUCUAUAUCUAAUCUAUAAUUUUGAACUCCACUAGCUAUAUACUUCAAUAUGCAAGCUGUCCACCGCAGUAAUUCACUAUCUCCAUACUUAUUCCUCCUACUGGGCUGAUGGUUUAUCUUCUCUGUUGUAUGAAAGUUUGGGAUAGGUUGAAGGCCUAAAAGUUUGUAGGCAUUCUCUGAGCAUAUCGUACAUCUUUUAUUUGUAGAUGAUAGUCUUCUAUUCUUCUGAGCGAAUCAACAAGGGUCACUCCAUUGCAGUCAAGAAUGUUCUCAAUAUUUUUUAAGAGUGUACACAGUUGAGUCCAAGCAACUGUUUUUUGCUCGUGAGUGAAAAUUACUGUCCAAGCAACAGUUGAGUUGAGACGAGAGGCUGGAGGGUUCGAACCACCGGAUGUUAUUUGUCCACGUGGCAGUGGAUUAAGGUGUCUAUACACCGAGUCUCUCGGUGGAUUAGGACAGAUCAAAUGUGACAAUAAAAAACGAAGGGAGUAUUUAUCGGUAGAAAUUACUGGCCUUACAUUUAAUCAUAGAAAAUUCCACCGGUCAUCUUAAAUCUGUGUGCCGUACGUAUCAAGAAACCAUGCAUACUGUAAUCUACAUUAUUGUGGCCCUACACCGUCCAAUCAGACGUUAAGGCCUUGUUUAGAUCCAAAAACUUUUUAGAUUUUGACACUGUAGCACUUUCGUUUUUAUUUGACAAACAUUGUCCAAUCAUAGAAUAACUAGGCUUCAAAGAUUCGUCUCGUGAUUUACAGGUAAAUUGUGCAAUUAGUUAUCUUUUUUUAUCAAUAUUUAAUGCUCCAUGCAUAUGCCGCAAGAUUCGAUGUGACGGAAAAUCUUAUAAAGUUUUAGAUUUUUGGGUGCAUCCAAACAAGGCCUAAGACGAUCAUUUUCAGGUGCUUCCUUCAAACACGAUGGCUCUCAUACCAUGCAUCCCACUAGCUCCCCCUCACCCUCCCGCGUCAAUGUCAUUAAUAAACUAAAUUACUCUCUCUCCCUGAAAGCUGCAACUUAUAGAGCUGUCCUAAGUCAAACUUUUACAACUUUGACCAAAUUGAAAAAAACGCUAAGAUUUAUAGUACCAAAUUAAUACUAUUAAAUUUAUUAUAGAAUAUAUUUUCAUAAGAUACUUAUUUUAUGUCAUAGAUAUUGAUGCUCUUUUCUAUAAAGUUAGUCAAAGUUUGACUGACACGGAUUAUAGGAGUUGAAGCUUUCAAGGACAGAGGGAGUAUUACAUAGCAACACCUUUAGCUGGUAUUUUCCAAAUGACCCUCAUGUAUCCUUCAUCGCAGUAAUUACCUUGGACUUGGAGUCUGGCCUCUAGAAUUCUUAAAACACAAGAUUAGAAUAAAAAAUAUGUAGAAUUGGAAUUGCAUGAAAAUGCAAAAGAAAGUUUUCGUGAGAUCCAACCUCAUGCUAGUAAUCAGAAAAAAAUUCACACGUGUUGUUAACGCUUUGUUAGGGAUAAGCUAGGGUGGUAACCAGACAUGUAGCUUUAGUUUCUCUAAGAAGCAACUUGACCUUUGAGCCACAUCCAUGCAAUGAGUUUAUGGCUGGUGUCUAUACAAGGCAAAAUUAUGACCAGUAUUGUCUUUGAAGACAUGAUAUUUCAAAGAAAAAGGAAUUAAAUAUUUUUGAAAGUACUUUCCAUAGGUGAAUAUAAUUAUCGUGUAUAUAUUUUACACCGUGAGUCUGUAUAUAUAAUAUAUACGACUCGUUAUGCACCGAUGUGUGUGUGAACAAUACCAGUCUUAAUGGUAAGUUUUAUGACACAGUUACUAAGACACUGCUAGAUAUCUUUAGUGUCGUGUGACAUGUUUCAUCUAGAUUGAAAAAGCAUGUCAGUCUUUCUCUUCAUAAUUAAUAUGUCAACUCAACAAAAUUUGCUGAUGUGUCACAAACAUUACAUGAGAAUAAAACACCUUUGAAGAACCCAUUGAAACUGGUCUAGUAAUGGUUCAAGUUAAUGAAGCUUGACCGGCAAAAAGAAAAAAAAAACUGGACUAAAUUAAGGUGGUAUUAUCGUGCGUGUCAUCAUCAUGGCACCGUAGAGCCAUAUAUACAAGACUUGUAUUAUUGAGUGAAGACCAGCUCUUGCUUGGAAUAUCGUGAAAACGUUCUGUCUCCUUUGACUGGGAUAACAUUAACAUCAUGAAUGAAUUGAAGCAAGUAGCUAGGAUGACGUGGUCAUGCUCAACUUAAUUUCUAGUGCUUGUUUUGGAGUAGCGUACGUGGUGGGGGUCAGAGGACGAAGGUGGAGAUGAAAUUUAAUUAGUGGUCCGGUAUAAUUGAUGUGGUCAUGCUCAACUUAAUUUCUAGUCUCUAAACUUUCAAAGGGCCGGCAUAUGCAUGAGCAUGAUGAUAUAUGCAUGGGUCGAUGGGUGGUGGUUCCAGUCAGCGCGAGUCAGAUGAGACCGAGACGACCUGAAACAAGAAGCUGUUCGUUCUCUUCUUUCUCCAGCCCAAGGAAAAGAAGAAGAAGAAGAAGAAGAUUCGCAGAACCUUGCUGCCUGCUGCAACGCCUCUGACGCCCGUACGUGCACACGACUCACCCGCCAACCGCCAUCUAUAUCCACUCAAAAAAAAAAAAAAAAAAACCCUCACCCGCCAUUUACAUUGCAAAUGCAGAUGCUCCCAACUUUUUUUUUAUUAGCUCCAUGUGUACUUGUUUAAAAAAAAUUUCACUGCGCGCGCAUGCAUGCUUGUUUCUUGGAUCCAGUAUAUUUUCUUGGAUCAAACAUAUAUAGUAAAUAUUUGAUGAACUAGCUGCAAGAUAUAAUAUAUAUAACUAAAUUAUACGAGCUGACCACUAACCUAGCAUGGGAUGCCACUCAGGUUCCUUAACUCCGGACUUGUUUAGUUCCGAAAACUGAACAGUUUUCGAAACUGUAGCACUUUCGUUUUUAUUUGACAAACAUUAUCCAAUCAUGGAGUAACUAGGCUUAAAAGAUUCAUCUCGUGAUUUACAGGUAAACUGUACAAUUAGUUUUUAUUUUUGUCUAUAUUUAAUACUCCAUGCAUGUGGCGUAAAAUUCGAUGUGACGAAGAAUCUUGAAAAGAUUUUGAUUUUUGAGAGUGAACUAAACAAGGCCUCCCUUGAUACAUCUUCAUGUCUGGCAGCUUGUCUUAGGGCUUCUCCAGUGGCUUUGAUAAAAGCAACUCGCGCUCCUACGUGAAGACUGAAUGAGAUGACAGCGACCUGCGCGAACUUGUUGCCAGUGGAGACGACUGCGGAGACGGCCACGACCUCGCCAAUGGAGACAGUCGUGACCUGCGCGUCUCCGGUGAAGCGAACAGAAGCGAAGAGGAAAAAAAAGAAGGGAUGAGUCAGAUAUGGGUCCCACACCAUGUAGUAUGAAUUGACUCUUCAAUGAUUCGGUUUGGGAUAUACUCCAUACGUGGCCCUUUCUUUAUUUGUUCUUUAUUCGAUGAGCCGAUUCACCAUUGUGUAUAGAUGGCCAUGGUAAGGUGACAUCCCAUUGUGGGUGCCCUUACGAUGACACAUGAGGUCUGACCUUAAACUUAUCAUAGGUAUGUCACCUACUCCUAACUUCCACUUAUAGAGCACAACUUUGACCCUAUGGCUUCAACUAUUAAAGCAGACAUCAGGAUAUUCGAGGUGAAUGAUGAAGAAGCGUAGGGAUGGUUAACAACGAUGCGGUGAGAGACUAAUGUCUAGGGGAGCACGGAGAUAGAGCGUCGUCCACACUACUUCAACAAUACUUUUCAGCGGAUGAACAAUAUUUUUCUUUCGCAAUAUUUCAUCAUAAGCCAAAAUUCAUCGGAACAAACAGGAACGCUGCACGAAGCUUGUGAGGCCUGUUUGGAUAUGUAGGGAACUUACGACAAAUUUGGCCACCAAAAAAUAACAUUUUAAAAAGACAUGUAUUAUAAUUUAUAAGCCUUAACAAGCAGAGGCAAACCUAGACUUAGAGAAUGUGUAUUGAAACCUUGAAAUGAUAAAAAAGCUCGAUUGCAUAACCCUUUUGUUUUGGCAUGUAUAUAUAUAGUUAAUUGUAUCCUUGAAUACCAUUGAUUAGUGAAUGUAACAAUGUCCUCAAAUUAAUAAACCCCCCCCCCCACACACACACAAGCUCCAAUAACUGAUAGUGCAAUUUUGAGAGUUCAUUCAUGGAGACCUAGGUAGAUGAAAUGAAAUUUUGAAACAAUUUUAGAGCCCGCGAUGUGUUUUACUCAUAGUUCGGCUAGGCGGCGACUAGUCGCGACUAGGCGCUGGGCGAAGCCCGUCGCCUCGACUAGGUGGGUAGUCGCCCAUCUCGGCGAUAGGCGGAACUAAGGGGCGCGCGAGAUGGGCGUGGAAGCGACGCGGAAGCGGAUGCGGACGCACGCGCCCGCGGAAAUUUGCCGCAGCGAGCCAGGGCGCGAAGGUUUCCGCGCGGAGGCGGACGCCGAGGGCAUGCGCGCGCAGAUGGAAUCAGGCGCGAGGUCUUCCCCGCCGGCGCACCCCUCCCCGUCCCAUGGUCAAUCCCCUUCCCCUCCUCCGCCAGCGGCUGCUCUCCCCUGCUCCUCUCCCCUCCCAUGUUCUUCACCCCUCCCUCUCAGGCUGCUCCCCUGUCCCGUGUCCCCUCCCCUGCUCCCCGCCUCCUCUCUGAUUGAGUGUCUGUGACUGCAUGUCUCAUUGAUUGCCAAAACGCCUAGGAAAACGUCUAGGAGCGCCUAGGCGCGAGUACUCCCGACUAGGCGCUAGGCAAUGGGUCAGCGCCUAGAUUCCGCCUAGCGCCUAGCUAAACCUUGGUUUUACUCAACAUAGGAUACACACAUUAGCCUGUUCGAUUGUCUAUAUGUGGACUGGUCAUACUCUUCAUGAAUACAGUAUUGAUCAUACUCUCCUUGAAUGCAGCAGCACAUCAUUUGGUUGGUUGUAUGCUAGGCAAAUUGGGCCUUCUAUGUCUUCUAGGCAGGCAACCAAACACGCUAAUAGAGAACAUAGAAGGAACAGUAAGCCCAACAUGCAAAUUGGGCCUCUACUUUUUCCAUUUGCAUGCUGCCCUGUAAAAAAUAGGGACCCAAAAUCUAUUGCAACUCUAGCACAAGCCCCUACAAGGAGCUCCAGGUACGCAAGGUCGAUGAGGUUGCCGUGGAAGUAGUAGGACCUCAUAGUGUUGUGCUAGUCGGGAAUGACGGGCACGGCCGCCGCCGACACGGGCAGGAGGCCGUUGUUGUCGUCGCCGCCGGCGUAGCAGACUAGGCCUCGUGAGACGAACACGGGGAUCUGCGGGUCCGGCUUCGGCGGCUGGUUGGCGAGCGUGACCAUGUGGUAGUGUGUCGGCGGUGCGUCGCAGUCAUCAGCACGUCAAUCGUCUCGCCCAGCGCGACAGUGACCAUGUUCGUCUCAAACAACGUCAGGUAGUUGCCGUCGGCGCCGGCCGCCCUAGCUGCGUGCAGGUGCUGCUGGAGACGCGGAACCUCCGGGUGAAACGCGGAGCCUCCAGGCAGGUCUACACCCACCUCCCUCUCCUUCGACGGCGGCCUCGUCCUCACCAAUAGUGCGGCCCACAAGGUGCCCUGGCCGACACACCAACAACGCGGAUCAUGACGGCCUGCGGCCUGCUCGUGAGGUGGGAGAUGGAGGCCGGUGGACUGCGGCCUGCUGCUCGACGACGCCUGGAGAGGAGGGGGCGCUCGCAUGAAGGGCGAGGAGGAGGCGGUGGGAGGGCGGCGCGGUGGCAUUGGGGGCGUCGGAGGAGAGGGAGAGGAUAGGAAGGUCCUGUUCUUGGGGGCCUGUAACUAAAAUUUGGGAGUACUCGUAAAAUGAGAGCCCACUUAGGAGGUAAUUAGAAUUGUUUUUUUACUCAAGCUCUUAAAAUUUAGAAUGUAGGCCUAUUUAGAACUCCAUUGGAGUUGCUCUAAGAGCAACUCCAGCCCAGCAUGCAAAUUGGGUCCCUACUUUUUCCAUUUGCAUGUUGUUGAGCCGUCCUCCUGCUAGCCUUCGGCGCCAUCACCUUCCUUCUCAUCCGCCACUGCCUGGCCGCCCUGCGCCGUCGACCCUCCGUCGACGCCGACCUAGAGGCACGAGCUCCAGUAGCGCCUCGUCAUCGUUAGCCACAGCCAGCGGCGGCAGCGGCCAAGCCCAAGUAGCAGCAGCAGCAGCAGCAAGCGUUACUAAUAGCAGCCGUCAAGAAAGAGGCGCAGCAGCAGGUGGAGGCGCUGACCGGUGGCUUCGACGAGGCGGUCGUGGUGGGCCACGGUGGCUCCAGCACAUGUACCUCACCAGACUCAUGGACAGCUCACCUAUCGCCGUCAAGGUGUACGGCUGUUGUUCGAGAGGAUCCUAUUGCUAGGGACUCAAAACUAAAAUUUAGGAGUGCUUUUCAAAUAGGAGUCCUAUUAAAGUGAAUUUUUUUACGAUUUAGAAUAGGGACCUUGCUCUAAAGAGCCUAACCGAAGCCCCCUACAUAUACGAAUUCAAAAACCGUAAACGACCCUAGUUCGUAGGAAGUUUCCAACCGACUUGAACGAACUCGCGUCGAAUUCCAUUCCAUUGAAAACACGCGACGCGAGCGUCCUCCAGUCCAAGUCCGUGUCGUUCUACCUAGCGUGCGUGGACCAACCAAUAACCGCAUAUAUAUAUAUAUAUAUAUAUAUGCUGCCACGCCCACGCACAUACCGUAUUCAUCAGCUGAUGACAAGAGAGACCAGCAGGGCGGGGGCGCUCCGCUGACUGAUCAGCCCAGCCCGCCUCGCCCGCGUUUUCUUCUUCAUCAUCAUGGGCCAAUCGCCAGCCAUGCAGCCGCCCUCGCCGCGCCGCCGCGCCACCACCAGGGCCCUACUGCGCCUGCUCUUCCUCGUCGCCCUCUCCCUCGCCGCGCUGCUCGCCUUCGUCACCUCCACCCCGUCCUCCUCCUUCUCCACCGCGCGCCGCGCCCUGCAGCUCGUGCCGCCGCGCCGCCACCGCCAGCCGCUAACCACCCUCCGCGCCGUCCGGAGGGACGAGGACGAGCCGGACAGGCCCACCUCGCCCGUCGUCGCCCCGCGAGCGGUGGGGCAGGGCCACCACCGCUCGUCGGACCUCGACGCCGUGCUGCUCCCGGACUGGGAGGUCCUCGUCCUGCUCCGCCCCGGCGACGACGACGACGCGCCCCCCGGCAACGCCACGUGCGCGUUCCCGGCCGGGGCCACGUCCCCGGCGCGGUCGCUCGGGAGGAUGCCCGCGUCCGGCCGCCGAGCCUACACGUGCGCCAUGCCCAGGCCGGAGCGCCGCCACAGCAGGCCCUUCCGCGCGCCACGCCUCGUCGUCGUCGCCGCCACUACCACGCUGUCGUCGUCGUCCUCGGAGGAAGAGCGGUCGUUGACGCCGGAGAUGAUGCGUUGGAGCGGCCGCCUCGUGUACGACUCCGCCGCGCUCGCCGCCGGCGGCGACGUCCUCGUGUUCGCCAAGGGAGUCAACGCGCGCCAGGGAGUCAACCGCGACGCCACGGACGUCCGGUGCAUCUACUACCGCCGCGGCAUUAGCGGCAGCGCCGCCACCGUCGUCGCCUCGCUCCCGGCCUCUACCUCGGCGCAGCAGGUCUUCCGGUGCCCCCCGCCGCCAAGCACUGCCGCCAUGACCAUGACCGCGUCCCCAGCCGAGGCGCAGCAGCUUCGCGUCACGAUCGCCGUCGCUGGCGAGGACCCCAUCCCCUCGGUGGCGACCUACACCCCUCCUCCUCCUCCUCCUCCUCCUCCACCAAAGAAGAAGCUCAUCUGCGGCUGCACCAUGGUCCGCGACGUGGCCAAGUUCCUCCGGGAGUGGGUGGUCUACCACGCGGCGGUGGGCGUCGACCGCUUCUACCUCUACGACAACGGGAGCGGGGAUGACCUGGAGGGCCAGGUGCACCAGCUCAGCGCGGAGGGCUUCCACGUAUCCACACACGCGUGGCCCUGGCCCAAGACGCAGGAGGCCGGGUUCUCCUACACAGCCGCGGUGCACCGAGAUUCGUGUGAGUGGAUGGCGUUCAUCGACGUCGAUGAGUUCAUCUUCUCCCCAGACUGGGCUGGGUCGAGCAAGCCGACCAAAUCCAUGCUCCGGUCCGUUGUCACCGCCGUCAAGCCUAACAUCGGGCAGGUCACGCUAGGGUGCAAAGAUUUCGGGCCCUCAGGGCGGACCAAGCACCCCAAGGAGGGAGUCACCCAAGGGUACACGUGCCGGAGGCGAGCCGAGGAGCGCCACAAGUCACUCGUUAGGCUCGACUCUGUGGCCCCAUCACUGAUGAACUCUGUCCACCAUUUCAAGCUUCGGCCCGAGUUCAAGUGGGAGCGAUCGAGGGCUGUGAGGGUGAACCACUACAAGUACCAGGCUUGGGAUGAGUUCAAGGUCAAGUUCCGCCGCCGUGUGUCCACCUAUGUGGCGGACUGGACCGACCGGGUCAACCAUGGGUCCAAGGACCGCACACCCGGCCUAGGGUUCGAGGCGGUUGAACCAGCCGGGUGGCCACACAAGUUCUGCGAGGUGGAGGACACCCUGCUCCGGGACGUGACACGGAGGUGGUUUGGUGUUGGAUUCACCAAUAAGCUUGCUCAUCACCGGCCGGUUGGAGGGACAACUCACAGCAGCUCAUAGUAUUAGUUUUGGUAUAUACUCUUUAUUAAUUGGACACGGAAACAUACAUGUAUAUUAUACAGAGUAGAUUAGGGAGAAUUCAUUUUGAUUCUUUCAACAGACAGGGUUUUGUUAAUCAUUUUUUAUGUGAUUUAACAAAGGUGUACAAAGACGGUUAGGAGGAGGUGUAACUUCCAUGUGAUUAUUUAUGCCUUUCUUGUUGCAGCGGAUUGGCACUGGCAAGAAAUGUGUACAAAAAGCUAACUGAUCAGUCGUUGCUUACCUUCAAUUCUUUGUUUGUAUUCUAUAUAAUAUAAUAUAUAAUCAUGCAUGCAUGAUACAGUAUGCUUCCAUGUGAUUGGCAGGUGGAAUAAGCAUCAUGUGAAUGUGAUGUUGGCAUCAGCAUAUAUGCUAACGUGUAUGCGAUGAUACCUGGCCUUGUUUAGUCCCAAAAAAUUUUGCAAAAUUUUUUCAGAUUUCCCGUCACAUCGAAUCUUUAGACGCAUGCAUGGAGUAUUAAAUAUAGACGAAAAUAAAAACUAAUUGCAUAGUUUGGUCGAAAUUGAAGAGACGAAUCUUUUGAGCCUAAUUAGUCCAUGAUUUGACAAUAUUUGUCAAAUACAAACGAAAGUGCUAUAGUGUCUGUUUUGCAAAAAUUUUUGGAACUAAACAAGGUUAUAUAAUAAGGAAAAAAACUAGAUAGUUGUAGUCAAGCAAAGUUACAUUCUCCAUGAAACAGAGACAAUGGCGCUACUGUAGCACUUUCAUUUGUUUAUGACAAAUAUUAUCUAAUCAUGGACUAACUAGGAUCAAAAGAUUCGUCUCGCAAUUUACAGCUAAACUGUGCAACUAGUUUUUGUUUUCGCCUAUAUUUAAUGUUUCAUACAUGUGUCGCAAGAUUCGAUGUGACAGGAAAUCUUGAAAACUUUUUGAUUUUUGGGGUGAACUAAACAAGGCCUAAACAAGGCCAAAGUUACAUUCUGCAACUCCAUGAGACAGAGACAUGGCGCCUCUCUUUCAGGAGAUGGUUGCACGAGGAACUUCAAAAUCUGCUCAGAAGACUUCAGGAUAUUAUUGUCCAUAGAUACAAUACUAACCUUGAAAAUGAUAAGGCAAGUUGGAACUGGGAGAAGUCUGGACGCUUGUCGUUGAGAUCUACGUAUAAACAUCUCUGUAGUAAAAAGUUUGGGGACAGCUUCAGGAAAUUUUGGAAAGCUAAAAUCCCUCUGAAAAUUAAGAUCUUUAUAUGGUUGCUAGAAGAAGCAAUUCUUACUAAAGAUAACCUUUGUAAACGUAAGUGGAAAGGCAACGAAUAUGUGCCUUCUGCACAGAUAAGGAAAGUGUGCGUCACAUUUUCUUUGAAUGUGCGACAGCCAAAUUUCAGCGAAGCAGUACUUUCUAAUGAAGGAACAGUAUUUUUCUUCCCACAACAUUUCAACAUCAGCGCAAAUCAAAUUUCAGCAAAACGAACGGGUUGACUGUAGACCAAGUAACUUGGACCAAUACUGGUUUUGUAUUAGUAAUAGUUUGCCCCAAGGUCAGCAGGUGUACGCUAUGGGGCUGGCAGCUAUAUGUUAGGCCAUUUGGAGAACUAGAAACUCUAUUUGUUUGAAACAAAUAGAACGGCAAACCUUUGUUUGUUUGGAACUCUAUUUGUCUCUUCAAGAAGACUGCGGCCUUGUUUAGUUCCCAAAAAUUUUGCAAAAUUUUUCAGAUUUUUUGUCACAUCGAAUCUUUAGACGUAUGCAUGGAGUAUUAAAUAUAAAUGAAAAUAAAAACUAAUUGCACAGUUUGGUCGGAAUUGUCGAGACGAAUCUUUUAAGCCUACUUAGUUCAUAAUUAGAUAAUACUUGCCAAAUACAAACGAAAGUGCUACUAUUUCUAUUUUGCAAAAAAUUUUGGAAGUAAACAAGGCCUGCACUGUGUUUUCACAAGAAGGAUGCCGAGAAGAUUGCUCAUGAAGAUAGCCAGUUGGCGCCUUUCGUUGUCUAGCUGUGAUCUUUUUAGCCAAAGUGGCUAUCUUCAUGAGUUUUCGCUGUGUUGAACACUCGGAGUCAGAUCCCUGUGUGAUCGGUUUUACUCUUUUCAAUCAGUAGUUUCGCGUUUAUCUUUCCGUUCACAAUGCAACUCUGUAAUUUCAGUAGAAUCGUAAUGAAUUUCGGCUUAGGCUAUUAUGGAAACAAAAAAACAUUCUGCAACUCCAAAGGCCGACAGAUGUAGAGUAUCUUUCUAUUCCAACUUCAACUACAGGGGAAAACACCUUCUUUAUCAAUACAAAGCUCUUGCCGGUAGCUUAAAAAAAAGGUGGGAGUGGGAACACACCUUCUUCAGUCAAAGGCUACUUAAGAUUUUUUUUUGAGGGGGUCAAAGGCUACUUAAGAAAGAGGCUGAUAGAGGAAUUCCUAGAUGAAAGCCUGACGGGCCAAACUUAAGAAGAAAGCCCAUGUAAACACGGCCUAUUGUCUUGCCAAAGUCUUGGGCCGAAUAGGAUUGUUGCAAAGAGGCCUAUUAUAGUAUACGCACGUGUAAAUAUAUACACUAUAAACAUACAUACAUUUAGAAUACAGAUAUGAUAAUGGUCUCAAAAUGGGAAAAAUAUUUAUUUAGCUGGCUUACCUCAAGGGAAGAAGAAAACUCUGGUACAUAUACAUAUGUGAGAGUAGUAUAUACUCCCUCUAUCCCAAAUUAAAUCAACUUCUAGACCCAAAUUAAAUCUAACUUUUAUAGUUAUUUUAAGUUUGACUAAAUUUAUAGGGAAAAAAGCACUAAUACAUAUUUUUAUAUUGUAUAUAUAUACUUGUUUUGGGACGAAACUCCAUGGUAACUUGGCAUAAUGCCAUGUACUAUCACAAUGCACUGUACUCUCCGAGAGACAAGCCAAAUGUCCCUUUCCAGAAGCCAUGAUUUCAAGUGCAUGGAUAACACCAUACUACUGUUGAGUGCUUCCGGAUGCAAGUCUCUCUCACCCACUUUUUUGUGGCUUUAAAUCAGAGGCAAAAUGCAGUAAUGAAUAGUCUGCUUCCAUGGAAUUGGUUUGCGGCACUGAAUUUCAUUCGUCGAAAUCCGCAGUAUCUUUUUUUUUUUUUAAGAUCCGGGAACGAAUUGUUCCGGCUUUUUUGAAAAAAAAAAAAAAUCUGCAGUAUACUGUACUAGUAGAAAUAAGAGACGCAUUCAUGCAUGCUAAGAGCAUUAUGGUAGCAGCAAUCACUCCAAGGUACAUGGCUGGUUGCCGCCGUUGGUUAUUGGCAAAGUGGUAGCGUGCAUCACUGGGCAUUCGGUGUAAUUGGGUGCCGACAUGGUAGGUUGUAGUGACCCCCAACCUAUGAGCACUUGUGUUAUUGUCCUUCUAAUUUUGCUGACCCACAAUAAAUGUUUAGCUACUUCCAUUUUUUUUUUACAAUGACAAGCUUCAUUCUCAAAACUACAAAACUUGUUUAGCUACUUCCAUCCUUAUUCUUUUUUUACAACGACAAGCUUCAUUCUCAAAACUACAAAACCACCAAACUAGGUUGCUGCUAGUUUCUGACACAUGUUUUUUUCCCAGAACAGUUAAUUGUACCAAGUAACUUAUUAGAAUUGUAACCAUUGAUGAAAAAUCUCUAGAAGAUGGUCCAGCUACUUCUUACAUACUGAAAAAGAAAAUUGAUGGACAACCACUGUAUGAGUGACACUAAUAUCUAACCACCAAGUGCCAGAUGACUAUUCUCCAUCUAAACCAAAUAAGUGAGAUGAGAGAUAAGUGAGAAGGAGUCAACAACUUACCCAAUACCAAUCCAGGACCAGUGCCCCCUCAAAAGGUCCAAAGAAACCAAACAACCUGACUUUCUGCAAAGUUUCACAUGAUAUCAAUAUACUCUGUUGUUGGCCAUCAAGUUUAUUUUUUGAUCAUAAUGGUAACAAAUAACCUUUAAGAGCUUUAGUUGGUAUAGCAUCUAAUCCAUGGAAACUCUAGGAGGAAGGAAUGCACUGUGACCGUUUUAAACAGUGUAUGACCUGAUACGUGUGUGUCAGUACCAUGACAGCACCAACGAGUUAUUUAAUUAUAUUUUCUAUAAACAGCGGCCGCGUCUAUAUAUUAUCAACAGAAAACCUUGCGGCUAAAAGAGAAGAAUCCUGCACACGACACUGAUAUUUUAUAAAUAGGUAGCACAUCCAUCACACGACAGGAUAAACAUGAGCGGAAAAUAACAAAUAUGUAUUGCAACAAGAAAGAACAUUGUACUUGGAAACAGAUAAAGUAGAUGACGAGUGCCUGAAAACCGCCGUGCAGGCCAGGGCAUGCUGCUCUUUGAGCUCAACACGUGUGAGUGUGAACCACCACAGCCAAGCGCCAACUACCCACAGGAAACAGAUUGGUGGAUUCAGUACUGGCCUUUUGAAUUCUGGUCAUACACAGAAACAGGGGUCAUAUAUUGCUUCGAAAGGUCAGGUCGUUGCUUACCGCUUUUGUUUUUCACAAUCCAGCACGCCUUGGUUUCGUUCAGAUAUGGCUGAGUUUCCCGGGGCCUGCAAAACCAGCACACUCCAGUCAUAACAGAGUAAAGAGCGCUGCCUCCUGUUUUCGGUUCUAGUAUAAGCCUGUUGCGUUCCUGAGCGAUAAGCACACUAAUCCAUACAACCAGUGUCAACAGUACGAGAGCCUGUUCCAAAUCUCACACAGAUCAUGGACCAAACUAAUUAAAAGCUAUCCUGAGAUGAUGUACUAAAUAUUUCGCCAAAUAUAGAGGACGUCGGGGGUGAGGAAGGGACCCUAGUCACAUGCAAAGUAAUAUAACCUUGUAACUAAACAUGAUGGAACUCUGGCAGAAGAAUGACAGACUGCAGAGCACCUGGUUGCAGCCAAUAAUGCAAAGACUCUGUGGGCUCCUUGUGCUUUUGCUCUCCUUCCAACCUUCUCCCUAUAAAUACAAAGGCGUGCGCAAGGCAGAACCAUCAGCUAAGAUAGUUGCAAACAAGCGAGUUACUUACAACCAACCAAAGGAGUAGAAACCACCUGAAGCCAUGUGCAUUGCUGCAUGGAUUUGGCAGGCUCACCCUGUGCACCAACUCCUCCUGCUUCUCAACAGAGAUGAGUUCCACAGCAGGUGCGUGAUCUUGCUUGGUUUUAUUGAUCUGUGUAGGACCCCAAUCUGCAAGUAAUAGUUCUGCCAUAUGAGGUACUAUUUGGAAAAUUGGGUACUUUUUUCCCUCCUAACUUAUACGUUCACUGACAGAAUUCCCAUGAACCACACUGACAUAUGUGAUGAUACUGUUCAUAUUGUGCAUGCUCCUAUCAUUCAUUCAGUUCUCAGAAACAAAAUGCUGCUAGAGAAACCUACAGGCUAUAGAAAGGUUACCCACUGCAAAACAACAAUGCUAGCUGUUCAGUGUUCAUCACUUUGUAUCUUUUUUCUUGAACUGAUGCAGGCCUACAAAAGCAGUAGGAUGGUGGGGAGAAGGCUCAAAGAAGAUUCUUGGUGGCAGGGAUGUGCUUGGUGGAGGAACAUGGAUGGGGUGCACCAAGGAUGGAAGGCUUGCCUUCCUGACCAAUGUGCUUGAACCAGAUGCCAUGCCCGGUGCACGGACUAGGGGAGAUCUGCCUCUCAGGUUCCUGCAGGUAUAUAGCAAAACAUAGCAACAGCUUAGCUGAUCUAGGUGAUACCGAGAAAGAUAGAUUCAUUUCUUGUACAACCCAAGUUCUUGUUUUCCAUCAUACUUCUGCUGUCCCCGUCAUUCCUUAGCAGCUGAUUUGGUCACUGUCUGACAAAACCUUUGUUUUGUCAGUGUCUCAGUGAUUGGUGUAGACACUAGACAGUGCACAUAGGAACAUAUAUUCACACCGCAUUCCCAUUAUAAACCAAAAAAAAAAAUCCAUUGAAAACACUUUAGUGGUUCAUAAUAUUACAACUGAUAACUCUAGCAUGUAUUGUAAGAACAUAUGAUUAAUCAACAUGAAAUUAUCUUCUAUGUAAAAUUGUUCCUGAAUAGCACACACAUAAUCAAGUCUGUGCGGUGCAGAGCAACAAGAGCCCACUCGAAGUUGCAACUGAAGUGGCAGAAGAAGCUCAUGAAUACAAUGGCUUCAACCUCAUACUAGCUGAUCUAACAACAAAUAUCAUGGUCUAUGUGUCAAACCGGCCUAAGGGGCAGCCUGCAACAAUUCAACUCGUCUCACCAGGACUCCAUGUGCUGUCCAAUGCAAGGCUAGAUAGCCCUUGGCAGAAGGUAAGCAGAGAACUUUCAUGUUCAACAAGAUUUGUAGAUAGCUAAAAAACUAAAAAUGCCUUGCAAAUAAAAAUGAACAGGAUGAUUUUAUUCGGUAUAGUGGGUAGCACAUAUUGGUAGGUACAAAACUAGAAAUGCUGAAUGCCUAUGAGGUGUCAUGUUAAUUAUUUUAUUUUUAGCUGCACUAAAAUGAUGGAUCACAGAGAAAACAUUGAGCUGGGAAAAGCGUGAGAAAGGUACAGGUGAACCAUCUAAAGUACUUCCCUAGUAAUAAGCAACAUUGCAUUUAACUCAAUUUAUAGCACAGCAUGUGCAAGAUGUAAGAUAAGAUGACAAUGCAUUAUUGCAACCUACUCUGUCUCUCAGGGACCAUUCAUCAUACCAAGACCAUUAUUCAUGAAGACAGUGUGAAGUACCUAAAGGGAUUUUUUUUUUCAUUGUUGUGUAUGCACUUGUAGGCAAUUCGCCUCGGUAAAAACUUCAGGGAGCUUCUUAGGGAGCAUGGUGGCGAUGAGAUUGAAGUGAAGGAUAUAGUUGAGAGGCUAAUGACUGACACCACAAAGGCUGACAAAGAUAGACUGCCAAAAACUGGUUGUGAUCCCAACUGGGAGCAUGGUCUGAGCUCCAUCUUCAUCGAGGUGCAAACUGACCAAGUGAGAAAAAUCUCUUGAUUCAGGGUUCAACUGGUUGAAAAAACUAUAUCAAUUGUCCACUUAUAAAUAUCUGUGUACAUAAAGAUAGGCUAAUACUUCAGAAAUGAACUUAUGAAUUCUAUUUUGGUGAAGGGUCUCUACACACACACACACACACACACACACACACACACACACAGAUAUAUAUAUAUAUAUAUAUAUAUAUAUAUAUAUAUAUAUAUAUAUAUAUAUAUAUAUAUAUAUAUAUAUGUGUGUGUGUGUGUGUGUGUGUGUGUGUGUGUGUGUGUGUGUACACAAAAUUAGGCUAAAUGGCUAAUACUUCAGAAAUGAACUUAUGAAUUCUGUUUUGGUGAAGGGCCUCUACGGGACACGGAGCACAGCUGUUUUAUCAGUGAACUAUGAUGGUGAAGCUAGCUUGUACGAGAAGUACCUUGAGAGUGGUAUAUGGAAGGAUCACACAGUGAAUUACCAGAUAGAGUAGUAGGCAAUGCACAGGAAAAGCUGGCAACCAAAAAUAAAUAGAGACACAAUUGUGAAUUUCAUUCUUUCCCUGAUCCUGAGUCACCUUUCAGAACUAUCUAAGAUCCCAUCAUGAUGCCAAUUACAUUAUUUACUGUAAGCAGAUUUGUCACUUGACAAUAAAAUGUCAAGCAGAAGUGUAAGUUUAAAUAUAUACACCAAAUAUAUAAAUUUACAGACUUUGUGUAAGAUCAGUUUUUCUUGCCUUCUUGGACAUGUUUACUCGAGAAAUCUUAGCAAGCUAUUGUAUGUUGAGUUCUGUUGUAUUAAAGGUUAAUUCACUAACAUAAAGUUACUGUAAGAUAUGAUACAUUUAAGCUACUGAAAUUAUAGAAUAUAUCAACAACAUAAAAAAACGAUGCACGUAUGCGUAAAGAAAUGCAUCUGGUGUACCUCAUUUGUUCAAUAUGCUCCAGACCUCCAGUGGUGUCGGUCAUGCAGCUCCAGAGCCUAAAAGGGAUUUUAAAGAAUAACUAUACAAAUGUUCUUGUGAAGUCUGCAGUCUAGUGAGUUCUGUGAUGAUGUUAUCCAAGAUAUGUAGAAACUGAGAAUCACAACAAAGUACCAUCAUAGAGUUGCAAUUGCAAUAUUCAUGUUCAUUAACAUGAGUAUACAGAAAUAUGAAGCUCUUCAGUCAAGAUUUCAGCUUGUAGACAAGCAAGCUACAAAGAAUUGUAAAGCUUAGCACUACACCCCAAUAGCUAAACACUACACCCCCACUUGCAUGCUCUUGUUCUUCGUUGCUUGUUACUUCUCUGCAAAAUUUUUGUCUUUGCCCAUCCCUGCUGGUUUCUUCUCUGCUUGGUUUGUCUUGUUGUUCACGGCACUGCUGUGGUAUCCAUCUCGUGAUCAUCCUCUCAUGAACAAUCAUCUGUUCCAAACAAUCCAAGGAUCCCAGCUCGGAGCUCUCGGUGCUGAUGGUCAGAACAAGUACCGUCUUGGCCACACUUCCAGAGGCCCGAAGCGCACAGAGUAGUUCAGACCAGACCUUCAUGCGGCUACACCUAGUGCCGAAUGCUUUCCCUUCUGGAACCACAGUCACCGCAAACUCCGAGUGCACAAGUGCAGGAUGAUGACGGUAAGCUACAAACUCCGCCCCGUACUGCAAUCCUGACUUUACAACCCAGUUCUUCAGCCUAAGGUGCUGAUACGCCUUGUAAAUCUCCGGGAAUCGCUCCGAGGCGGACGCCAAGAGAUCCCACAGCUCCGGCGCACCUAUCCGCGCCUUCUUCUCCGACUCAACCGUGACGCACUUGAGGGCAUGGCAAAGGAAGAACACCUCCUCAGGGCCCAGCUGGAACCAGUGCCUCUCCGCCGCGCCUGUGCCUGCACUAGACACGGCGCGGCCAAAGGAGGCGCAGUUCAGAAGCUUUGCUUGGCGUCGCCCGACCAUGAGAAUCGCGUCCCUGGUGUGCGCAGCUAGAGUCGCCACGGCUUCUGAGUCCCUCAGUGAAGCCUGGAGCUCGGCGACUAUGCUGGACAUGGGCUUUUCUGCUGCGAGUGCUGCGAAGUCCUUGCCGUCCUUGCCCUUCUUCCAUCGGGGACCUGGCAAAUCCAUGAGCUGAUGGCAGCACACGACAUGAGAUUUGAUGGAAAUCGGUAAUCCACAAAUCUAAGGGCAUGACAUCUACACCUUGUGCAGGAGCAAGAGGCCGGCCGUGUAGCUGCUUGCCGCAGGAGGAGCGGCGCCGUUGGGCGGGGUCGCAGGGCCCGCCGGUCUGGAGCGGGACAGGGCCGUGAGACGCGGCGUUGCCCUGGAGCCGGCGCGGUCUGAUGCAGCGGACGACCGCGGCGGCUAGGAGCAGGAGGGGCUGUCGGGUCGGGCAGUGGCGGCUCGCCGGCAUAUGGACGCUCCAACUCCAAGGUGCGGUGCGGUGCGCGCCGCCGCUCCAAGGUGAGCGAGGAAGUAGUCGGCACGGUGGAGGACGUGGGCUACUGGGCUGGGCCUCAGCUCUUUUAUCUUGAGUGGGCUCGUCUGGGCCACUGUGGUGUCGGAAUGGGCUUUGAUCUUCUGUUCCAAUCUGACAGUGGAAUUUGUUCCGGGUCGGCCCAAAAUCAAAAUGGAUGUUUUCCGGUUUAAGUGAAAAAUCUUGCGCCAAAUCAAUCCCUGCAAAUACUUCAUGAAAACGUGCCGUAAUGGGUUCCUGUUCUGCAAGGACUGCAUAGACCUGUGGGCACUUUUGUGUAGAGCAGUGUGAGAUUUCCUAAGACGUGGAUAAGUAAAAGAUUACAAUCCAACUAUGUGUUUAUUCGCUGUAAAGAAGAUGGUUUGCUGCUUCAUUAUGAUUGUACAGGCAAUUAUAUAUGCAUUCAUUGGUCUAUUAUUUGCUACUUGUACCAUUAUACAUGCCUUAGGGCUUUACUAAUCCGUUCCAGUUCCAGCACACUGACAAUAAUUGAGUUGACGCUCUUUGAAGUGAAGCAGUUGGCAGCCCUCCUUUGAGCAAUACAUAAAACCACUCUUGGCCUUGUGGGGCACAUUUAUCUUCCUGUUGCUCAAAUAAAAUAAAAUAAAACCACUAGCAGUACAACCACAAUGGAUACAAAUGUACACGAUUUAGUUUGUGCAGUAAGUUUUCUUUUGCAAAUAAAUGCGCAGUAAGGUCAUUGCAUAUUACUUCCUCCAUCCGAAAUUGUAAGUCAUUCCAAGAAUCUUGAAGAGUCAAACUUUUCUAAGUUUGACCAAAUUUAUAUGAUAAAAUAAUUAUUCUUAUGAUACUAACUAAGUACAUCCUUAAUUAUAUUUUCAUAGUAUAUUCACUUUAUGUUACAAAUCUUAGUAUUUUUCUCUAUAAUUUUGAUCAAACAUUAAAAUGCUUGGACUCUCCAAGAUUCUUGGAAUGACUUACAAUUUGGAAUGGAGGGAGUAGCUAUUUACAUGGACACGGCAUAACAUUUAGGUAUGUUUGGAACACAGGAAUUUGACCCUAAUCUACAUUCUCCCUUUAAAACUGAAUUAAUCCCGACCCUAUACAGUUUUUGUGUUCCAAAACAGCCCUUAGUUUUAAUGAGGAGGGUAGAGUCAGCAAUAACUUGAUUUUCCUUUGUAAAAAAAAAAAAAUCAACAGUAUCCAAACCUCAAGCACAUGUUGGUGAUCGUUCCUUUUUCACAAUGAUUGGACUAUCUUCUUUUUCUUUGGCAUGUCUUACAAAUGUUAUUGCCCCUUUUGCAUGUAAGGACGAUUGAGGUCACUAUACCAUGACCAUGGAAAAAUGGGACAUCUUCGACCCAUGGACCACUUUGGGUUCUUUGGACUUGGGUUGACUUUUGAAAGAUGCUAGUUUUCCUAAGAACACCACUCUUUAGCAAACCUUUUAUUCACACAAGAAAUGAGAGUACUAUCUUGUAUGCUAAAAACACUGCCCUUUCUGUACAUAAAGGACUAACAUGACCAUCGAAACAAAACUUUGUUCCAAAUUGGCCACUGCUCUUCUCACGCAAAACUAGAGUGGUUCUCUCUUCUUCUGCAAGUGGUUUAAAACAUCUUCGUAGGUAAAGAGCGAUCAAUAUCAUAGCACUCUCCAAUUAAGAUAAUCACACAAUGCAAUUGCCCACGCCUAUACAAUGCAAGUUGUUUGCCGUAUUGUGAGGACAGAUGAAGAAUACAUCUGGUCUAUAAGUUUUAAAACUCUGUAUUACAUACGCCGUCACCUGACCUCCUUUAGAAUGCAGGCCUCCCUGUUUCUUGCGUGUGUGUUUUUCUUCUGUGAAAAUCCAAAGGCACCCUGUGUUAAAACUAGUUGCUUUAAUCAGCGGUUGUAGAAUGCAGAUAUUAGGUUCAGCCAAUGCAACAGGCAAACACUCUUUGCUUGAUUUUUCAGUAUAGGUGUCCAUAUCCAUAAAUAAAUUAGAGGUAAAAGUUCAGACUCACAAUGUAAUAAGCAGGGAGGCUCCUUCCUUUCGUUCUGUUAGAGGACGAAGACAAUAACGAGUGGUGAAAUUACAAGGGUCGUAUCCAUCCAUGUACCAGAAUUAUACCCUACAACGAUGAUGUUAUCCUACAAGAUCAUCCGAAUGAACCUGGCAAGCGCAUAAAGCUGAUGAUCGCACAGCAGACCGUGGAGGUGGGGAAUGCAAUUCGCCGUAGCACAAAUAAAUAUAUCUCGCCGUGGAAACAAUCAGUCGAGCAGGAGUAAGAUGCCGACCGUGUAGUGUAGCUCCUCGCCGCACCUGCUGGCUGCGCGGCGGCGGACCGGCCAGAGCGACAAGCCGAUCGCCGUCUGCCGCGGUGGAGGCGCAGGCAGCAGCAGCAGCAGAGCAGUCCUGCAUCCACAGCCGCCGCCUAGCGGCUCACCGGGGACGCGCGCCACCCGCUCCCCUCCAGCGGACGGUCGCGAAACUGGAAAAUUUUGUUGCAACGGUCGGCUGCGGAAAACCAGGCGAUGGUGUGCGCUCACAGAAAGCACAGCGAAGAAGCACAAAACACGCCGUGGCCUGCCUGCCGCCUGCCCCUGCACACCAGCCAACCAGGCGCGCUCUCGCGGAUCGGUGACGUGGCGAGGUGGACCCCCGAGCCGGCAAAAUAUCUGCCGCCGUGCCACUGCCGCGCGGGGCCCGCACGUCAGCCAUGUGAUCCGCGCGGCCACAUGCCCACCCUCCUCCUGCUGCUGCGGUUCUGCCAGCCCAAAUUUUCCAAAAUCCCGCCCAAGCCCCUGCCGCCGCAGCUUUUGCGCGGAGCACCCUGACGUCUGCUGGAACCGCGAGCACGCCCCUCCGCCACUCGUACGCGGGCGGCCGCAGCCCUAGCCGUCGUAUAGGAAUCCCGGAUGACAACCGGGACCCGCGCCUUUAUGGACCUACAGGUCAGUGGGGGCCGCGGCUGUUGUCGCGGUGAGGAAAGGUCCCGGCGGGUACGGGAAUUCAAAUUGGGAGGCGGAUGCGGGCCCUCGCUGCGCGGGCGGAAUCGCAGAUAUGCCCUUGGGCCACGCCUUCCUUCUUAUCCCCUGCGCCUGCCCUCCCCCCUCUUCCUGCAGCGUCCGUCGCCCCCUUUCCCCUCCCCAUCCCCGCGGGCCGCCAGAG
This 160100-nucleotide long non-coding RNA is filed under the name Sorghum bicolor (sorghum). RNAcentral describes it as "long non-coding RNA (SBIC_LNC018415)". Lineage: Eukaryota; Viridiplantae; Streptophyta; Magnoliopsida; Poales; Poaceae. The record is from RNAcentral.